This 94491-nucleotide long non-coding RNA is filed under the name Capsicum annuum. RNAcentral's name for it is "long non-coding RNA (CANN_LNC013931)". Lineage: Eukaryota; Viridiplantae; Streptophyta; Magnoliopsida; Solanales; Solanaceae. The record is from RNAcentral.
UUCAAUUUAGUAUGGUUCCAUAGUUUGUUUGCAUAAAUCAAAUUUCGAAUGAGUCCCAAGGCGUCAUUGGUAAACUUGAAAUUCCCAAGUAGUUGUACUGAGGUAUGCGUGAUCGCACACAAGGAAUCGUGAUCGCCCUUUCCCGAUUGCCAUAUAUGUGGCCAUGAUUUCUCCUAUGAUAUAUCCAUCUCUAGAUUGUGAUCCGCAUAGAUGAGGGCCUUGGAUGGGUAUUAAAAGGCCUUUAAGCCUCAUUUUGAGCACUCUUCUCUCAUUUUUGAGACCUAGGAACCCUAGAAUGGUUUCUUAAUCGAAAAUUAAGUCUUAGAUACCUCUUGAGAGUUUAGAUAACAUAUAUUUUUAUGCUUAUCAACGAAUUUGAGGUAUGUAUCCUUCCAUUUCAUGUUUAAAUUUCUUGAAUUUUUUACCAAAACCCUAAUUGGCUUAGGGGCUUAAUCUAGCCCCAAAUAAUCUUAGCCCUUAUCUAUUUCUUGAUGGUUAUGAUUACUUGAUAGUGUAUGAACAUUGGGUUGACCUCAAAAAUAUAUUUUCCAUAAGUGAGACCCAUUUGGGUAUUUCGACAUCGUUUUUGAACCCGAAGCACAAUGGUGAAAUAAGGGUAUCAAUGUUCUCGUUAUAAUAUGUAGAUUGUGUUUUUGAUAGUUUGGAACCUUGAAGAAACUUCUUAGAAAUAAAAAUCAAAGUUUUAGCGGUUCGUGAGCUUUUUUGGAUUUGAGGUAGGUUAGGCUUGUUCGUUAUUAGAUUGAGCUAUGCUAUAGUCUAAUUAUGAAAUCUUGUUAGAUUGGGAUGGGUUUUGGGUGUUGAAAUGUUAAAUGUUAUGACAUGGGUUUAGUUGAAUCAUUUAGGUCACUUGAACUUAUAGAUUAAAAUGCUUGACUUAUAGGCUUUAACUUUUGGGAAUUGGACUUCAUUUCUCAUGGCUAGCAUGAGGAUGCCUUAGUUACUCUAGUUGGAUGUGAGUGACCUUAUCACUCAUGUUGUGGGUAAUUGACCCUGGUUGCUUACAUUAAUGAAAGUCCCUUAGUUACUAUGGUUGAAUUAAGUGUAAUGUUUGGAGAAGACCUUUACCUUAGGACUAGUGGUGGCUAACUUUACAUCUAAGAAUGGAUUUAGAUAUCCUAGUCCUGGGUAGAAGUUAGACUUUCAUUGUAUUUUGGGAAACUAGAAGUGGGUUCUUAACCCACCUUAAGCUUGGAUUUAUAUAGUUCUCUUGAAAACCUUAAAUGCUUUCUAAAUGUCUAGAAAAUGCUCCCUUGGAAACAUAUUGAUGAAACUGAGUAAUUAUAUUAUGGUGAUGAUCUUAGAAAUAAUAGAUAUGGUUUGUUGGCUAAAUUACCAUAUAGGCUAUGAGUAACUAUGGUUCAUGCUAUCAAUUAAGCUCGUGUCUAUGUUAUCAUGUGUUCCAUUGACUAAACUAUUAUUUUGGGCUUCGGCUAUGCUAUUACUCAUGUUGUAUUAUUGUUUAGUAACCAAACUAGUAGCCAUGCUAGAAAGCCCUCAUAUUUAUAAUAUUGUGAGUCAUGAUACUAAUGAUUCUAAAAGACAUGCUUAUUGACUACAUGGGAAGUUAUGUUGCUAGUUAUACUUGAAACUCGAUAAAUUUUAAUACUCAUGUUAAACAUAUAUGUCCAUUGAUAAAUUUGCAUUGAAGACGAAUGAUGAGCAUUGGAGGUAUGAUCUUCUUUACUUCUCCUUUAUAUUCAUUUACUUUAGCCCUUUUGGGGCUUGUCAUUUACUUUAGCCCUAAUGGGGCUUGCCAUUUACUUUAGCCCUCGUGAGGCUUGUCAUUUACUUUAGCCCUUGUGAGGCUUGUCAUUUACUUUAGCCCUUGUGAGGCUUAUCUUUUAUUAGUUUCAUGGAUUGUUUAUCCAGAUAAUGAUGCCCGGCAAGUUUGAAGGAUUAUGUUGGUGAUAUGAUGAUGCCCGAUAAGGUUAGAGGAUUAUAUUGAUGAUAUGAUGAAAUGAAAAUGCCCAAAAAGGCCGGAUCAUUAUGUUGAUGAUAUUAUGAUAUCCAUAAAGGCCGGAGGAUAUGUUGACAAUGUGAUUUACCCGACAAUUCUGAAAGAUGAUUAUUGAUGUGCCUAUAUGUACAUCACCGGUUUGAGUUCGGCUAGACCUAUGUAUGAUAAUUAUUCAUAUUUAUAUACACUUGUUUAUAUAUAAUGUGGGAAUAUUGUUGGUAUUUGGAUACCGUUUAUAGCCACUAGUGUUAAUUGCUUAUAAAGGGGUGUAAUUAAGGAUAAUGAUAACUAAGGAUUAGUGAUGGAUAUUGUUUAAUUGACCAAUCAAGACUAUUUGGAAAGUGAAAACUAGUGUAAUGUGAGGAUAUACUUAGUAAGUAAUGUUAGUGAUAAUUGUUGGUUAGAUAAGCAAUGUUGCCUGAUAAAAGGGCUAUGUAGUGAAUUUUUUCCUAGCUAAUGAUUGUAUCAUAUGAUGGCUAGGAAUCUAAUGGAAUAGUUAAUGAUCCUUGCUUAGCUAAUAAGUAGUGGCUAAUGGGUAUUGAUGAUAAAUAGCUAAUAAAGGUAAUUGUAUGGAAUAUGGUGAUGUGGUCAAUGUUGGUAACAAGUGAAGGUUCAGUAAAAUGACCGAUUGAUGAUAAAUGUUAAAUAUGGUUGCAUAAUAUUGAGAAUUGAGUUCGUUGUUGGUUAAACACCUUGUUAUUAUCUCUCUCUUGGGUGUACUCUACCGUAGUAUGAGAUGCAGUGAUGAGUUCUUUACUUUAUGCACUAGUUGGUGUAUGGGCGCCAACUUUGUACUUGUGUUUUAUUAUGGUUGUACUUUAGAAUGCGUUGUGAUUCCAAAUUAUUAUUUCUUAUGAAUAACGGUAUUGGCAUGUGAUGAUACUCUAUGAUAUAUUAUUGUACCGAAUUAAUGUCUUAUUAUAUAAAGUGGAGAUGGAGAUGAUUCAGGUUUGAUUUUAUACUUUGGCUUAGGUAUGUUUAUCUUGCAUUAUAUCACGACGUAGCUCAGUCGGCCGAUUAUUCCUAUUGAGUACCUGUUGUCUUGGUACUCAUACUACACUUUUGUACCUUUUGGUUCAGAUUCGAGUACUAAUUAUCGUUGUUAAUUCGAGUUCAUGCGGGGUUGAUCUUUCCGAGAUAGGGUGAGCUCAUGAAGUUUGAGUCACCUAUUUUCCCUCUAUCUUUUUUAUACAGUCUUUAGUAUUUGAGACAAAUGUAUUAACUAUACUUAAAGUCUUUCGGGUUGUAUUAUUCACAUUAGAUGCUCUUGCACUAGCUUUUCAGGUCGUGGGAUUAGUAUCUUAGGAUGAUUGUUUAUCUAUAUUAGAGCACUAUGUUAAUAUUUUAACUUGUGUUCAUUAAAUUUUGUCCUAUGUUGGCAUUUCCUACCGAAUUAACCCAUUAUGAUAGCUCUGAGUUAUGGUAUUGGCAUACCUGUUGGCGGAAUUUAGUAGGUGUCAUCAUGACUUAUAAAUCUGGUUCUGGCAAUUACACUAGUUUUUGGGGCUGAAUCCCCUUUUUUAACAUUUAUUAGAGUUUUCGUACGAUAACUUUCAGGUUCUAGGAAUGAUUUAUUUCAGCAUCAUGUUAUCUUACUCUUCGUUUAAAUAUGGAUUAUUGGUUUUUAUCAAGAGGAUGAUUUAGUUGCCUAUUUUUUGUAAAGUGUUGAUUUGUUUAUGAGAGUAAUUAGUUCUCCAUUGGGAGUUUUAGUGUGGCUGUCAUCAAGACGAGUUUGGAUCGUGACAUUUAUGAUUGAAUUUAGUUUAUAAAUAUUAAUAUUAUUGAAAGGAUCUUUAUGCAAUUAAUGUAUUUUAGUAUUUAGAAGCAGGUAAACUGUUAAUUUUUAUCAAGUUAUCAAUUAAAAUUUUAUCAUAGAGAUUAACAAUAUUAAUUUUAUAGGUUUUAGACAAUCUCUCUCUAUAUAUGUAUACAAAACAGGAUCAUAGACAAGGUAAUGUGGUACCUCUAUAGACUCUAUGACCUCCAUUUUUAUUUAUUUUCUCUUUUUUUGUUGAUUUUUUUCUCAUUUCAACGUAAUAUACUAUGUAUUAGAAAAUUCAAGUCACUUGGCUUUCCUAUUGUUAAUUAAUAGCUAGGAGAAAUGAUUAUGAAUUAGUAUAGCUUUUAAAUAUGUACUUCCUCCGUCUAAUUUUAAUUCGGCAUAUAUUUUUUUAUAUGGUGAUUAAGAAAUCAUAAAUUGAAGGAUAAAUUUUACUAUUUGACCUUUUACCCAUAUUAAUUAUAUUCAUUGGGCAUAAGAAUUGAAAUUCAAGAGAGGGGUGAAUUGAAAAUUUUCUGUGAGUCAAUUAUUGAGUUUUCACAGUCGACUUGUCUGCAAAUUGGUGCGCUUCACAAAAUAGAUUAGAUUUAAAUAAAUGAACAAGUAAUAAAAAACUUUAAAGUAACGACACUAAGAUUUAUCCUGGUUCGGAACACCAAUGUGGUACCUAUUUCCAAUCCCUUGGGUUUCAAAGUUUCCUUAGAUCUUUCAAAGUCAAGCUUCGAGUUCAAUGAUGAUAAACAAGUUUCAAAGACUUAUCUUGUUCUUCAAAUCUUGUGAUACAGCUUCAGUUUGUAUUAUAAAGUUGACUCGAUCCUAUUCUUUGUAUAAUUAUUGUAAACUAGGAUGUACAAAGCUUUGUGAGACUAAGAUUGAGACACUUUGAGAUUUUUCCUUAAAGUUGAGUACUUUCUCUUGUCUCUUGUCUUUUGUUAUAGCUUUUAUAGUAUUCUGUCGCAUGUACUUCUUUUCUUCAUAAGGAAACCCAAAGUCUUUCUUCUUAACUAAGGAUUUGGGUUGAUUCCUUUAUUGAGGGAGUUUGCACCUUAUGGUAUGUCCAUAUCAUAUAUGUUCAUACUCGAUACGAUUUUCCUUUCUCACAACCAUACAUAUCUAUAUCAGAUAUUUCUAUGUAGAGGGUGUGAUCUUCUUUACUUUGGUAUUGCCAUGAAGUUCAUCCAGUCACCACCAAUUUUGUUUUUCGGUAAGAUCUUCCAAUUGAUGUGGUUAUAUGUUCAGCACCUCCUUUAUAGUUGGAUAAUCCUUGCGAGAUACUUUCUAUCAUUAGAGAUUUAGAUGGAUGCUCCUUGCCUUGUGUCCAUCAGUGGAGAUCUUCAAAUAUACUAUAGAUUUCCCAUCAUUAGUUUCUCAUUAUUAAAACAUAAACAUAAAUAUAGGAGGCUAACAAUCUCCCUAUUUUUGAUAAUGACAAACAAGUAUUAAAAUCAGGUGACUUCCCUAUCUAUUACAGUAGUCGUCUUGAGACCUUGACUUGUAAACACUUCCAAUGUUCUUCUAAUUCUUGAGUAUCAGUCGACUCUUAUCUAUUGAUAGUCGACUUGUUUCCCCUAACUUGUAAGAACUUUUGAUGUUCCUGUCUUUCUCUCCCUUUUGGAAUAAUUAAUAAGAACCACAGAGGAACAAAAGAAUAGUAGACAUAUAGCAGAGAAUUAAUCUAAUCAAUUGCCAAGUUCCCAGGCAAAAACAAAGAGUGUGGUAGAUAGUCUGUUAAAAAUCAUCUUACAACCCAACAAAAACAAGGGACAGGACCCCUUUUUGAAUAAAAAGUCAUCAUUCACCACUUAGCCAGAAAGUAUGUUAGGGUGUUGUGCAUAUUAUGGAAGAAUUUAUCAUAUGAUUUUUCAAUGUUUUUGAAGGAGGAGUAGAAGUUCUAUACGGAAAAGCAAGAUCAUUAUUGGAGGAGUGGACUUGGGACUUGAGGGAGUCCAUGUGAGUGAACACUCAAGUAAACAACUUAAUGACCCUCUUGUUUGAACCAAUCAAGAGCCAACCAGACCACAACUAUGUCAGUGUUGGUGCUUUUCUUAAGGUCUAGAAGUUUGGAAGUUGACUCCUGCAACGUGACAGCUUCCUCAAUAGCUUUGAAGUGAUCUUUGAUUUCCUUCAAUUCCUUCAACACAAUAAUCAUGGGGUUAGAAAUAGACUUGCUUACCUUGGAGAGUUUAAAUUUUGUCUAAGCAGAAUCCUUUUUGCACCACUCAUUAUCAACCAAAACAUAACCCAUAUUGUAAAAGUUUUGGAAUUAUAAGUGGCAAUGAAUUCCACCGGGGGGUAAGCAGAGAUAUCAAUACAAUGAAUCAAAAGAAUCCGAGCAAUUAGCAUACCAUAUGGUAAACUAGAAAAGGCAUGAACAUCCGCUGCACUCUCCAACAUAUACUCAUGGAUCCAGGUUAUCCAAUUAAUUUUGUGUUUCUUAACCAGACAAUACAGAAUAAAUAUAUCAUAGCAGGUAAUGUUGUUGAGGGGAUCCCUUCCUUGGAAUCAGUAUGGUAAUGAUUAUGUGGGCCAUGAUGCGAUACUUGAAACACAGGUACAAGGGACCAAAUUAGAUGAUGUUGUGUCCGAGUCAGACAGGAUCUAUUUUGUUCUUCAAAAUAUAUUUCAAAAUCUUUGAGCCAGGCACCUUUCAUGAAAAAAAUCACACCAGAGAACUUUGUAUCAAAAACCUUCUCAAACAAAAAAUCAUUCAGGACGAUUCUUGUGCCAAGCACAAUGGUCUCAAGUUCACCUUUAUCAAUAGAGAGGCGUAGAUUUGCAUAGAACAUGCGGACGGGAUCCUCAUAAACCAAAAGUUCACAAAGAAGGAAUACCAAGGACAAAUCUUGAAACCUAGAUAAGUGACUGACAUUAUAGAAGGCGUCUUUUAAUUGACAGAGAUUGAUUAUGCAAUCGGGUACAAUAGAGUGGUUUUGAAGGCAGAAAUUUAUUUUUGAGAGUAUGUCUAAAACUUGUGCAUGUCCUCAGGAGGGAAGGAGUUUAGAGAGGUAUUUUGAGUUUUAUUGGUAGAUGGGACUAGGUUAGGAGCGGUACGACAUCUUUUGAUGAGAGUAUACUAUUGAUAAUCUUACGAGGAUUCGUAGAGGACUCGAAGAGGAGAACAGGACUGUCGAGAGAGCUUUAGGAAAGAAUUUGGAAACACUGGUCAUGGAAUGAGUUCUGGUCAUGGGAAAAGAGUGGAAUUGGAUUUUAAAGGGACGGGGAGGGAGAAGAAAGGAAGGGUAAGUGAACAAAAGGAGAGAGAAGGGAUGUCGGUGACUGUUGGAAAAGAGAUUAAAGGGGAAGACGAAGAGGUAUGAAGUUAAAAGGUGACUGAUGGAAGAUAAAGGACAACAAAAGGGGAUAUAUUAGGAAGGUAAAGAGGUGUAGAAGCAGUAGGGUGGCAUUAAAACUGGUGAAAAUAAUGAUGACUUCCUUCUUGAAAACCAAUUUUUAGUUUAAAAAAACUGAAGAGAAAUCGGAACAAUUAAAAAGAUUUUUGUCUAAGAAUAAAACUCAUAGGUCAUUAAUACUGAGAAUACCAAGUAUUUUUCUAAGGUAACAAAAUCUUUCUUAUAACAAGGUUUUCAUAAAAAUAUCUACCUAUUAAUUUUCGGAGUCAAUAAACAUUAAAGGAAAGUCUUAAUUUUCUACAUGGUCUAGAACAAAAUUAUGCUAGAAUGAUGCACAGUAUAUUUAGACAAACUAAUAGCACUGGUGUUAUCACACAUUAUGGGAAUGGAUUCAAAAGACAAAUUAAAAUCAAGUAAUUAAUGUAUAAUCCAUAAAAUUUUAGUACCACAACUUCAACGGCUAUGUAUUCAGCUUCAGUUGUUGAAAGAGCAACUGAAGUUUACUUCUUGUUGUGCCAUAAAAUUAGGGCAUCACCAAGAAUUUAACACAUUCCACAAGUUCUUUUUCUAUCACUUUUAUCACCAGUAAAGUCAGCGCCUGAAUAUCCAAUUAAAUUAAAAUAGGAAGAGCAAGGAUACAAUAAUCCAAUGUCUUGAGUUCCUAUGAGAUAUCGGAUGGUUCUUUUAACUAAAGUUAGAUGAGACUCUUUGGGAGUCAACUGAAACUUGUCACACUUACAUAUACUAAACAUGAUGUGUAGUCGAUUGGCGAUCAAAAAGAGUAAUGAUCUAAUCAUUCCCCUGUACAUCUUUUCAUCAACAGCCUUUCCAGAUGAGUCUAAAUCAAGACUUGUGGAUGGAAUCAUUGGAGUUUCAUUGGCCUUUUCUUUUUCCAUACUAAACUUUUUGAUAAGUUCCUUUGUGUACUUAGCUUGACUAAUGAAUGUACCUUAGGGAGUUUGCUUGAUUUAUAAUUCCAAGAAGAAUGUGAGCUCUCCCAUAAGGCUCAUUUCGAUUCUCAUUUCAUCAGAUUUGAAAAAUUCUCACAUGGAGAGAUGUUAGGACUACCAAAAAUAAUAUCAUCAACGUAAAUUUAAACAAUAAAAAGGCUCUUUUGAUGUACAUUUGAUAUAACUUAAAGCAUUUGAAAGCAGCAAAAGCUAUUACAAUUUGAAUUGCUUCUAACCUUGCCACAGGGCAAAGGUUUUAUCAUAAUCAAUACCAUCUUGUUGGGAGUAGCCUUGAGCUAUAAGUCUGGACUUGUUUCUAAUAACCUUACUUUCUUCAUUUAAUUAGUUUCUGUAGACCCAUCUAGUUCUAGUUACUGAGCAAUUUUUGGGUCUUUCAACUAGAGUCUAAACUUAAUUUCGUUCGAACUGGUCCAACUUUUAUUUCAUAGCCUCAAUCCAAGAUUUAUAUUUGAGGGCCUUAUCGAUCUUCUAUAGUUUGAUUUGAGAUAUAAGGGCAACAGAUACUUGUUUUCUCAAUGAUGCUCUUGUCUACAUCCUAUCAUCUGGGUUUCCGAUGAUGAAUUCACUUGGAUAACUAGAAUCAUGUUUUCAUUCUCUUAGAAAACUUAGUUUGGCCAUUUCUGCUGCAGAAGUCGACUUCAUAGGGGAUAUAGUCGACUCGUCUUAUGAUAUUGUAAGAGUUAAACUAGCAUUGGCUCCAGGUUGUAGAUCACUCACAUAUUCUUCAUCAGUUCUCACACUCAUAGGAGGGUGUUUUAUUUCAUCAAAUACAAUAUGCAUAGAUUUCUCAACACAUAACGUUCUUUUAUGUAAGCACUGGUGGGAGAGUACCCAAUAAAAAUACCCUUGUCACUUCAUGGUUGAAUUUUCCCAAGUUAUUCUUACCGUUGUUUUAGAUGAAAUGCUUGCAUAUAAAGGGAUGAAAGUAGCUAAUAUUUGGCUUCUUUUCUCUCUACAACUCAUAUGGUGUCUUCUUUAGAAUUGGUUUGAUGAGGCAUCUAUUGAUGAUGUGACAUGUUAUGCUUAUUGUCUUUGCCCAAAAAUAAUCUGGGAGAUUGGGUUCUAACAGCAUGGUCCUAGCAAUUUCUUGGAAAGACCAGUUCUUUCGCUCUACCACACCACUUUCUUGAGGAGAUCGAGGUUAUGAGAAGUUCUGAGAGUAUUCAUUCAGAGCACAGUCAAAAGCCUUCUUUUCAAAUUCUUAUUCGUGAUCACUGUGAACAUAAGUAAUGAGGUACCUAGCUUCUAUCUGUACUUUUCUAUAAAAUAUCUCAAAGUUUGUGAAAUUCUUAUGUUUAUGAGCAAGAAACAUUACCCAAGUAAAACGGAAAUAAUCAUCAACUAUAACAAAAAUAUAUUUGUUUCCACUAAUACUUGCGGUCUUAGUGGGGCCAAACAGAUCCAUGUGAAUUGUUUGAAGGGGUUUGGUAGAAGGGAUGAUGUCUUUGACUUUGAAUGAUGUCCGGGUCUAUUCACCCAAUUGACAGGCAUCACAAAUGUGAUCCUUUUCAAACUUGAGUUUUGCCAGACCUUUCACCAGUUUCAGUCUGGACAAUUUCUCAAUGACAUGCAUACUGGCAUGCCUAAGUUUUUUGUGCCACAACCAAGUGUCAUUGGUUUCCACAGUGAGGCAGGUUAAGGUAGUAAAAUUAGGACUAUUUAAGACAUAAAUAUUAUCAACACGUUUACCGAUGAGAGAGUUAUCUCUUUUAUCAUGUUUAAUGGAACAGCUUUUAGCUUUGAAGGAGACUCCAAAUCCAGUGUCACAUAGCUGACUGAUGCUGAGCAAGUUAUGUUUGAGUCCAUCUAUGAGAUAUACUUCAAUAAGUUCACAUGAAGAGUUGAGCUUUACUGAACUGACUCCUAUAACGUUGCCUCUAGCAUUAUCACCAAAUCUGAUUGAUCCCCCUUCUAUUUUAUUUAGAGCAUAAAAGUUUUCCUUCAUUUUGGUCAUAUGUUUAGAAUAUCAUCUAUCAAUGACCCACAUUCCAUUUUUAUAGCUUUUUCGGGUAUGUUCCUGGAAAACAAAAAAAUAAUUUUAUUUAGGUAUCCAAGUAGUCUUGGGUCCUUACGGGUUAGAUGUGUUCCCUUUAGGCCUCCAAACCCACACGUUUUUAGGCUUUUUCCUGCAGCUAUGAGAUUGGUGCCCUAUUUGUCCACUAAUAUAACAAACAGGUCCUCACAAGGAGAAAGUGGUGUUGGCUGAUUUAAAUGAUUUUGAUAAGGAACUUGAGUUGGUUUUAAAAGAAUUUGAUCUCACAAAACUGUGAAUUUAUAAUUUUUUAAUGUUAUUCAAUUGCAUAUUUACAUCAUCAAGUUCUUCUUGAAGAAAGUCAAUUUCAAUUUGACAUGCUUCAAUUUUAACUAGAUAGUUUCUUCAUUCCUCUUUGAGUUUUUGUUUAAGUCGAGCUUCCUAUCUUUUUUCUCUUAGGCGAGUUUAUUAUAUUCAUCUAUAAUUUUUUAAAGCUCGUCGGUUAUCAUAUCUAAGUUAGAUUCAAGAAUAUUACAAUUAUAACAUUCGUGUGGUCUUACCUUGCUAGAUUCACUUCUAUGUUGGUUGCUUCUAUUUCUUCUUUAGUUUCAUCUUCAUCAUUCUAGGCUCCAAAAUUUUGAUUCUUUCUAGAUGAUAUUCUUCUUAACUCUGGACAAUUUUGUUUAAAUGGACAGGCCUUCCACAGUGAUAACAGCGAUCAUUGUUUCUAGUGGAAUCAUUAUUUUUGGCUCCUUGGGAUCUUUGUUGUCUCUUUCUUAUGAUUUACCUUACUUCUCGAUUUAUGAGAGCUACUCCUUUGCUACUUUCUUCUUCCAAAAAGUCCUCCACUUCUAUUGGUGCAGCAUUGAAGGCUACUGGUUUAUUUUUUUUCCUUCUUGUUGUACCUGUUGAUAUAAUUUCAUUCAUAUACAAUGAGAUUACCUCGUAGCUCAUCAUAUGUCAUAUUGUGAAGAUCUCCAUCUUCCAGAAUGGCAGCCUUAGUUUCCCAAACUCUUGGGAGAAUUCUGACUAGCUUCUGACUUAUAGGCUGUGUAGAUAGAUCUUCCCCAAUGAUUUCAGCUUGCAUACGAUUUUGUUGAAUCUGGAAAACAUUGUUUUAAUGUUGUCAUUUUCUUUCAUCUUGAACAGCUCGUAUUCAUUGACUAGGGUAGCAAUCUUUGACUUGACUUUGGUGGUUCCUUCAUAGAUUACCCUAAUUUAUCCCACAUCUUUGCAGUCUCACAGGUUGAUAUCUUAUCAUAUUUUUCUCCACCAACUGUACAAAAAAGUAGACUUAUAGCUCGUGCAUUAUUUUGGAUUACCUCUUGUUUUUUUUGUGAUCUCAAGGCUUUCAAAGUCUUCUAUAUCGGUACUGCUCAAAUCGUUGUCUUUGUCCUUUUGCUUCUCCUUGAGUAUUGGAAUUGGAUUUAGUCCUUUCUUAAUGACAACCCAUGCUUGAAAUUCAUUUGAUUGGAUAAAGAUUCUAAAUUUGUUCUUCCAAUAGGAGUAGCGUUGUCCGUUGAAGUAUGGUGGUCUUAUGAAGGAAUGACCAUCUUGAAGAAGAGCACCAAAAAUUUGAUGGUUUGACAUUUGAUCUUUGCUCACGUGUGGUUAAGCAACACUGUUGGUGAGACCUGCUCUGAUACCACUUGAAAUUCAAGAGAGGGGUGAAUUAAAAAAUUUAUGUAAGUCGACUAUUGAGUCUUCACAGUCGACUUGCCUGCAAAUCUGUGCACCUUACAAAAUAGAUUAGAUUUAAAUAAAUGGACAAGUAAAUAAACAACUUUAAAGUAACGACACGAAGAUUUAUCCUGGUUCGGAACACCAAUGUGGUGCCUACUUCCAGUCCCUUUGGGUUUCAAAGUUUUCUUAGAUCUUUCAAAGUCGGGCUUCGAGUACAAUGAUGAUAAAUAAGUUUUGAAGACUUAUUUUUUUCUUCUGGUCUUGUGACACAGCUUCAGUUUGUUUACAAAUUUGACUCGAUUAUAUUCUUUGUAUAGUUAUUGUAAACUACGAAGUACAAAGCUUUGUGAGACUAAGAUUGAGACACCUUGAGAUUUUUCCUUGAAGUUACAUACUAUCUCUUGUCCUUUGUUUUAACUUUUAUAGUCUUCUACCGCAUCUGCUUCUUUUCUUCAUAACGAAACCCAGAGGAUUUCUUCUCAAUCAAGGAUUUGGGUUGAUUCCUUGAUUAAGGGAGUUUGUACCUUAUGGUAUGUCCAUAUUCAGUGCGAUUUUCCUUUAAUUUCUCACAACCAUACAUAUCCAUAUCAGAUAGGUCUAUUAGAUAAUAUGAUCUUCUUUCUUUUGGUCUUGUCGUGAAGGUCAUCCAGUCACCACCAAUUUCGUUGUUUGGUGAGAUCUUAUGAUUGAUGUGGUUCCAUGUUCAGCGCCUCCUUCAUAUUUGGAUAAUCCUUGUGAGAUACUUUCUAUCAUUAGAGAUUUAGAUGGAUACUCCUUUCCUUGUGUCCAUCAAUGGAGAUCUUCAAAUAUCCUGUAGAUUUUCAAUCAUUAGUUUGUCAUUAUUAAAACAUAAACGUAAAUGUAGGAGGCUAACAGGAAUGGACAUUGGAAUUGUAAUUGUUCACAUUUAAUGUAUAUUACUAAUUGUAGGGGCAGAAUGGAAAAAAAAUUCUAUCCUGAUUUAGUAAGUGAGCAACUUAUAUGAGACAUUUAUUUUUAGUAAGAUGACUAACUAAAAUGAAACGGAGUAAUUAUUAAUAAAGAAAGAAAACAAAGCAUAUACUUCAUAUCGUUCCAAUUCCUUCUAAAGCAAACCGUUUCAAACCAAGGCAUAUUUUAUACGCAUGCAGUAUGUAGUAGUUUCUUUUAACAGAAGAUAAUAUUAUGUACUUAAUUAUUACAAUUAUUAGGGAACAAUUAAUUCAUUCAUAUAUUUGAGAACGUGAAAAGGCAGUGACCGACCAUACGCAAAUAAUGAAGUUGCUGCAUUACUUUUUAAGCUGUACCAUGAAAUUUCCAUCAGAAAUAUGCUAUGAUAUGAAUAUGAAUGCUACAAUACAGUCAGAGAUGCUAUUUGGGACGUCAGUGAUGCAUUUGGAAACAACAAUCACGUAAGAAUAAUAAUUUUUUCAAUCAUUUGUUCGUCCUACUUCUCCACAAACAUAAUUUAUUUUUCUUCAUUUUAGUUAUGUGGAUUGGGAGGUAAUUAUUCUAUCCUGAAUCUAUUUACUUGUGUGUUUUAAUUAACAAUAUGAUAUUGUCAUUCUUUUUUCCAUUGUGUUUAGGGGUUAUAUAUUGUUUUAAAUUUUUUUAUUUUCUCUUCUUUUUUUUUUAAACAGUGUACUUAUGGGUUAUAGGUUUUAGAUUUGAUCUCCUUCGUAAAGAUGUGGUUAACUACUAUGAGGACGGUGGCAAAUGGAGCAGUAGGUAUCUCUACCAAGUCAUGAUUGUCAUUUUUAGAGAGGACAACCAUUUUGUAGAAUAAAAGAAUCUGAGCUUCGCAAGGAACGCUCUUUCACACNNNNNNNNNNNNNNNNNNNNNNNNNNGCAUAUUCUCCUUUAUAUGUCUCCCCUUAAUUUUGUAUGUAAUUUUAUCAGAAUGUAAUUAUUAUACAAGCAAUCGUUCAUUUGUUUGUUGAUAACUUCUGUUACGAAUCUGUCUUAUGCUUGACAAGAUUAACUACAAUUUGUAUUCUUGAUGAGAUUAUAUACAUACAACUUUGUAUGCUUGAUGAGAUAGUAGCUACAAAAUUCCAACAUGCCCAUAAAUUUUAAGCUCUGUCUUAAUUGAAAAAUUUAGGUGACAUCAUAUUAUAUAUGUUUGUAAUUCAAGAAUUUUAUUAGUAUUGAUAUAAAAGAAUCAUCACAGCUUCAAUUUUUUUCCCGAAAGAUUUUUUAUUUCAAAAUCUAAAUUUCAACAACAACAACAUACUAUUCCCAUAAAGUGGGGGUCUAAGGAGGCUAAAGUAUACGCAGUCCAUACCACUACCUCAAAUGAAGUAGAGAGGUUAUUUCCGAUAGACCCUUGACUCAAGACAAAUAACAAUAUAACAAAUAAAAAAAUAUAAAAACAAACAAUAAAAAGGAAAAAUCUAAAUUUCAAUACUUACAAAAGAAAAUGAAAAUGCAAGGAACCUAUUUAUUUCGUUAUUACUUUUAUGGUGAAUAAAUGAUUUAUUCUUACUAUUUUGGAUUGAGCUGGAUUCUUUGACAAUUCUUCUUGAGAUCAGUGAUCAGAUAUUAAUCGACAGAAAAGUCAAGAAUGUUUUAAUGGACAGGGACUACUUCAAAAGAUCGCUUUUAGAUCGGUGCUGCGAGUCAAGGAGAAAUAGGGGUAUGAGUGUUACGCAUUUGUAUUUAUGAGUUUUAAAUUUGUCACAAUCCAAUUUCUAGAAUCAUGAUAGCACCUACUAUAAUCCACCAAUAGAUAAGUCAAAUCAUAGCCCAGAACAGCAAGUAAUGGGCUAACCAACGAAGGCUAGAAAAUAAAGGAUAAAGACACGCAAAGAAAUCAUGAAAUAACUAAAGCAACGAUAAAUAGAUACGAACAUACUAUACAAAAGAAAGAGGAGGACAAAAUACACAAAAUGAGAUCCCUUGUGACCUGAUAAGAUCGAUACAAGAGCCUCUAAACCAAAAUUGAGCACUAGAGAGAGUCAAAUAUACAACAUAGUCUCAGAAUGUACAAAAAGCGGCAAAAGGACGAGGACCAGCCUCACCCUAUCUCUGAAUCAGCAGCAAGCCCGAGGAUAAUAUCAGUGGUUGUGACUCGUACUCAGGUCUGCAUCACAGAAAAGAAGCAGAAGUGCAGUAUGAGUACCAAAAACAACGAGUACUCAGUAGGCAUCAUAGGCCGACUGAGCUAAAUUACAGUAAGAACGUAAAUAAAGUGCAAGAAUGUGACUAAAGUCAACAAUAAAAGAAAAACAACGGAAGUAGUAAAUCAUGCCGAGCGAAAGCAAUAUAAAGGUAAAAUAAGUGUUAGAAUGUGAAAAUAAAGUCUAUUAUAAUCUAAUUAGGCCCCCAAUAAGUCCAGAAGAAACACAGAAGAGGGAUAAAUACAACUAAGCCCCCAUAAGCACCGGUGAGUACGAACAAAUGGUAACAGUAAAGUAAAGAUGAAAUACGACAAUAGCAAGCAUAAAAUAAUCCAGAAUAUAGGUCAUGCAUACCUGAUACUUCUAACACAGUCAUAACCACCUUUCUAUCAAUUUUUACUAGUUUUUCAACCCUAUAUAUGUUAUGAUCCGAGGCUACCCCCAGUCGUAACACAGUGCUUAGAGUCACAAGUGACCCCAAGCUAACCCAUGGUCUGGCAUGACACUAAGAACACUGAAAACAACUAAAAAUACUUAUGUGAAAUCUGAAAGGAAUAAUGAAAUAAGUAUUCAAAAGAAAAUCAAUCAAUAAUAUCUGAGUUUAAGACCACAGGCUGAAAAUCUAACUAUAAGUUUGAAGGCUUCUACUAAGACGACAUGUUAAACAUCUAACUGUAAGUAUGAAAGCCUCUACAAAGAUGAGUUGUUGGGAUAAGCCCCCAGCUAACUCUGACUGUCUGAAAAUUGAAAAAAGACAAAGACAAAAUGAAAUAUUAAUAUUAGCCCUCAAUGAUGAGGACUCACUAAAAUAUUGAUGUUGAUGUUGUGGGAGAUCGUACUAUGUGCGAUCUGGAUGCUGGGCAUCAGAACAUAUAUUAUGAGACAAUAUAACGUAAAAAAAGUAUGCAAUUAGUAUUUGAAUGUACUGAGUAUGUAAAAUAGGAAAUAACUAAUAUAAACUGAGCAUAAUGCAUCUAACAUGAUAAACUGAUGCAAAACCAGGUAAGGCACAGGUGUUUCAUAAUAAACUGAAUAACUUAAUACAAGGUCAUGCAAGAAUCUGAAUUUGAACUGUAAAUUAUGGACUAUGGGAGAUACUAAUAACCGGCAUACUCCAAUCUGAGCUAACCGGGGCCUAAUCUAUAACUCUGACUGGAAGGGUGUUUAGUAUAUUACCAAGGAUACAAUUACUGACUGACGUAAAUUCACUAAACUGGUGUUCAAACGGACUAAGGUGUCAAGCCUAGUCAGAUGGGUGAACCUUUGAAACCUACGGUGAUGCCGUAAUUUUGGAACUUAGGAACUUUUAUUAAAAGUAUCAGCCUAACUAGAGGAUAAGUCAUUAUCCCUUCAUCCACUCAGCGCGAAGUACUACUCCUAACUAAAUGACAUUGAAAACUGCAAUGCUCAAGGAUAAUGAUAAUAUGAAAACUGAAAUAAAUGCAUUAUCUAAAAGCAUUUAAAAUAUGUAAACUGGGGGGGUAUAGUACUUAAACGUAUAUGCAUGAAAUUCUAGGUCAUCGAGUGUUCAUAACUCACCAUCUUUGAUGGGUGUAACUAUCAUGCCAGUUUCAUAUCCUGGGUGAAAUUAAGGAUUUUAAUAAUUAAAGUCCAAACCUGUAGGUUUCAAUAUGUAACUAGGAUUUGUGUCAUACUAUAAUUUAUGAUAAAACGUGAAUUACAACUCAAUGACACCAAGGGAAUAAGGUAUCAAGGAAUUUGACAACAUUCAUCAACCCUAAAUUAUGAAGAAGUUUGGGAUCCAAAGGGUGAAAGGAGACUCAUUGAUGAAAUUUCACAUACGUGGUAAUGAAAACCCUAAAGAAUUCUUUAGAAUUGCUAUCCUUAAGAAGAUGAACCCUAGCUCUGCCUUGGGCAAAGAAAUUGUCUAUUUCUCUGUUUAAAAUAAAGUGUCAGUGUUUGUCUAAGAAAUAAGGGCUUAGGAUAACAUUAACCCCAAUAAUCAUCCUUGAAAUAUCAUAAAUGACAUAGGUUUUAUGUUAAAAGAAUGAAAAAAGACUGAUAUGCAGCUUCAAAAUUUACAACUGGUAACUUGUCAGACCCAAAAACUAAGGGUCAUGAUGGCACUUGUCGCGGCAAGUCUUGAAAAGUAAGCCUAUCAUACAAACUGGUAUAAAAGAGAAAAUAACAACAAUAACCCAAAGUAAGGCUUCUAAAACAAAGCUGAAUUACACAAUAAAUUAAAAGCGAAAGAACAUAACCAAAGAUAUCAUACCAUAAUUUUAAAACCUGGUGUCACAGUGUAAGAACAUCACUAGUACAACUCGAGAUCAAAAUAUACAUAAGAUAUCCAAAGCAAGAAAAACUUUGUCUCUGAAUGCAAAAUAAAAAUAGUCUAAAUAAAUGAAGGUAGUAGUCGACUACAAAAGUAAGAAUCCAGCUACUACCUUGAAUAGCUCAAAAGUAUCGCCCAAAGUCAAUCACCGUGAGGCACACUCGAACCAGGAUCUACACUGAAAGAGUGUAGUAGGGGUGAAUAUGUCCACUUAUACUCAACAGGUAUCAUAGGCCGACUAAGCAAAGUAGAAAAUAAAGGAUACAAAAUACACACUAAGGGCAUGUCACCUGCAACCAAAAAAUGUCCUAAAUGAUAGCCUACACCAUCUCUACUUACAGUUCUAUAAUAUUCACAUACACCAUAAUAAUAAAAAAGAGAAGCACAAGUAUAUAGGUAUCACAUAUACGAAUACAAAGGAAGAAAUAAACAUACAAAGGUAUCACAUCAAGAAAAAUAAUACAUCAUAGAAAUGUACGAAGUAAAUACAUAUGUAAUAAAAAAGAUAAUGAUAAUGUUAAUGAUGAUGAUGAUGCCUUGAGGAUAUCACACAACUUCCAUAUACACCUACGGAGCUAAAGCUUUCCAAUGUAGGACCCAUGAGGUUUUCAUCAACCCAUAUACAACUAAUAUCCAUAACUUCUUUUUGGCACAUCCAUCGAUAGAGGGUUUUAAAGAUGUAAUAUUUUUCUGGCAAAAAAUGAUAGUGUUUCUGGUAUUUUCAUGGAGGAACCAAUGUUUCAUGAAUGUAUAUGAUAUGAGGAUGUAAUGCUCACAACCGAUCAAAAUGAGUAUGUCUAUAUCUAACCAAUAUACCAACCAAGUGAACCAAUAAUCCACUCAAUAUUUUCAACCAUCCAUGAAUUCCAACAUAAUUCAUAUGCUAAGAGAGUAGAAUACAAUUAAAUUACACCACUAGUACCACAUUAGGUUUUUUCAUUAAUGGGAUACAAUUAAUUUCACAUAUACAAGGCCAACCACAUCAUAUAAGACCCUACACGGUCACACAUAACAAAUGAUGUUUCAAAAAACACCAAAUACAUCAGUAUGUAGGCCCCACACGGGCACAACACAAUUAUUACAGCCAUUUUCAUGACUAGUUCUCACACCCUUAACAUGCUUUUUGUAUCAACAUUAACUACCCAAUCAAGUCUGAAGAAAGCAAAGCCAUAAUCUACCUCGAAUGCCAAAAAUCGAUCUGAAAGCCUUCAAUCUGAAGUGUUACACCUCAUGAACAGACUCAAAAUUAACUAAAUCAUAUAGAAUCUAUGCAUCAAAAGAAAGCCAAUAAUACUCAUAUUACCUAAUUUUGAGUAUAGGUCAAAACGGACCUCCGAAACGGAUUUUGAAAAAGAAGGAUAAAAUCAUAAUUUUAUCUUUUAAAACAUAUUUCUCAUAUGUAUAGGAAUCUACAUUUGAAAACCCAAGUGAAAAUAAAUUAAAAAUGAGGUCCUAAUUGAAAAAAAAAUCAUGCUUAAGCAUUACCGAUGCAAAUUCUCAAAAUUUAUUUUAAAAGCAAGAAUUAAAGUUGUUUUGAAGAUAAAAUCGAAAGAAAAGUGAUAAUUAUAAGUUUAGAAAGUCACCCAAGUGAAAUCAAGGUUUAAAUUAGAUAAUUAAAAUUUUUAGGCCUUAUGAGCCAAAAUUUCCAAUUUCUACCUUUUUAAUUCGUGUUUAAACAAGAAAUACAUGGCAAAAUUUGGAGAAAAUAGAUGAAAUAGUUGUUACAGAGCUUAUCCAGGAUUAAAAGUGAAAGAAAUUGCUCAAAAUCAUAAAACGCUAAGCUCCAAAAAUGGUGAAAAUGGUUAAACAUGGAUAUAUAAAGGGCCCAGACAUGGUAUACACGAUUAUUGAGUCGUGUAUGUCAUACCUGUCCUGAGGGAAGGUAUUGCAUAUGCAAAUCUGUCAUCGCAUGUGUGAGUCCUGCGAUAGCGACCAAGAUGUCACGUAUGCAAUAUUUGCAUCUAGUCAGCUGAGUCGUGUAAGCGACUAGACAUCACAUUUUUGGGAACACCAGCACCAGCUGGAGACUUGGAGUCUCCACGGAUCCCUCAAAAUUCAUCCACAAUCAUUGAACACAAAGAAACUAUGCUACCCUACCAAGUUUGAUGCUUCAAAAUUAAUAGAGAUAUCAGAUUUUCGAAAAAAUAAUGUUUUCACAAAGUUGACCCCCAAAUCUAAUUUCACAACUUUUCGAAUUAAGGGUCGAAAUGAGAUAUAAAAUUGAUAAAACCACAACAACCAUGUUACCAACCUAAGAUUGAUGUUUUGGAUCUGCUAGCGCGGUCUGUCUUGCCAUCUGAUGCAUAGAUCAAUAAAUAUUGAUCGAAGUUAACUAUAAGGCGUUUCAAACCAUCAAACACCAUGAUUUCAUAUAAAUCACACCAAAAUGCAUUGGGAACCAUGCCAAGCAUCCCCACACUCUAAAAUACCACAAUGCAAUCAUGGGGAGGGGUAAAAUGGUUAAAUCACACAAAAUUGAUUAUUUCACAUAAAUUAUCAAAAAUCAGGUUGUUACAUCAUCCACCACUAAAAAUCUAGUUCGUCCUCGAACUAUAGGAAAGGGAAAAUACUUAAAUUAGCAAAGACUCGACCUCCCAAGUAGCCUCAUCUACAGGUCAUUGCUUUCACUAGACCUUAACCACUGAAAUAACUCUAGAACACAAUCAUCUAAUAUCUCUAGCGAAGAUGGAGACAGGCUCCUCAAUAAAAGAUAACCUAUCAUCUAACUUAACUGAAUCCCAACAAAUGAAAUAAUACUCAUCCAGAAUGUAACGGCGAAGCAUGGAAACAUGAAAAACUAGAUGAACAGCUAAUAAGUCUGGGGGAAAAGACAACUCAUAAGCCACAUCACCAAUAGUCCGAAGAAUCUUAAAUGGCCAAAUGUACCUGGGGCUAAGAUUACUCUUCUUCCCAAACCCUAUCACGCCCUUCAUAGGCGAAACUCGAAGGAAAAUACGAUCACUAACACCAAAUAUCAAGAUACAAAGUCUACGAUCUGCAUAGCACUUCUACCUAUUCUGAGUUGCUCGAAGUCUAUCAUGAAUGAUCUGAACUCUAUCCAAAGACUCACGAAGUAAGUCCUUACCUCGUGUUCUAACCUCAGAAACCUCAAACCAACAAACUGGAGAGCGACAAUGCCUACCAUACAAGGCCUCAAAAUGACCCAUAUUAAUACUGGAAUGGUACGUAUUAUCAUAUACAAACUCUGUCAAAGCUAGAUGUUGGUCCCACUAGCCACCAAAGUCUACCACACAUAAGCGGAGCAUAUCCUCUAAUACCUGAAUAAUCCGAUCUAACUGUCCGUCAGUUUAGGGUGAAAUAUUGUACUAAGAUCGAUCUGAGUACCCAACUCAUCCUUAAAGUUCUUCCAAAAGUAGGAUGUGAACACUGAACCUCGAUCUGAGAUAAUAGACAUAGAUAUGGGUUAACCUCUCAACACUGAAAAAGACCUAAAUCAAAAUAAAGUGAGCAGACUUGGUCAAUCGAUCCACAAUGACCCAAACAUUAUCAAAAACAUGAGAAGUAUAUGGCAAUCCAGUCAUGAAAUCUAUAGUAAUUUAUUCCCACUUUCUCUUGAGAUUGGGUAACCUCUGAAGCAAUCCGUCAGGCCUCAAAUGCUCGACCUCCAUCUGUUCGAAAUAAAGGCAAUAAGCUAUGAAGUCUGCUACAUCCUUCCUCAUACCACACCACCAGUAAUGUUUCCUCAAAUCACAAUAUAUCUUAGUCACUCUCGGAUAGAUAGAAUACCUGGAAUAAUGGGCCACCUCUAGAAUCAAUCUAAUCCAAUCGCCUACUUUCAAUACACAAACUCAGCCUCCGAUCCUCAAAAUACCAUUCUAAUCAAGUAAGGCUUCCCUAGCGUCACAACUCAACACCUUAUCUAGAAUCAACCUCAAUUCAACAUCAUCAAACUGAUAGGCUCAAAUUUGCUCCAUCAAAGAAGACCUAGCCUCCACAAAUGCCAAAACACACCCAGGCAUCAAAAAUAUCAUGCCUAACUAUCUAGUUAGCCAAAGACUAAAACUCUAAGGCCAAGAUCCUCUCCUAGGUAAAAAGAUGUGCCAAUAUACCCAUACUAGGCGACUUCCAACUCAAGGCAUCUACAACUAUAUUAGCCUUGCCCUGAUGAUACAGAAUAGUCAAGCAUAAUCCUUAAUAACUCAAGCCAAUAGUGUUGCCUCAUAUUAAGAUCUCGCUGGAUGAAGAAGUACUGAAGGCUAUGAUAAUCUAAGAAAAAAUCACAACGAACUCGUACAAGUAGUGCCUCCAUAAAUUCAAGACAAAAACAACCACACACAACUCCAAAUCAUGGUUAGGGUAAUUCCUCUCAUGGGGGCUUCAGACGAUGAGAACCAUAGGCAUUCACCUUACCCUUCUACAUAAAUAUAAUACCUAACUCAACACCUAAAGUAUCAUAAAAGAUAGUAAAAGCUACACACUCCUUGGGUAAAGUCCAGAUAGGAACUGAUGUCAACAAAUCCUUAAGCAUUUGAAAGCUUGCCUCAUAAGCAUUAAAUUACUAAAAGGAAAUCUUCUUCUAAGUCAACUUGGCCAAAGGAGCUAUAAUAGAUGAGAAAUCCUCAACAAACAUCGGUAGUAACCUACUAAGCCAACAAAACUCCAAAUCUCAGUGGACAAAGUAGGCCUAGAACAAUCAUGAACCACUGCAAUCUUGACUAGAUCAACUAUAAUACUUUUCUUAGUCACCACAUAACCCAAGAAAGAGACAGACUUCAAUCAAAACUUACACUUAGAGAACAUAGAAUACAACUUCUCAUCCUUCAAUCUCUGAAGCACAAUCUGUAAAUACUCCUCACGAUCGGCCUCACUCUUGGAAUAAACAAAGACAUCAUCUAUAAAUACAAUCAUAAAAUAGAUGGUAUACGGCCAAAUUACCUAAUUCAUUAAUUCCAUAAAUGUGGUUGGGGCAUUGUCAACCCAACGGACAGGACCAAGAACUCAUAAUGACUGUACCGAGUCUAAAAAGUUAUCUUCAAAAUAUCCAAAGCUCUAAUCCUCAACUAGAGAUACCUGAAUCUCCAAUCAAUCUUUAAAAAUAUUGAAGCACGCUGAAGUUGGUCGAACAAAUCAUCAAUCUAAGAAAGAGAAUACUUAUUCUUUACUGUCACCUUGUUCUACUGUCUAUAGUCAAUACACAUACAUAUAGAACCAUUUUUUUCUUCCCAAACAAGAUAGGUACACCCAAAGGUGAUACACUAGUUUAGACAAAUCCCUUAUCCAACAACUUAUGUAAUGGAUCUUUAAUUCUUUCAACUCGGCUGGGAUCAUCUAAAAAGAAAGAAUAAAUAUAGGCUUGGUUUCGAACUCAAAAUUAAUGGCAAAGUCAAUAUCAUAAUCCGGAGUCAUACCAGGUAAAUCUGUAGAAAACACAUUCAUAAUCUCAUGGACAACCCAAAUAGAAUCAAAAGAGGGAGGUGAAGCAACACUAGUAUCACGAAUAUGAGCUAAAUUAGACAAACAUCCCCUCUAAAUCAAGAAACGAUCUUGAAUAUAAGAUAUAACCUUUAAGGGACCUAAAUGAAGCACAUAUACCAAGCUACCCUUGGCAAACCCAACGAAGCUACAGUAACGGUCUUAGCAUAACAAUCUAUGACAGUAUAAUAAGGAGCCAACAAAUCCAUACCCAGGAUGAUGUCGAAGUCGACCAUAUCUAGAACAAGCAAAUCUACCAAAGUCUCAUACCCAGUAAAAGUCGCAAUACAGGAUCUAUACACCCAAUUCAUCACUAAAGAAUCUCCUACAGGGGUAGAUACAUGAAUAGGCAUGGCAAAAGGCUCACUAGAAGAAUCAAAACCCAAAGCAAAAUAUGUAGAUACAUAAGAGAAUAUUGAUCUAGAAUCAAAUAACACAUAUGUAGAUCUAAAAUAAAUAAGGAUGGUACCUGUGAUAACAGUAUCAAAAGUCACUACCUCUAGAUUGGCAGGUACAGCAUAGCACUGUCCACAACUAUUGACUAGCUGAAUAGCCCCGUGAUUAACACCAUAGGAUCCACUACCUCUACCUCAUGCACCUCUAGUAGAACCCCUACCUCUAACAACUAAAAUAAGAGUAGCCCUAAUUAUACGGUAGGGACAGUCCUUGGCCAGAUGGCUAAAUUCAUCACACACAUACAAGACUCUAUGGCUCGGCUCAAUGAAAGAAGGUACAAUUAGAUUAAAAUGGCCACCCAAAACAAUAAAACCCAUUACCUAAACUAUGCAAGGAUUCCUGCAUGGGUCUACCAUGAUGAUAAUGUUAAUAAUGAUGAUGAUGAUAAUAAUAAUGAUAAUGAUGCUUGAGGUUGUGGCACAACAUCGUAUACACCUACGGAGCUACAGCUUUUCUACAUAGGACCUAUGGGGGGUUUGUCAACCCAUGUACAACUAAUAUCUAAUACCAAUAUUCAUAACUUCUCUCAGGCACAUCCAUUGGGUAGAGGGUUUUAAAAAAGCCAUAUUUUAUGUCAGAAAAAGCUAAUGUUUCUAGUAUUUUCAUGGUGGUACCAAUGUUUAAUAGAUGUAUAUGAUAUGAGGGUGCAAUGCUCACAACAACCAGAAUGAUUAUUUCCAUAUCCAACCAAUAUACCAACUAAAUAAGCUAAUAAUCCACUCAAUAUUUCCAACCGUCCAUGAAUUCAAACAUAAACCAUAUGCCAAGAAAGUAGAGUACAAUUAAAUUACACCACUGAUACCUCAUUAGUCUUUUUCAUUAAUAGGAUAUAAUUAAUUUCACGUAUACAAGACCAACCACUUCAUAUAAGACCCUACACAAUCACACAUAACAAAUAAUGUUCCAAAAACCACCAAAUAUAUCAGUAUGUAGACCACCACACGGGCACAAAACAAUAAUUAUAGAAAUUUUCAUGAUUAGUUCCCACACCCUUAACAUGCUUUUGUAUCAAUAUUAACUACCCAUCCCAGUCUGAAGAAAUUUAAGUUAUAACCUACCUCUAAUGCCGAAAACUAGUCUAAAAUCUUUCAAUCCAAAGUCUUACUCCUCAUGAACAGACUCGAAAUAAACUAAAUCAUACAAAUAUAGAAUUUAUGAGUCAAAAAAAAGCCAAAUAUACCUAUACUACCUAAUUUUGAGUUGGGGUCAAAACGAACCCUCGAAACAUGUUUUUUGAAAAAAAGGGUAAAAUCAUAAUUUUACUUUUUUAAAUAUGUUUUCCAUAUUUAUAGUAGUCUACAUCUAAAAACCCAAGCAAAAAUGAAUUAAAAACAUGGUCCCAAUUGAAGAAAAAUCAUGCUUAAGUUUUACCGGCAAAAAUGCUCAAAAUUUAUUUAAAAAUCAAGAAUUGAAGUUGUUUUAAAGAUGAAACUGAAAGAGUAGUGAUAAUUAUAAUAUUAGAAACUCACCCAAGUUAAAUAGGGAUUUAAAUUAAAGAAUUAAAAAUUUUAGGCCUUACGUACCGAAAUUCCCAAUUCCUACCUUUUUAAUUUGCGUUUAAACAAGAAUUAUAUGAUAUAAUUUGGAGAAAACAAUUGAAAUAGGUGUUAUGGAGCUUACCCAGGCUUAAAGUGGCUGACAUUUCUCAAAAUCAUGACACUCUAAGCUCCAAGUUUCAAGUAUGAUGAAAAAUGGUGAAACAUGGGUAUAUAAAGGACCUAGGCAUCGUAUACGCGAUCAUCGGGUCGUGUAUGCAGUACCUGGCCUAAGGCAGGUAUCGCAUAUGUGAAGGCAUAUAUGCAAUUUCCAUGAUUGCAAAUAAGAUGUCGUGUAUGCAACACUUGCAUUUGGUCACAUGAGUCACGUAAGUGACUGAUCCAUCAUGUUUUCGAGUACACCAGCACCAGCUGGGGACUUAGAGAAUUCCAUGUCUUCGCAGACCCCUCUGGAUUUAUCCAGAAUCCUGAGAACACAAACAAAUUAUGCUACCCUAUGAAGUUUGAUGCUUCAAACUUAAUAAUGAUAUCAGAUUUUCAAAAAAAUGAUGUUUUCACAAAGUUGACCCCCAAAACCCAACUUCACAACUUUUUGAACCGAGGAUCAAAAUGAGAUAUAAUACCAUAAAACCACACCAUCAUGUUACCAACCUAAAAUUGACAUUUAAGAUCUGUUUGCACUGUCUAUUUUUCCAUCAGACACAAAGAUCAAUGAAUGUUGAUUGAAACCAACUAUAAGGCAUUUCAAGCCAUCAAAUACAAUAAUUUUACGUAAAUCACACUGAAAUGCAUUGGAAACUAUUCCAAGCACCUCCACACCCUAGAAAUACCAUAAUGUAACCAUUAGGAAGGGUAAAAUAGUUAAAUUAUAUAGAAAUAAAUAUUUCACAUAAAUCAUCAAAAAUUAUGUCAUUAUAAAACUCUUGGAAGGGACGUACGAAACCUUCCCACGACCUACAAUCAUGUGUUGUACUCAUGGUUGGGUGCUGGAUAAGAGCUCUCUAAACAUAAUCAGAUGAUCUUUGGUAUAAUCAUGGGAUAUACCUACGUUCAUUCAUUCGUAGGUUUGAAGUUUUAAUCAUAAUCAUUUGUAGGACUCAUGAUCAUGCCUAGGAUCGUGGUUUCAAAGAAUUAUAGUGGUUCUCUCUCAUGUUUGGAAAGUAUACAUGUCAAAUUUUAGAUGUUGGAGUUGUCGUGACCAGACGAGACCAUUGUACGGUCAUACAAUGUAACCUCAGUCGUGGUUUGGCUCGUGAUAUCUCACUGUAGGAUAGUUCUUUACUAAAAAGGCCAUAAAUCUUUAAUCUGGUAUGGAAUUAAGAUGAAACUGGAUGAUUUGGAAAUAUAAUUUAAAUAUCUAUCAUUUAAUGCGUAUAGAUCUUAAAGAUGCUUUAGAAUCUAAAAUUUAUAUUCAUUUGAAGUUGAUCAUUUUUAAGGAAUCGAUUGGUAAGGGAGGUUUUGGAUUGGUUAAGGGAUACGAGGUUCUUGUGGCCUUGGUACAUGGGCAAAUUCCUUCUCAUACUAUUAAAACUUGAUGUUUAGUCCUACAUGUACUUGAAACAUGGUUCUAGCCUUAGCUUGAAUUUUUUUGAGUGCUACAAGAUUAGUAAUUAGACUGCUAAUAAAUAUAGGAAUCGAGCCAAAAUUAGUAAAUGAUAAUCAUUAUAAAGGAUGCCGAACUUCAAUCUAAACUCAUAAGUAAUGCCAAUACAGCAUAUAUCGGACUAGAACCAAAAUUGAUAGGUAAUAGUACUAAAGAAAUCACCGAACUCGAACCAAAAUUGAUAAGUAUUAAAUCGAUGACAACAUCCCAAGUUUUAACCCAUCCCAAACCCACAUAACCAAUAAUAUUCAAUUUUAAGUGGUUAACCCUCUGAGGCAUGGAGGAUUAUUAUCAUGGCUUAAAGCGUGGUCUAAGGAUAAAAGCUACACUACCCGAGGUAACUUAGCUAAAUAAGCAUAAAACAAAGCCUAAGUUAGCCCCCAAACACUGGUAAUAUCCUAUAGAAGCAACUAAGUGGCUAUUAAAGUCAACACGAGGGUUAUUCCAAGCUUUUUAUCUAAAAUGGAUAGUGUGGCCCACUACCAAACCCCAAUAACCUAACCUAAGGCAAGACCCUAUGCCAACCUAGGCUAAGGCUUCUCAAUCCCAUACCAAGGAAGUAAAAGAUCUAAGGCUAAUCCUAAAGGAUGAUAAUAUACUGACCUAAGGGAAAAUAGGCCCGAACUCUCUCAAAAAGGGGCCCUAACUAGCUAAAUACGAUACUAAAUGCUAAAAUAACAGUUGAACAACAAAUAUCAACUCAUAGCUAGCAUAAUACUAUGCUAAUAUCAUAAUUAAGCACAAUCUAUAAGAAAUAUAAGCCUAGCCUACCUGGACACUAUCGAAAGCUUAAAAAAUCUUUACUUUGAAGCUUUUUCUUUCUGAUAAACCUCCGACAACUACUAUGCUAUCAAAACAAUAAUCUACGUAUCAAGAUAAGAAUAUCAAUACCCAUAUUGUGUAUUUAUGCUCUAAAUUAAAAAUUAGACUAAAAAUCUUAUCUGAAGUCUGCUGGCGGAAUCACAAAAUUGAAACAAUCAUAGUGUCCCUCUUAGCUCAAGUAUCAUUUGCCCUAGUAUUGGAUAAAAUGUAAGCUCAAUAUAGCCUUUAAUCAGUCUUAACACAAUUCAAAGAUAUAAACUAAAUCAAAGAAUUAAUCAAUGAAAUUAACUAAAACUCAUGAAUAUUAAUGAUAUAAUUCUUCCAAUCAGGUCCCCAAGCUAAUCCUUACAUCAACUAUUAAUUUCCACAUUAAUUUUAAGCUAUUAAUUCUCUAACAGUGUCCACCACAUAGAAAAUAUGUUAGAAAAAUAAAGAGAAAAUGCUUAUAUAUUUUCAAGGGUUUCCUUAUUGUGAUCGCGAGGUCCCUUGGUCGCGAUUACAAUAUCCCAUUAAUGGAACCAUCACUGAUUAUAGUGGCCUAUCCAUGCGGGCACGAUGAGCAAGCUGACUCAAUCCCAUUGUCUCUUUCAUCACGAUCGGAAGUCCCCAUCCUCGUGAUCGAGAUGACUAUGAUCAUGGAUCCCUCGUGAUAUUCCUCAUUCCAAUAACGAUGAAGGACUUAUGACUGCACCAGGUGUUGAUGCACAAAUAACUUUGGCAAGUUGAAAAUAUUUUGUUCGGGUCCUCGAGAUUUGUUUGAAAUUUUGUAAAUUCAAAUGAGUAAUGCUACCCUACAAAAUUUUGUAUUUCGGACUCAAUAGUUCCAUCAAAAUUUUUAUCCAAGGCUUUUUUAAUAAAAAGUGAGUCCCAUGCCUAAGAGGUUAUUUUAGCCAAAAUCUACCCAACAGCUCAAAAUAAGCCUAGAAGACUCAAAACCCGAAUUAAGGAUCCUCCUAACUCAAAAUCAAUAUUCCAAAGUUGAUAAAGUUGUCAGAAUUGGCAUUCGAGUUUGUUUACAAAAUGUUUAGGUCUGAGACCGUAUUCUUAAUAAUGAAAGCCCUAAAAUAGAAAAAUGACUCCAAACACUAAACAAACUAUCUGAUAACCGAACUAUCAGUCCCAACAAGUCAUAAAUGACUUGGGAAAGCUAUAGAGAAACUCCAAACUCAAAAAAAAGUAUGAAAAUACAAUAAUUAACCUGGAGGGUCAUUACAAAUUUUGUACCCAUCUUAAUUAUCAGUAAUUAAGUUUAUAGUUGUUAUGUAUUUUUUAGUUUGUCUAUUGAUAUUUUAGGUAUGCAAAAUCUGGGAAGAGUUGAUAGUUUUUGAAAUAAAAAUGUAUCUAUUUGUAUAUAAGUGCGUGUGAUUUUACCCAUCUUAUUUGAUAUUGUUUAUGACAAUACUUUUAAUAAAAAAAGUUAAUGGUGUGUUCAUGAAAGUGGUAUAGUUAGAUUUGUGUAGAUGCAUGCAACAUCUGAUCUUUUCUCGUUUGGUAGGUACAUCGAAGACAUUACUUUUGUAUUCCUAAUCUUCUCUUUAUAGUAUUCUCUUUUAUAUGAAUUUUGAGCAAGUGUAAGAAAUAAUUCAAAAGAGACGAUUUGUAAAAUGGGAAAUUAUAGAUUUGAAUGGUUAGAAUUAAUUUAAAAUAGUUUGAGUCUCUCUCUCUACGAUGUUGAUGUACCGGCUUAUGACGAUACAUUUUUAUCUCCUAGGAAGGAUAAUUGCAUAUUUCUAACAACCAUUACUAUUAUUUAAUGUGUUUUGUGCUUGUUCUCAGCAAUCAGCUUCAAAGGCAUGAACUAUCAGAAUUUUAAGUUAAAGAGUCCUGUGAUGAGAAUACUGAUGGGCCGCCACUGUGUUGAUGGACCAUCGCACCAAAAUUCACCAUAAAAUAAAAAGGUUAGAAAUCUGGAGUUGGGCGAUGAUUCAACCAAUAGACCGUCAGGGUAGCGAUGAGAUGACACUCUAACCGUCCCAACAAAAUGGAAUGCAUGAAAAUACUAAGGUAGGUGACGAGUGGGGAGGUGGGUCAUCAGACCAGUGAUGAACCAUUACCGAAACUGUUGAGAGCAUCAUUGGGCAGAUCCCUUCUGGAUAAGUAGCAAUGGUUAAAUCGAUUGUUAAGCCAACCUUCCUGAUGAAGGAGAAGCAUGGAAAUAUUGAGGCAGGUGACAAAAGGGGUGAUGGGCCAUCGGACUAGUGAUGGAUCAUCAUUGAAGCCGUCGAGAGCAUCACUGGGCAGAUCUCUUCUGGAUAAGAGAUACGAUUAAGCCUAUGAACCAUAGCCCUAUUGAUGGGCCAUCUAGCGAGCCGUUAAUUUUGAUAUGGCAGCACAGUUUUGAAAUUUAAAACCCAACUUUAUUGGAGACUAUAAAUGCCUAACUUAGGGUUAUUAUAGGCAUCUUUUGACUAGUUGUUGAUUUUGUAACGUAAGUACUGAUAAGAAACAAGUUUGGAGUUGUUGAACGGAUUGCUUGUGGUUUUGAAUUUGGAUUGUGAAUUCUUAUUUCUCUUCAUUGUAAGUUUAACCUAUAAUUUAUAAAAUUAAUCUUUUUCAUCUAUUCUCUGAUCAUGAGUUGCUAAUACUCCAUACCUAGCAUUAUGGAAUCUUUGGUGGAAUUUUUAUUCUAAGUUAUGGGUUAUUGAGUUUAUCUUAAAAUUAUGAUUAUAUCAUAUUCUCUUUAUUUUAAUAAAUUAUCCUAGUUGUAAACUUGAGAAUGUAUCCUAAAACAUAACUUGCUUGAAUAGGGAAGUUACUAUUGGAAAAAGAGAAUAGUGACAAGAAGUUAGAAUUUUCAACCUCUAAUUAUAGAUUAAUGCCUUAGAUAGAAUAAUCUCUUGGAGAAUAAGGUGCAUUUCGGUCAUCACUUUAAGUUUGAGAAAAUUAAAGUGAAUCCAUCCUUGAAGGUUGGUAAACACUUGGAUAGAAUGUUCAUUUCAAUUUCUCUAAAAUCACAAGUAAAAGUAUGAACUCACAUACCUUAUACCUCAGAAGUGAUUGAAAUACCAAGGUGAACAUAACUCUAGUUUGCUAUUUUCCUAUUGUUAACAUGUUAUAAAGAAGGCAUUAGUUUUGAAUUGACUAAAAUUUCUCAAUUAGCAUUUCAACCAAAACCCCAUAAUCAAAAAUCUAUGAUUAGAAGUCUAUUAAUUUGCAUACAACUUAAUUAGCACCUUAUUCCCUAUGAAAUUCGACCCCAACCUUUGGGUUAUAUAUUUGACAAUGACCACUUACACUUUUUUUGAGGAUUUGUAGUUUGGACAUAUCAAUUUUUGGACCGUUAUCGGAGAAUACAGUUGUUAAGUAAGUUUAUGUGUAUUAACUGACUCUUUGUCUAGUUUCCUAAUUUUACUUUUAUUUGUUGUUUUUUUGUGUUUGCAGGCUAUUAAUUGUGCAUGUCGUAAACUCAUCGGUCAGAUGAACCUCUAUGAUCUUAUGAUCCUUAACUUUUGAGAUCUUUAAGGAGGAAUAUGGAAACACAACAAGAGGCUGAAAGAUCGGCUGCACUGGUUGUCGUCCAAUUGAACUAAUAAAAUGUCGAUGCACCCAUUCAUGUGAAAAAUAAUAAGGAUAAGAAUCUGGGAGAUGAUGAGUUGGUUGUUCUAAUAAAUAGGCAACUUAUCAAUAAUAUUGCACCAGCCAACAGGAAUUAGCAAGCACGAGGCAGAGAAUAUCAAUAUCCCGCAAUGCAGUUUGCACUAGAUUAUGAUGACAUUGAAUUGGAUAGUGCUAGUCCUACUCGACCUAUUGUACUACCCCCAUUGGCUCCCGAGGUAAAGUUUACAUUACUAUCACAAUGAUUCAAUUGCUCAACUUGAAAAGGUUAUUUGGGGGACUACCUAGUGAUGAUACGAAUAUGCACUUGGUGAUCUUUGUUAAAAUUUUAAGUCUUUUGACUAUCCAAAAAUUGGACAAAAAGUUAUCCAUUUGAGGUUGUUUCCAUUGUCUCUAUCUAGAGAAACAACUCUGCGACUGACUAAAUUGGCGCCCAGUUCUAUAACAAAUAGGAGGCAACUGAAAGGAACUUUUGUGGAAAGGUUAUUUUCGUCUUCCACAAUGUUACACAACUACGGAAUGAGGCCCUUCAUUAAACAUGGAUGAGAUUAUAGAAGAAGUUGAUUCAAUGCGCAAAUCACAAGUUAAUUGGUGAGCAUCAGAUGGAAAUGUUUUACAAGGCUUUGAACUCAAAACACAAUGCCAAUGGUGAAUAAUGCAAUGGGUGGAGCUUUUAUAGGUUGUACCUUUACAUAGACAAUUGAGAUCUUGGAUAGGUUAAUAAAGACAAGUAGAGCCUGGCAUAUCAGGGAUUCUGAGAAUAUGGUGCAUUCCGGUCGUCACUUUUUGAGAAAAUUAAAGUGAAUCCAUCCUUGAAGGUUGGAAAACACUUGGAUGGAAAGUUCAUUUCAAUUCCUCUAAAAUCACAAGUAAAAGUAUAAACUCCCAUUCCCUAUAUCCCAUAAGUGAUUGAAAUACCAAGGUGAACACAAUCCUAGUUUGCUAUUUAUAUAUUGUUAACAUGUUAUAAAGAAGACAUUAGUUUUGAAUUGACUGAAAUUACUCAAUUAACAUUUCAACGAAAAACCCCUAAUUCGUGGAAACUAUGAUUAAAAGUCGAUUAAUCACAUACAACUUAAUUAGCACCUUAUUUCUUGUGGAAUUCGACCCCAACCUUUAUUGAGUUAUAUAUUUGAUAAUGACCGCUUACACUCUUUUUGGGGAGGUGUAAUUUGGGCGUAUCAGUUGCUUUAUACUUUUUUAUUAUUUGAAUAGAGUGUGUGUAUUUUACUUUAAUCUCAUUUGAUAUUCUUGAACACUUACAAAUUGAAUAUAAGAGAUCUAUUAUAAGAAGGAUCAUAAAUUUUUAUCUUUUAAAAAAAAAAAUUGUAAAUGGCCUAUAAAAUCAAUUCUCUCAUGUGUACUUUAGUUCUUUUUUCUAAUCACUUUAAAGGUUAAAAGAAAAGUUAUACGGUCGUACUAGUGUUCCAAAUAUCAAAAGGCUCUAAUUUCAGGCAAUUUAGUACUAUAAAUGGACCAAUGUGCCCAAAUACUAAUUUCAAAGACCUCCCCCAAUUUUCUCCACAAUAUUAAUUUGUCUUGUUACUGUUGUUUUUUUAUUUUAUUUUAUUUAUAACUUUUUGUAUAGUUAUUAUUUGUAGUUUUUGUUUAAUACAUUACGAAUACUGCCACAUUUUUGCGUUUUAGUAAAAUCAUCCACCCAUGUCAACAUAUGGUUGAGAUUGCAGGAGUUGAAUCUUCGAGUUUAGUAUUGACUUUUUGUUCAACUCAAAGAAAUAGUUUUUUUCGAUAUGGGCAUGACAAUUUCGGGCUGGGAUUACUAUACAUUUUGUGAUUCAAAUGUAUUAUAAUGAACUAAAUUAACUGUGAAAAAAUAGAAAUACAUUUAAACGAGAGAAUAAUGCAUAAAAAUACAUUUGCUAUAUGUAUAUGGGUAUAUAUACAAAUGUAUAAUUAUUUAAAAAUAGUUUCACCCCAAAUUAAUUAUUCAGUGAAGAAUAACAUUUCUAAAUGAUGAAAAUCAUAAGAAUCAUUUUGAAUUUUCUUUUAAGAUGAAUUUUGAAGUAAAAAUAAAAAACUAGUUCAUCAAUUUAAUAAGGUCAAUAGGUUUGUGUGAAGCGCGAUUAGUUUUACUAGUAACUGCAUAUAACUUAAAUUUUACGUAGUUAAUGUACGGUGAGUUGAAACCUAAAGACAAGCUUGUCAAUUCUUUUUGUUGAAUACUUAUUAUGAUAUCACAACCUGAGUUAUUAGAUGAUCAUAAUUGCAGAUACUUUCAUCAUUUAUAAAUUGUAAAAGUUACAUAAAAUAGAGAUAAGAUUGUUAAGAAAGUGUAAAAAAAUAGUCUCGGGGCAAAUUGAUGGAUUGAAUUUGAUAGUUACCCAUUGAAGUUUCAACUAAACUAAUGAAAGAGAGCAUUUUCUACAAGAUGAGUAUAUUGCUUUUAUCGAAGUUAUUCUUUGUGCAUGAGUUAUCAUCGUAGAUGAUUCAGCCACACCUAAUGCACCAAGAUGAUUGAUAACUACUAUGAGGGCAGCUUGAUUAAAUUAUCAAAAGCAGCUUGUCAAAAAAAAAUUAACAAUAGAAAAGUAUUGAUAUUUUAUAAAUUUGUUGGUACUUAAUUUCUUACUUAUCUAUAGAAAUAAAUUGAAUUUAAUAUUUAUUGAGUUUUAAUUUCACUCAUAAUUUUAUGUGGCAAGAGUUUUUGCAAAAUUCAUUUUUUUAUUUAAUACGAUAAAUAUUUCAGUGACUUCAAGUAUAUAUAAGAACAAUAAAAAUAUUAAUUUAGACCCUUUUCACAAAUUAACUUAAUAGAUGAUAUUAAAUAAUAAUUAAAUUAUAUUAAUAGAUUAUUUCAUCCGGUUCAUUCACUUGUCGUGUUUAUUUUUUACAUUAAAAUACCCAUUGAAAGAAUAUUCUGUUAGUGUUAUGAAUGUAUUUACAUUAUAGUGAAUGUCUAUCAAGAAUAUAGAUAAGGUCUAUCAAGAUCUAGUUGAUAUCUAUCAAAAUUUGAAAUAUAUCUCUUUUAGUAAGAAAUCAGGAGUAAAUUUUUUCUAUAAAUAGUGGGGUUUUAUUCAUUGUAAAUCAUCCUUAAUCUUCUCAAGAAUCCCUCAAGAGAAAUAACAACUUCUCUCUAUACUCUUCUUCUUUAUUCUUUGUUGUUUUAUAACACGUUAUCAGCACGAGACUCUACCAAACAUAGUGAAAUUAUAAAUCUAAAGGUAAUUUCAAGGUUAGUAAUUCCUUAUGCUAUUUGUCUUUUGAUACUAAUGAUAUAAUUAUUGUUGGAUUUGAGGAAAAUAAAUUAAUUUGGAACCACUUAUUCUUUAAAUUUGUUCAUGAAGAACAAUAUUGUUAAAAGAUAUGAUGAUGAAUAAAAGUUUUAUCGUUUUGUAGCCUAAGACGUCUUUGUAUGGAUAAGACAUUGAGUUUGAAUCUCAAUGCACCAUAUUGAUGAUAUUAUGAUGGCUAAGACAAUAUAAUGUGUUUUCUAUGAAAGGUCAUGAAAAAUACCCCAUUGAUAUGCUCUAUUCCAUGUUGAACCUGAAAGUUGACAACUUGCUCCAUUCUUGAAGUGAAUGUGGUGGCAAUGCUUAAUAUGCCUGAAAGAAGACAAGUGAUUGAAUGCACGAAUAUACGCAUGGAGGAACAAUAUGAUAAUGAUGAUCAAAAGUGAUGAUAUUUUCACACGCAUAUUAUGAUCAUAAGAUAUGUUAGAGAAAAAUUCUCUAGAUCAUAUGUAUGCCUCGAUUUGCUCCUGAAGUAGUAAUAUUUUGAAAGAGGUUAUAAGCUAUCAUAAUUUGAUAGGCUUAAGGCACGAUUAUAUUUCAUUCCUGGGAAAUGAGAAGCUUAUUAAUAUAAACGUGCACUUGAUUGUGAUUGUAUCACACACAACUCACCUCUAAAAGAGGUAGAUAACUGAGAAGAGUUAUUUUGAAAUCUACUUCUGAAGCAGUAAAUCUGAACUUUAUUCAUGUAAUAGUAAAUCUAAAAUUUACUAAAGUUAAAGGUACAUGUCAUGGUAAACUUGGAGUUUGCUAAAAUAAAAGUUCAUAAAUUGACAUGAACGAUUGCGACAUUCCAAAGAUGUGCAUACGAACAUAUAUUGAAGAAUUAGAAAAUUCUUCAUUACUUUUAAUGUUGCUUGUUCUCAUGAUAAGUUGGUUGGACCAACUAAUUUUGGGAUUAAAUUCCUUAAAAUCUGAAAAGUAUAAAAAGUGAAUAAGGACCGGUUCACCAGUCAUGUGAUCUGUUAAGAUGCAUCGAUAUACGAUGAUCACUUGUACGUUUAUUGUCAACCUGCAGUUUGAAAUUCAUAAAGUAGCUUGCUCAAUAAAAUUGAGUCAAGAGCAUAAUUUUCAGAUUGCAUAAUCAAGAUAAUUCAUCUUGAUGAUGAUAGUUUAGCAUGGAAUGCCUUUAAUAAAUAGAUAAUUAUUAUUAAUGAGAGCAAAACUUGCAUGUGUUGGUGUGAAAUAUGAUAUAUUAUAUACAAAAUCACUUGUAUGAUCAAACCAAUAAAUUAUGAUUAAAAUCCCCCUCAAAGUUGGUUCUGAGUCAGGAACCACAUGUUGUCCAUCUAAUAGUUUUGAUGUGCGAGAUACUAUUAAUGAAUAUAUCAUGAUGCACAAAGAUGGAUUCCUCAAAGAAGAUGGAGGAUGUAUGUUAGUUUUCCUAAUAUAAUAGGAAGAUUAUAAGUAGCUAUGAAAUAUGUUAGGAAUUACCAUAGAUCUUCAUUCAAAAGAUGAUUCAAGUCAAAUGUCGGAAGCAUCUAUUGACUCAAAUUUAAUCUCAUAAUUAAGCUGCAAGUGCUCCUAUUUUAUGUCCCUGAAGGACAAAGUCUAUGAAUGUGUGAAGCGUGGUAGACCAAUCGGUUCCAAAUUAAAUAAUCCUUGAAGAAAAUGAGGAGCAAACAAUCAUAAUAAAAAGACAAUAUGCUCUUGAAGAGCCUACGACAUAACACUUCAUGAAACCUUAUGAGAGGUUCAGGUACCUGAAAAUAAUGAAGUGAUGAGAUCUCAAAAUGUUAUGUCACAUUGUGAACUGAUACAAAAUGAGAAACCUUUGACGAUAUCUUUGAUAAAAUAUUGGUGCAAUAUUCCAAAAGAUUAAGAGGAUCUGAAUUCUACAUUUAUUUAAGCAUGUUGACGUAGAAACAUUUAUCAAGGGACAUGAAAGGAUGUAUCUUGAUAAGUGUAAAACUUAUUUGAUUUGCGGUCCAGACACUUUAAGAUGUCACAUAUGAAAUGUUGAAUAUUGUCACUUGACAAAAUUUAAAUGAAAUCCUUUCUAAGGAUUUGAAAUAUUUGAAGCAUAUAAAAGUUUCUGGGAAACUUAUUUAGAAUCCUUAUAUUGUAUAAGCUUAUAGCUUGAAAAUUAUUGGAACUCUUGAAGAGUUUUCAAAGCAAUAGAUUAUUUGGUGAAAUGAGAAAUAUAACAAUUUAUAUUGAUUAUGAAGUACCAUAUCUUAGUGCAAUUAAUGCACCCAUGUUUCUUGUAAAUACUACAAAGACUAUAGCCUUUUCAGUUAAUUUGUUAGCAAGAUUGCAGUCCCGAUCUUAUUGGUCAUGCUGAUUUGGGGUACUUAUUUAACCCACAUAAAUCUUGGUCUCAAACAUGCAAUGUGUUCAUAUGUCGAAAUAUUGUCAUAUCUUAGACAUAUGCAAAGCAAUCUAUCUAGCCACUUCAUCGAACCAUGCUAAGAUACUAUCUAUUUAUGAAGCAAGUUGAGAAUGUAUAUGGUUGAGGCCCAUGAUACGUCCCAUUCAAGAAAAAUGCGGUUUAAAAUGAGGAAAUAUACCCAUAAUUUUAUACAGAGAUAAUGCAACAUUCAUAGCACAACUUAAGGGAGGAUUCAUAAAAUGAGAUAGAACGAAGCAAACUUCAUCAAAGCUUUUCUAGAUACAUGAGCUCCAAAAAAAUGGUGAUAUUAUUGCGCAAAAGAUUCAUUCAAGUGAUAAUAUGGAUAACUUAUUCACUAUGUCUCCUCCUUAUGCAACUUUCAAGAAGAUGGUGCACAACAUCGGAAUGCAAAGGCUCAAGGAUGUUCUCAUUAGGGGAAGUUAAUACGUGUUGUACUCUUUUUCCCUUAUGAGGUUUUAUCCCACUUGGUUUUACUUAUAAGGUUUCUAAUGAGGCAGCUGAAAUGCAUAUCAUUAGAGAUGUGUACUCUUUUUCCUUUACUAAAUUUUUUCCCACUAGAUUUUUUCUAAUAAGGUUUUAACGAGGCAUAUUAUCUAUCAAUUAGACAUUCAAAGGGGAGUGUUAUGAAUGUAUUUACAUUAUAGUGAAUGUCUAUCAAGAAUAUAGAUAAGAUCUAUCAAGAUCUAGUUGAUAUCUAUCAGGAUUUGAAGUAUCUGUCUUUUAGUGAGAAACUCAGAGUAAAUUUCCCCUAUAAAUAGAGGGGUUUUAUUCAUUGUAAAUCAUCCUUAAUCUCCUCAAGAAUCCCUCAAGAGAAAUAACAAUUACUCUCUCUACUCUUCUUCUUUAUUUUUUGUUGUUUUAUAAUAGUUAGCUCUUUUUUAAUUUUUUAUUUAUCAUUUUUCAUGUCUACUAAGAAAAACAAUAAAGACAAUAUAUUAUUUAUUAAUUAUUAAUUUUUUUAUUAUAUAUAUAUAUAAAUAUAUAUAUGUAUAUAUUAAGAAUUAAAUAAUAUUAAAAGAACUAUAAGGGUGUAGUUGAAAAUUAUUGCAAACUUUAAGUUUGUAUUAAAAAUUAUUUUCAAAAUAAAUUUUUUGAGUUGAAGUGAUUUUUAAUGAAAAUGAAUAAACAUUUAAGUAAAAGGUAAUCUAAUAAGUGGCAAGAAAAACCAAUUACAAAUGCACAAGUGAAAAUUAUCUUAAUAAAAAAAAUAAAGGCAAAAAUGAAAAUAUCUAACAAAAAGAUAACAUCAAUUGCCAUGUGUGAUAACUUAAGUCACUUAAUUAAAGAAGUGAAAUACCACAAAUGUCCUUGUGAGGAUCACCAAAAAUUGAGAUCCUCCCUUAUAUAUAGUAGUAAAGUAAAGUAAUAUAUAUCAAAUACUGGUGUUUGUGCCAACAUGGACCCAAUAUAUGUUCUCCAUCUGUUCAUUUUUACUUGUCCACUUUUGUAUUUGGAAUGCCAACAAUACUUAUCCAAUUUAUAAAUCAAUGGAUGUAUUACCUAUUUCUAUCCAUUUUAUCCUUAGUAAUGAGAUUGUGGGCAACAAAAUUUUAUUAAAUUGAAAUCCGUACGAAAUUCGGAUUAUGUUAAAUUAAAAAUAAAUUAGUCCCAAAUAAAUAUUAUGGAUUAAUAUAAUUAGAUUAAUUAUUCAAGUCCAAACAUAUAUAGAUUUAAUUAAAGUCCAAUUUUUAUUGAGCUAGUCCAUUGAUUUGGGCUACAAAUGAUGAGCCCACUUUGCUAAGCUCAAGAUAUUGGCAUAUUCUAGAGGCCCAAAUAAGCGUCAUAUGUCAAAUGACGUGGUAUGCCAAGUCAGUGAAGAAGCCAAUAGGACCAUGCCACAUGUCAAAAUGAUGCAACAGGCCUAGUGAAAUAAAAAAACACAUAAAAGGCAUCAUGUCACUUGAAUUUGAUUAGACAAAGGAAGUCCAUCUUCAUCAUGACUCUUCCUUUUCCACAACUAUAAAUAGAGAUUUCAUAAUUUAGAAAAGGGACCAACAACUCUAACAAGAAGUAACAGAAAACUUGUGGAUCAAAUGAUGUAAUUUUUCUACAAAGCUUAAGCAUUCAAGUCCAGUUCAUCAAGCUUUCAAAUCAGGAUCGCCAGAUUCAAGAACAAGCAUAAAAGCCCUUGAAUUCAAGAACAAGUCAAGAUCAAGUCCAUCAAAUCAACAAAUCAAGUUCAAAUUAAAGAUCAAGAUUUAAGCCCUUAAAUUUAUAUUUGAAAAGGAAAAUCAGAGGAUUCAUGGAGAUUGUAACACUCACUUAUUGAAAUCAAUAAAAUGAUUGAUGCAAUGUUUUUCUUGUCUCGGUUAUUUAUAUUUUGGUCUCGAAAUUUUAUUGUCCAAUAAAUUCUGGCACAUACAAUAAGACAAGCUCCACCUUUCAUCUCAACUUUUCUAACUUCAAAGUUAAGAACAACGAAUUGACUUCCAAGAAAGUCAAUUCUCAAUCAACUGCUCCCAAGGCUGCUGAUUCCAAAUUCUCUGUUGAAGUAGAGAGCAUCUUGGGCGUUACGUUUGGAAGCUUUGGAGCUGUCAUGAGGAGCAAGGCGAACAAGCUAGGAAAAUAAACAUAUCAAGUUUCAUCCUCGCCAACUCCAGUUUUUGGAUCUUUAACCCCAAAAGGAGUGAGAUCCGAUGAAACUACUUCAGAAGGAGGAAGCGAUGUGGAAGAGUCACUUAAGAAAACUCUAGCUCUACUUGAGCACUCUAGUUCCAAAUACUCUGGCACAAAGAACGAUAGUUAUUCAACCAAUACAUUGUCUCCAUUUACACCAAAAAAUCUGAGUACUUCAAAGAUCAACUUACGCGAAAAUCCGUGUUACUCUCUAAUAUGUCCAGUAAUUAUGCAAGUAAUGGUGACUGAUGCCUCAUCUGUAGAGGAGUUGCUUGUAAACCUAACGAGGGCGAUUGAAGAUCUCACUAAGUAUGUACAGAAUCAAGACGCUCAAAUAGAUAAGUUGACAAACAGAAUAGAUAGCUUAAUAGACGGAGAGUCUAUCCAUAAACCUGGGAAAUCACCAAAAGGUCACGAGACAGAACAUCCAGAAAAAAAAUGCCACCAACUAAGAAGGUACAUAUUUCUUCUAAGGGAAUGAUCCUAAUUAAUUAGUUGAAACAGUUUAUUGAAGGGACCUUCAAAUAUAAGUAUGUUGUUGUCACCAAGUCUUCCCUGACAUAUGCCAAUCUUACACUGCAGGAAUUGACAGCCUUAAAAUGCUUUCAGGCUAUCAACCUCCUAAAUUUCAACAAUUUGAGGGCAAAAGGAACCCAAUAAUUUAAUAAUGCUAGAACUUACAGUGACAAUCUUGUCAAACAAUUUAUUUGCUCACUAAAGGGAAAUGCCUUUGAUUGGUUAACAUACCUUGAGCCUAACUCCAUUGAUAGUUGGGAACAAUUGGAGCAUGAGUUCCUAAAUUUCUUUUAUAGCACAAGGUGCACAGUUAACAUGGUAGCGCUCACGAAUACUCGAUAAAGAAAAGAUGAGUCGGUCAUUGACUUCAUCAAUCGAUGGAGAAAUAUGAGCCUAAACUGCAACGACGGGCUUAAUAAAAACUCUGCAAUAUAGAUAUACAUCCAAGGAAUACAUAGAGAGCUUCUCUAUAUCUUGUAAGGAAUUAAGCCUAAACCCUUUAAAGAGUUGGCUACUCGUGCUAACGACAUAGAGUUGAGAAUGUCUUCUGAUGGAAAGGAAGUAGCGCUUAUCCAUGACCCUCAAAGGGGAGGAUAAGCAAGAACCCAAAAAUGGGGUAAGUUUAUCCCAAAAAUAAUAAGGAAUUCAUGAAUAUUGACGUGUCUCCUAUGAAGGUCACCACGAAGGUGACCAAGAAGCAAUGUGUGAAAACGACUUCCUGAGCACGUCCAAAUCAGAAGUUAACUUUAAAGAAGAUGCAAGAAAAGGAAUACCCUUUCCCUGAUUCUAAUGUGGCUGAAAUUUUUAAUGAACUCCUUGAGCAUAAGCUUAUUGACCUACCAGAGAUGAAGCGGCCUGACAAGGCUGGAAGGACUAAUGACCCAAAUUACUGCAAGUAUCAUAGGCUUGUGAAUCACCCUCUAGAAAGGUGUUUUGUCAUUAAGGACAAAGUCAUGCAAUUGGAAAAUAAGAAGAAGAUCUUCUUCGAUGAUAAUAUAGUCAGUUCUCAUCAAAUCUCUAUCACUUUUGGCUUAUUCGAUCCAGUUCAAAUAUGCAUCGAAUAACGUAAAAAGGAACCAUUAGAGCAUGAUAAGUCUUCAAUUGACAAAGAUGAUGAUAAAAGUUAGAAUCUGGUGACUAGGCUCAGACGUAAGAAAAUAAGUCUAUAAAAGGAGUCAUUCGAGCAGCCAACUAGAAAGAGGAUAGUAAAGAAAGUUAGGAAAUAGAGGCUAGUAGAGCAUCCAAAUAAGACAAGGGUAAUGGAGAUUCACCACAAUAAACCGUGACGUCUGGUGACUUUAGAAGAAUUCUUACCUAAUUGGUUCCAUACAAAGACUAUAAAAGUCAACCUUGAGGCAUCAUAUUUUAAUACUGGCAAAGAGGGGGCAAAGGGUGAAAACCCACCCAUGGUAGUUCCUCCAUUUUCUGAAUAGCCUACUGAGAUGCUUAGCCAAGAGUCACAUGUAUCAAAUUUAUAAAUAAUGAUAUUAUACUUGGGGAAAUCCUCCAUAACCAUCCCUUGUACAUGGUGGGUCAAGUUCUAGGAUAGAAAAUAAAUAGAAUCUUAAUUGAUGAGAGAUCCGGAGUCAACAUCUUGCCUAUAUGCAUAAUGAAGAAACUUGGCAUCGCUACUGAUAAACUGGCCUAAUACCAUUUGAUAAUCCAAGGCUUUAACCAAGGGGGUCAGAAGGCCAUGGGAUCUAUCAAGUUGGGGAUUCAUAUGGAUGAUUUUUGAUCAAAUGCAUAGAUGCAUGUGAUUGAUGCUAAAACUUCAUACAAUAUAUUACUUGGUAGGACUUCGGUACAUAAGAAUAAAAUUAUAUCGUCCUCUUUCUAUCAAAGCUUGAAGUACCUCAAAGGAAAAGAGGAAAAAAAGAUAGUUGUUAAUGAUAAGCCAUUCACUGAAGCUGAUUCAUACUUUGCCGAUGCAAAAUUCUACUUAAAGAGUUAUCUUAUGAAUAAGAAAAGGGUUGAUGAUGUCACCAAGACCAAAUGUGAUGAUCUUGCAUCCAAGAAGCUUGAGGUGACUGUCGAAAAAGCCACCACUAAGAAUCCUCUCUCUACUUCAAAUAAAAAAAGGUCACAUCUACGGAAAAAAGGCAACACCUGUUCUUCGCUACGUACCAAAGGUAAAUAAAAAAAAGGAUCAUUCAUCUGAUCCUAGAGAUAAUAUGCUAGGAGGGAUAACUCUACCUAUUAAGAGGAUUGACGCAAUGAAACCAUCAUCAAGGAUACUAGGAGAAUAUGUAGCUCAAAAUUCACCACAAGAGAUAACACUCCCUACGAAGCUUACAAAAGAGGGCUUUGAUCCAAAUACAUACAAGCUAUUUAUAAAGGUUGGAUAUAAUCCUAAUGAGCCAUCAAGUUUGGGCAAAAUUUCAUUGGAGGGUACAACCAGGCAGCCACAUGAAGGCCUAGGACAUACGCAUCUACCUCCAAUUCGCAUCUUCAUAAGAAGGGCAAUUAGUAACUACAUCACUGUAGGAGAGAAGUCUACUGCAUCCAACAAAAGGCCUUCUAUCUUUGAUCGAUUGGUAGAACCAACUACAAGAACUUCUAUUUUGAGAGGUUGGGUCUACUAAACACAAUGAAAAGCAACAAGCACCAAAGAAGUUGUCUAAACACAACAUGACACUCUUCAUCUAAGAUCCAGAAAGAUUUUCAAAGUUUGAUUCCUUCUAGAAUGAGGCAACAAAUGGAACUGGUGGUUUCAUACAAUGAGGUGUUACAAGCUAAGGCUCAUACUGUGGUUUAUACCAAGAAGCAUGAGAAAGACGAAGAAAGAGUUGGCUCCUCAUAUCCUGUUAUAACCCAAAUGAGAAUGAUACAUCAUCUCAAAUAAAGGUUGAUGAAGAGAUGGAAGAUACUUUUUUAUGUUACUAAAUAUCCAUCAACGACAAUGAUCCACAAGAGGAGGAAGAUGUUGGGUAUGUCUCAUCAUAACUUAAAGGAGUUAAAGCCAUAAUGGAUCCUUCAAAGAAAGUUAAUCUGAGAACCAAUAAAGACCCAAGACCAACUUACCUGCGUGUGUUUCUAGAACUGGGGGAGGAAAUCACUUAUAUAGAUAUACUCAAACAAUAUAUAGAUGUCUUUGCUUGGAGUUAUAAGGAAAUUCCUGGCUUAGAUCCAAAAGUAGCAGUCCAUCAGUUGGCGCUCAAGAAUUAUGCUCGUCCUGUUAAGCAAUCCCAAAGGCGCUUUAAGCUAAAUUUGGUUACAUUGGUUGAAAAUAAAAUUAAUAAAAUCAUCAAAGCUAUCUUUAUUUGAGAAGUUAAAUACCCCACGUGGAUUUCAAAUAUUGUUCUGGUACGAAAGAAGAAUGGCGAAAUUCGAGUUUGUGUCAACUUUUGGUAUCUCAACAACGUUUGUCCUAAAGAUGAUUUUCCAAUCCCCAUGCCAGAACUGAUGAUUGAUGACACCACUGGUUAUGACGCAAUGUCCUUUAUGGAUGGUUCAUCCAGCUAUAAUCAAAUCUAUAUGGCACCAAAAGAUAAAGAGCUCACAGCAUUCUAUAUGCCCAAAGGUAUUUAUUGCUACAAGGUGAUGCCUUUUGGUUUAAAGAAUGCUGGUGCCACUUAUCAAAAGCCUAUACAAAAUAUCUUUGAUAUUUUACUCCAUAAAAUAUUGAAUACUAUGUAGAUGACCUAGUAGUGAAAUCAAGAAAGAGGGACGACCAUUUAAAAAACCUAAGAAUGGUAUUCUAGUUGCUUUGAAGAAAUCAACUUAGGAUGAAUCCAUUGAAAUGUACCUUUGUAGUUACUUUUGGAAAGUUCAUUGGCUUCAUUAUAAAACACCGAGGAAUUGAAAUUGAUCAGGUAAAGGUUGAUGUGAUUUUGAAGAUGCCCAAGCCUCUAAACAUUCACGAGUUAAAAAGCCUUCAAGAAAGGCUAGCAUAUUUAAGGAGGUUCAUCUCCAACUUGGUUGGAAAAUGACACCAUUUAGCCAUCUUAUGAAGAAGGACACUCCCUUCAAAUAGGACCAAGCUUGUAGUAAGGCCUUUGAAAGUAUCAAAUCAUACUUGAUGAAGUCUCCAAUUCUUGCAGCACCUAUACUUGGAAAACUGUUGAUAUUGUUUAUCACGGCACAAGAAAGGCCAGUUGGAGCACUACUAGCAUAAGAAAAUAGUGAAGGUAACAUUUUCUAUCUGAGUAGAAUGAUGACACUAAAUGAGUUAAAUUAUUAUCCAAUUGAAAAGUUAUAUUUAGUGUUGGCUUUCUCAAUCCAAAAAAAUGAAGCACUACUUUCAAGCUCAUGUCAUUUGUCUUAUGCCUAGGGCAAAUCCCAUCAAGUUUGUAAUGUCGAAACCAGUCCUUAGUAACCGACUUGCAAGAUGGUACCUUCAAUUCUAACAGUUUGAAUUUGUAUAUGUUCCCCAAAAGGCUGUAAAAAGACCAGCAUUGGCAGACUUCUUGGCAGACCACCCGAUACCUGAUGACUAAGAACUGACCUAUGAACUUACUAACAAAGAUGCAAUGGUUAUUGAAGCCAGACCCCCGUGAAAUAUACUUUGAUGGUUCCAUAUAUCAAGAUAGAGCUGGUGUUGGUAUGGUGUUCGUGGCUCUAAAAGGAGAGGUCAUCCCAUACUUUUUUACCCUAACAAACCAUUUCUCUAAUAAUGUUGUUGAAUAUCAUGCAUUAAUACUCGGGUUUGGGAUAAAAGCUAAUAUGAAAAAACUAUAAUUAUAAGUAUUUGGUGACUCUCAAUUGGUGAUCAAGCAGCUAUUGGGAAGUUAUGAAGUUAGAAAGCCUGAGUUAUGCCCAUAUCAUGAUUAUACUCAAAAGUUAAUGGGAUAGCUUGGAGAAGUAACCCUCAAGCAUUUACUGAGGAUAGAAAAUAAGCAAGUUGAUAUCCUAUCUACUUUGGCCUCAACCCUAACUCUUCCAAAUUAAACACGAGUUACUAUCCUCCAAGAAUGGGUAGUACUGCAAUCGAAUAAGGAUGAGGAUGUAGAAAAUAAGAUUGAAUACCUCAUCACCAUAUCUGAAGUUAUAAAGGAGGAUUGGAGACAACCUCUCAUUGAUUAUUUGUGCUAUGGGAUACUUCUAGAAGAUCCAACAAAAAGGACUAACAUCCAUCGUCGUGCACUUCACUUCCUUUACUAUAAAGACAUGUUAUAUAGAAGAUCGUCUGAAGGAGUACUUUUGAGAUGUUUGGGAGAGGAAGAAGCAAUUCAAAAUUUGCAAGAAGCGUACUUGGGAGUUUGUAGAUCGCAUCAGUCUGGACCAAAGCUCCACACAUUAAAAGGAUGGGACACUAUUAGCCAAUGAUGGUUAAAGAUUGCUUGGACUAUGUUAGAAUAUUUAAAGCUUAUUAAUUCCAUGAGAAUUUCAUACAUCAACCUCCUAAAGUAUUACACCUAACUGUAGCAUCUUGGAUAUUCAAUGCUUCAGGAAUAGAUGUUGUUGGGCCACUACCAAAAUCUUCUAGUGGAUACUUAUACAUCUUGGCCACAACAGAUUACUUCUCAAGUUGGGUGAAAGUUUUUACUCCCAAAGAAGUAAAGAAAGAAAAUGUUGUGACUUUCAUCCGAUUAAAUAUGAUCUGCCAUUUUGGGAUCGCAUAAUAUAUAAUAACCGACAAUGGCAAGCUAUUUGUUAAUAAGUUAAUGAAUAAGAUUUUUGAUUUCCUUGGUUUCAAGCAGAGCAAGUCUUUUAUGUACCAUGCUGCUGCAAAUAGUCUAGUCGAAGCAUUUAAUAAGACUUUAUGCAAUCUGUAGAAGAAAUUCAUCUCCAAGUCCAAAUGAGAUUGGCAUGAACAAAUGGAAGAAGAUUUGUGGGCAUAUAGAACAACUUACCACACGCCGAUGCAAGAAACCCCAUACUCACUUGCUUUUGGAGUCGAAGCAGUCCUGCCACUUAAGCGUCAAAUAUCUUCUUUAAGACUAGUUAUUCAAGAAGGGCUCACCAAAGAACAAAAUGUAAAGUUGUGACUUGCUGAGUUAGAAGUUCUUGAUGAUAACAAGUUAGAAGCUCAACAAAAUCUUGAAUGUUAUCAAGCUCGUCUAUCUCAUUCUUUCAACAAGAGAGUCUGCUUGAGGUGAUUUCAAGUUAAAGACCAAGUUCUUGCAGUAAAAAGGCCCAUUAUUACUUCUCAUAAGUCUGAGGGAAAAUUUACCCCAAAGUAGGAUAGACCAUAUGUCGUACAAGAAGUAUAUUCAAAUAGUACUUAUAAGCUUGUCGAUGCAGAGGGUGUGAAGAUUGGCCCUAUCAAUGCCAAGUUCUUGAAAAAGUACUAUCUUUGAUGAAAGAUGGCACUCUUUAAGGCACGAGUAUAAACUGCAUGUUCACUCCUGUCCCAUAAGGGUAUAAACUGUGUAUGGCUCUAAAAAAAGUUUGUGAAGUUGAAAACCUCGAAAGAGGCGGCUUAGGCAAAAAUUAGGACGGAAAAAAUAAAAGAAAAACACUCACCCAGAACUACAUUAUGAGUUGAUCCUCUUUACUGAGGUACGUAGGCACUUGGAAUUUCAUUCUGAGUUCAGUUACAUGAAUAUCAAAAAAAUACAUAUUCCCACUUGAUCCACCAUAUGAAAUUUGAGCCUGCAUAUACUUCAAUUAAAUUUUGGAAUUAUGCUCAAUGGGGGCAAACUCUAAUGAGCUUCGUUCAUAUAAGUUGAAGUCUUCUGAUUCAUUAAGUCUUCAUGUUAGAACUUUCAAAUUCUCCAUAUUAAAAUUUUCACGUUCAUGGGUUUAUCCUUAAAAGGAUAUCAAAAUUUUCAUGCCUUAAGAUGGAUAAGAUUUAUCCCUUUGCACCUUAAGCUGGCUUCUCACAGGUUCAUCUUUAAAAGGGUCUCAAAAUAUUUCAUUCCUUAAGGUAGACAAAAUUUAUCCCUUUGCACCUUAAGUUGACCUCUCAUGGGUUUAUCCUUAAAAGGAUCUCAAAAUUUUCAUGACUUAAGGUAGACAAAAUUUGUUCCUUUGCACCUUAAGUUGACCUCUCAUGGGUUUAUCCUUAAGAGGAUCUCAAAAUUUCCAUGUCUUAAGGUGGAAAAAUUUGUCCCUUUGCACCUUAAGCUAGCAUCUCACGGGUUUAUCCUUAAAAGGAUCUUAAAAUCUUCAUGCCUUAAGGUGGACAAAAUAUGUCGCUUUGCACCUUAAGCUAACCAUUAAAAAGGGUCCAUACCUAAAGAAUAUCAUCGUAUAAGUGCAUCGAUGAAAAGGCCCAUACUUAAAGAAGACUAUUGCAUAAAUGCAUCGAUAAAAGGGCCCAUACUUAAAGAAGACCAUUACAUAAGUGCAUCAGUGAAAGGGUCCAUAGUUAAAUAAGACCAUUGCAUCUUGAAGCAAAAUUGGUCGGGUCUUAAGAUGAUGGAGGGGAAGUUAAACUCUCACAAAUUAAGUUGAUGUCCACCAUCUUCAAGAAAAAUUGGUCGGGUCUUAAGGUGACGGAUGAGAAUUUAAACUCUCUCACCUUAAGCCAAUGUCUACUGUCUUCAAGCAAAAUUGGUCGAGUCUCAAGGAGACCGAGGCAAAGUUAACUCUGCACCUUAAGCCGAUGUCAACCAUCUUUAAGUAAAAUUGGUUGGGUCUCAAGGUGAUGGAGUCAAAUUUAAACUCUCGCACCUUAAGCCGAUGUCCACCGACUUUAAGCAAAAUUGAUCGGGUCUUAAGGUGACGGAGGCAAAGUCAAACUCUCGCACUUUAAGCCAAUGCCCACCAUUUUUGGUUGGGUCUUAAGGUGAUGGAGGCGGAGUUAAAUUCUCUCACCUUAAACUAAUUUUUGCAUAUUUCUAUUUGUUUUAAUCCUAUAAAAGAAAUAUAGGGAAACAAGAAAGAAAGUAAAAAACACAAAUAAAAGGGAUGUUACCUGUCAGAGCGCUACGACCUUGAAAGUUGAAUAUCACUAAUUUAGAUUGAGACAAGAUGUUUUAAUGAGAAUAAAGCCCUCUAAUAUAGUUUGAAAAUAAAAACUUUCUUUGGUGGUGAUGGUCCCACAUCAAGAUAUGAAUUAUUUGGUGGGGCGAUACAAAUCUGGAAUCCUCUGCCAGACAACAUAGAAGAUCAACUUCAAAAAAUCAUCUAGAACAAUCCAAAAAGUGUUAAAAUCCAAAUUUUGGAUAUGUUAUAUAUGCAUGUUUCGACAUCUAUAGAAUCAAAUGAAACAUAAUUUCGAUACUCUCACAUUGAGAUAUAAUUUAUUUGGAGACGUUGCGUAAAUCAGAAAUUGGUGAUGCAUCGAAACUCAAUGCUGAUUUAGAGAAAACACCUAAAAUGAUAUCAAAGUUAUUAAAUUAUGAAUUCCAGAUAUGUUGUAGAUCAUUGUGUCUAGUUUCACAAGAAUCAAGUGGCUUGCAAUUUUUUUAUUCCUACUUCAAGAUAUGAAAGUUUUAAUAAAGAUGUGUAGAUCUAAAAUUUUUAGCAUGAUAAAAUUCAGGGCUAACUUCAAAAAAUUAUUGAGAAUUAUAUUGAAGGAAUUUAAAGUGAAUUUUGGAUAUGUUAUAUAUCUCUAUGUCUAGUUUCUAGAAUAUUAAAUGGUUCAUGAUUUUAAUAUUCCUACACUAAGAUAUGAAUUUUCUACCAUUAAGAUGUUGUGCUGAAAAAAGUGACGAAAAUAAAAGAAAAAUAGGAGGGAAAGAAAUUACCUCAAUAUUAUUCAUGGAUUGGAAACCCCAAAAUUGAUAUUGAAAAAGUGGGGAACUUACAUCCUUUUAUAGAGUUGUAGGAUGAAUGUUUUUUUCUCCAAUAUAAAUUCAAAUUGGAAGAACUUCCAUCUCCAAUAUAAAUUCAAAUUGGAGGUUGUUUCCUUCUCUCAUACAAAUUCAAAUUGGAGGUUGUUUCCUUCUCAAAUACAAAUUGAAAGAGUUUUCAUCUCCAAUACAAAUUCAAAUUAGAGGUUGUUUCCUUCUCCCAGACAAAUUUAAAUUGAGGGUGUUUCCUUCUCCAAUAUAAAUUCAAAUUGAAAGAGUUUUAUUCCUGAUUAAGUAAGGUGGUAAAAGUUUUCCAAAAUAUAUUUGGAAUGAGAUAUCAUACCUCACCAACGGGUCUUACGUGUAGAGACUCAAGAAAAAAAAUAAGAGAUUUUUUAAGAGGCAAUAUCAAUAUGUAAAUUGCAUGAUUCAGCUUUAUGAAAAUCUUUGAAGCACGAAGGAAGCAUGUUUAAAUAAAUCAUACUUCAAGUCUAGUCUCAAAAAGAUUAAAUAUUUCAACAAGUCUUGAAGUAGGGGGUAUUUUGUGGGCAACAAAAUUUUAUUAAAUUAAAAUCCGUACAAAAUUCGUAUUAUGUUAAAUUCAAAAUAGAGUAGUCUCAGAUAAAUAUUACUGAUUAAUAUAAUCGAAUUAAUUAUUUAAGUUCAAAUAUAUAUGGAUUUAAUUAAAAUCCAAUUUUUAUUGAGCUUGCCCACUGAUUUGGGCUACAAAUGAUGAGCCCACUUUGCUAAGCGCAAGAUAUUGUCAUAUUCUAGAGGCCCAAAUAAGCACCACGUGUCAAAUGACGUGAAAUGCAAAGUAAAGUGAAGAAGCCAAUAGGACCGUGCCAUAUGUCAAAAUGAUGCAGCAGGCCUAGUGAAAUCAAAAGCCCAUAAAAGGCGUCACGUCACCUAAAUUUGACUGGUCAAAGAAAGUCCAUCUUCAUCAUGACUCUUCCUUUUCCACAACUGUAAAUAUGGGUUUCCUUAUUCAGAAAAGGGACCAACAACUCUAACAAGAAGUAAGAGAAAACUCGUGGAUCAAAUGCCGCAAUUUCUCUACAAAGCUUAAGCAUUCAAGUCCAGUUCUUCAAGAUUCAAAUCAAGACCGUCAGAUUCAAGAACAAUCCCAAAAGCCCUUGAAUUCAAGCAUAAGUCAAGAUCAAGUCUGGUAAAUCAGCAAAUCAAGUUCAAAUUCAAGAUCAAGCUUUAAACCCUUGAAUUUAUAUUUGAAAAGGUGAAUCAGAGGAUUUAUAGAAAUUGUAACACUCACUUAUUAAAAUCAUUAAAAUAAUUAUUGUAAUAUUUUUCUUGUCUCGAUUAUUUAUUUUCGGUCUCAAAAUUUUAUUGUCCAACAACGAUUCAUUAUCUAAUGCAUUUCCCAAAAUAUUAAAUUUAUUACUAUAUUCAAAGAGUAAUAUAAACAAAAUUAACCUAUCAUUUACUGUUUUAAAUUUCUGUGUCAAUGAAAAAGUGGACAAGUAAAGAUAGACCCAAGAAGUACUUUUUUGUCCUAAUUGGUGUGACAAAGAUGAAAUUUGGAUAGCUAACUAAUUUUUUUAUAUAGUUUUUAUAAAUUUUAAGUUGUUAAUUUUUGUAAUUUAUAGUACUCAAAUAAUAUAUGUACCUCUUUAGGGGGGGGGGGGGCACGAUCCGAUUUAAAAUCAAAAUUAAACCAAAUCUAAUCGGUUUUAAAAUAAUUAAUCAAAUCAAACCAAACCAAAUAAAACAAAUAUUUAUCGGUCAAGUUAUUAUCGAUUUUUUAUUUGCUUUGGUUUGAUAAUUCGGUAAUAAAUCAUAUAGAAAAAUAAAGAAAACAAAAAACAAUACUAUGCAAUUAAUAAAAAAUUAUAUUACAUAAUUAUUUUUAAUCAGCCUAAACUAGAGCAAAAUAUCAGAACAAUAUAAGCUUUUAAGACAAAUCUACUGAAAGAGUAGCUAAUACUCGAAAUACAUUAUCUACUUGGGUGCACUUAAAUAACGAUCUUUAGACUUGGACGUUAUAUGAUUCUUCUCAGUUCUCUUUUUGUUUUGUACCUUUUUUAUUAUCUAAAUAAAUUUUGAUGAACAUAUUACAAUUACAUAUAUAGCUUAAAAUUAAAAAUAAUAUAUUAUGUACAUAUUACAUAUAUUCGUAAUAUAAAUAUAUAUAUAUAUAUAUAUAUAUAUAUAUAUACUUAAUAUAUUUUUUUUUGGUUUUCCUAUUUGGUGUCUGUUACGAGUCUGACUAAUCUGGAUUUGCGCCGCGUAGGACCCCAUUCGGGGGAAGCACUCCCUACCAAAAAUUUUUCCACAUCUAGGGCUCGAACUCGAGACCUCUGGUUAAGGGAGGAGCAGCCUCACCCGCUGCACCACAUCCUUUGGUGGUUAUAUACUGAAUAUAUUAUUAUUAUAUAUACAUAUAUUUAUCUAACAUUAAAAUUUAUUUUUAGUUAAUUAAUUGUAUUUUUAAAAAUUUAAAGAUCUAACGUGCAAGUAGACUUUAAAAAUCAAAAGUAUUGUAGUGUGUUUGCAAUUAUGUUGUAAUUACAUUAUAACAGACAAAUAAGUCUUUGUAAUUAUAUAUGAUUUAAUUGCUAAAUUAUAUAAUUAUCAUUUAUUUUGUGUAACGAUCUAAAAAUUUGAAGAAAUAUGUGAAUUCUGUGAUUUGACUAUUUUACCCCUUCUCUUAGUUGCAUUAUGGUAUUUUUAGAGGGUAGGGGCAAUUGGCACGAUUUUCGGUGCAUUUUUGAUACCGCUUAUAAGAUAUUGUGAUUUUUUUAUGGCUUUAAGAGACUUAUGUUGGACUUAUGUGAAUAUCUUUGAUCCAUGCGAUGGAUGACUGAACAGACUGCGCUGGCAGCUCUGGAAUAAUGAUUUUAGGCUAGGUAGAUCUUUGGUUCAGGUCCCGGUGCACUCGAGCUCUGUUCAGUCUAUUAAUUGGAAAGUUAGAAAAUUGAAAAUAUGGGUGUGGGAUGCACAUUUGGUUGAAACGACCUCGGAUGGAAAAUUCAACUCUGCCAGUAGAUUCGAAAUAUUGAUUUUAGGGUAUUAAUAUGUUUGUGUGAUUUUACGGCUUUUGAAUCUCAUUUCAACCCUCGAUUUAAAAAAUUAUAAUUUCGAGUUUUUGGGGGUCAACUUUGUGAAAAUAAUAUUUUUUUAAAAAAACUGAUAUCGACAUUGAGUCUGAAGCAUUGAAUUUAGUGCGGUUACAUAAUUCUUUUACAUAUAUCGGACUCCAAACAAAUCUCGAGCACCCCAUCAAAGUCCGAAUUAGACUUAAAGAAAGAAAAAUCUGGUGUUGUGCAGUUUUUUGUUAUAAAAAAAGGUUUUCCUCUCCUUUUUACCCAUUUUGUCUAUUCUUUCACCUUGCCUCUUGAGAGUUAAAAUAGUGUGAGAGAUUAAAAGUGAAGUUUGUGGGAGCUUGGGAAGAUAGAUUAACAUCUAUUUCUUGAUUAUGUUACGGAUUUAAUGUAAACAUUCAUCCUUUUCUUAGUAAUUUCUUGAUUAAUUUUUCGAAACUCCAAAAAUUUUAGGGCUUGAUUUUAAACCCCAAAUUAAUUUCUUUUCACUUCAAUAAUGUUUUUUAUCUUAUAAUUACUAAUUUUUCAUCAAUUUAACCUUCAAAACAACUCUGAUUCUUAAUAACACAGAUUUCAAAGAUUUUAACCCGAUAAAGCUUAAAAAUAGUUUUCCUUCGAUUUGACCCUCGUUCUUGACUCAAUUUGACUUGGGUUUCUAGCUGUAGGUUCCUAAAAUAUGGGAAACACAUGUUUGAAGUAAAGUUACGAUUUUGCUCUUCUUUUUUGAAAACUCAUUUUGGGGGUCUGUUUUGACCCCGAAUCAAAAGUAGUCAAUAUGGGAGUCGUUGGUUUUAUUUUGAUGCGUAGAUUCUAUUUUUGAUAUUUUUGGUGGAGUUUGGGAUCGUUUGUGAAAAUUAAGGUCAUGGAUACGAAGUGUAGUGGAUCAAUUUUGACUUUUAAGGUAGGUUAUGGCUUAACUCUUUCAGAUUGGGCUGAUAGUAAAUGGUGAUAGUUAAUGCAUGUUAAAGGUGGAAAAUAAUCAUAAAAAUAGCUAUCUAUGAGUUAUGUUUGUGUGGGGCCUAUAUAUAAUGUUAUUAUUGAAAUUGAGAUAUUAUGUGAUAUGUGUAACCGUGUGGGUUCCUAUGUGAAGUUGAUAGCCUUGAUAGAUGUGAAUAAUUGUAUUGUGUUAUUUAAAUGCCUAAUGUUGUACCAUUAAUAUAUUGUGAUAAAUUCAUACUUGUUGUUAUAUGAGACAUAUGAAAAUUCAUGGAUGAAACAAAAAUAAUGAGUGCAUAUUGGCUCAUAUGGUUGUGGAAAUGUAUAAUUGUGGUUGGUUGUGGAAAUAUAUCAUUGUGAUUGAUUGUGGAAAUACUCAUUGUGAUUGAUUGUGAGUAUUACAUCCUCAUAUCAUACUCAUUCAUGAAAUAUUGGUACUACCGUGACAACAUCUGAGAAACACUGGAAACACCUUUUACAAAACCAUCCCCGAGAAAAGUGCCAGAGAGGAGAUAUUAUAACACUUUAUAAAACCCUUUUUGAGGAAUGUGCCAAAAAGGAUAUAUGAGAUAUGUGGAUUGUAUAUGGGUUGAAGAAUCCCCCAUGGGUCCUUCGUCGGGAAGAUUUAGCUCCGUAGGCAUAUAUAAGAUUGUACGACGAUUUCGGAGGUUGUGCGACGAUCUCGUGCAUCAUCAUCAUCAUCAUAUACAUAGCACUAACAUUAUUGUGUUAUGUUGUAUUGUAUUGUCAUAUGACUUGUCAUCUAUCCAUUUAUCAUAUCUUUCUUUACUUGUAUUUGAUGAUCUUGUAUAUGCAUGUUCUCCCUUAUUCUACUUUUAUGUGAUAUAAUGCAUACUUAUAUUCUAUUUUAAUGUGAUGUUGCAAUAUAUGUGAUAUAUUAGAACUGUUAGUGCAAGCGGUGUGGGCUACCGUUGUGGGACAUUUUCUGAUUACAGGUAAUGUGCCCUUAGUGUGUAUUUUGUAUGCUUUAUUUUCUACUUUGCUCGGUCAGCCUAUGAUACCUACUGAGUAUAAGUGGAUUAUACUCACUCCUACUUCACAUUUUUGGUGCAGCUUUAGGUUUGGGUGCACCUCAGACUGGUUGAUUUCGGGCAUCUUUAAAUUACUGAAGGUAGCUGUUGGACAUUCAUAUGUCCAGAGUUCAUCUUCAUCUUUCUGUAUUAGUUAUGUCUUUUUAGCAUUCGAAGACAGAUAUUAUUCCUUUGUAGUUAUUUUUUAGAUGUAUUUGACUCCUGGAUAGUAUUAGUAGUUCUUACACUUUUGACACCAGAUUUUUAGAGUUAUGGCCGCAUGUGUUGAUUUUAUUCUUUAUGCUUUUAUUAUAUCUAUGUGGUUCAGCUUCGUUCUAAAAGCCUUACCUUGGGGGCAUUUUUAUCUUUUUCCCCGUGUGUAUCAUUUUGAGCGAGACACUUAUUUGUCAAGGUUCGUCGUGACAAGUACCAUCAUGACCUAUUGAUUUUUGAAUCGUGACAUUUCCUUUGUCCAAUAAUAUUUCUCCAAAUUAUUAAAAUUAGAUGUUCAAUAAUAGUUGUUCAGUUUGAAAAAUCAGUAGAGAUAAUUUAUCCAUUUCUGUCUAUUUUUCUAUGAAUUAUUAAUUAUAGUCAUUAUGCUAUGCAUUUUUUACAGCAUUGAAUUAGUUAUAUCCAAAGGGUGAUAUAGUAAAAUAACUCAUAUUAUUUAUUAUUAAGAUUAAAUAUAUUUAAAUAGUGAUAUAAUAAAAUUAUUAAUAUUAUUUAUUAUUUUUUAAAGUGUAUGCAAGUUGGACAAAGAAAAUAGUAAUUAGUAAUUAUACCAAAUACAAUUACUAGUGAGUACUUUCAAUUAGACAUUAAAUACGCCCUCUAGUCAACUUAAAUUAAUUUGUGAGAUAAUGAACAUCUAUUUUAGAAAAAAUUAGGACACAACAUUUCACUUUUAUCUUUUUAAAGUCAAAUUAAAAUUACGAGAAAGUUAUGUCUUCUGCUAGUUCGCCGUCGUUAAAGACCUUUUCCCUCAACACAGCGCCAAAACCGCCAAAUCCAUCCCCUACUGUUGUCACUAAUUCGUUCAAAUCAGCACUACUAAAUAAUAAUCCCUACAUCUCUGAGUUUAUGAAAGUCAAAACUACCGUAAAAAUCGAUGUGGAUCCUAUCCACCCUACCGAUCUGGCAGCUGACGACCAUAUAACUACCAAAUCUGACAACGGGGACCGAAUAGUUCUUUCUGAAGAAGAUAAGACCCGAAUGUAGGAUCCUUGGAAGUUUGUUGUCAUAACAAAGCUUGUGAACCAAAGAAUUCUCCAUCAAAAAUUAAAAUCGAGACUACAGAGCCUUUGGAAACCCACUGAAUCGAUCACCCUUAUCGACUUGGGGUAUGAUUAUUUCAUUGUCAAGUUUACUAAGCAAGAAAAUUUUACAGAAUUAUCGAACAAGGCCCGUGGUUUAUCAAUGGCAGCCACCUCUCUGCUCAACGAUGGACUCCCAAUUUUGUUGCGCCAGAAGCAAAACAACUAUUUAGUGCAAUAUAGAUGAGGCUGCCUGAGCUCCCUACGGAGUUCUAUGAUGCCAUCAUUCUUAAAAAAAUUGGGAAUUCUAUUGGGAAGCUACUUUAAGUUGAUGCCUGCACCAGUGCUACUCUCAGGGAAUGUUAUGCAUGCCUCUGUAUCUAGUGCCACUAGAUUUUUCCAUUGAAAAUGCACGUCUUCAUUGGUUCUCACGAACAUAUUAUCACCUUUGAAUGUGAAGGCCAACUGUGCACAGCAUAUGGAUGUCUAGGAUAUAUUUUGCAAAAUUGCCCAGUCAAAUAUGUCCAGAAUUCACACAUCACUAAUCAACCAUCUGGAACCUCCCCAAUGGUACCCGUCUCCUAACCAUCACCAGCAUUGUCCACAAUCUCUUUUGAUAGAAAGAAGAAAUGCCUGCGCAAUACAAGUCGCUCCAACUAUGCCUCAUUAGGUUGCAUAGGUACUCAGUAUUUCCAACCCUCAGGUACUACAGGUAAUACAACUUCUAAUUCAAUAUCCCAAGUUAUCUCAUCUACUCCCCAGAAAAAUACCUUCGUGAAUCCUUUAUCUCUUGUAAACCCCUCUUAUCCCAUGUCUAAAUCUCUAAAUAAUAACAAAUUUGAUCUAUUAAUGCAGAUUGAUAAAGACGAUCACAUGCAGGCGACAUUAUCAAAUCCCUAAAUAGUACCAUCCCAGUUGCCCAAGAGCGUUGUCACUAACGCACACCUAACUUUCUGCAUUUCUCAAUACGUAGACCCCACAACUAUGCCUCCGCUAUCUAUUUUGACAAUUGUCCUUACAGUUGUUAUCCUUUUCAAAUCCCAAUAAACCAACCAAAAUGACUAUCCUGCCCUUGUAAAAACCCUAAACAAAAUACACCCUCCCCAACUACUAAACACAUGUCAACUCCCCCUUGCCAGGUGGAUUUCUUCCCUGCAUUCCACUAUGUAUUCCCCCAAUUAAAUUGGAACCCACUGUUGUAAGUUUAUCAUCACCCAAUGAAGUCCCUUUCAUAUCUCUCACUAAAGAUCUACAAUCAUUAAAACCUUUUAACCAAUCUUUGGACAAACCCUCAAAAACCUUUAUUAACUCUCAUAUCAGUCCAAAUGAAGAAACAGGUACUUCCGUUAAACAAGAAAGAGACCACACUCAUUUCCUUACCCCACUCAAGUAUGAACAAUAUUAAUAUUCCCAACAUUCUAGUUAUAUACAUGAUGGUUCCCAUUCCACCCUCUCAACCUCCAUAGUCUUGGAUCGAACAUGCACUCAACGACCAAGUGGUCUUCUUUAUCAUAGACUUGGAGGGAUGAGAAGUGAUAAUAAUUAUCUAGAAUCAAAACUUUCUAUCCUAACUAGUGACAGAAGGGCUGAAGAUGGCUCUGGAGAAUUAUUAAAACUAUCUGUGGUUAAACACUAUUCUCAAGCCCAUAGCUCCAACAGUAGCCCCAACCCUGUUCAACUCAAUGAGGGUCUAACUUCAAUCCCAUACUAAACCCAACUCUCCUAUCCAUUCUCCCUUUCUUUUGUCCCCCAUAAGCUCUCACUUCCAACCCACUAUUUUUUCCAUGGGUUCCAGUGCUCAAUCCCAAUAUGCAAACCCCUAUAGAGUCUCAGAGGGAGAUCCAGACCCCAGAUCUAAGCAAGCCCAAAACUUAUCUCAUCUCAUUUACUGAAAUUUCCGCUCUCAACGAAGUAGCCCUUAUGUUAUUUCCAGAAAUACUAGACAAGAAGUUUGUCUACUAGUUCCCAAAGAACAUAACCAAAUGGUCGAUGGAUAUUCGUCACUCCAUCAUUAAGGAAGCAGGGAAACAUGCAGCAUUUCUGAACCCAACCUUUAAAGUGUCUCCAAUGCUGGAGACAAAUGUUGACUCUCCACCCAUCCCUCUUCCCAAUCCCAUGAAUUGUGACAUGUCCAUCAUUCUGUAGAAUAUUUGAGGCUUUUAUAAUGCUCAGUUUAAAAGAAAUUUUAGGAAACACCUUAACUGUUAUUACCCAUGUGUGGUUGCUCUAUUAGAAACUCGUAUGGAAUAAAAUGAUGUCAUCAAAAAUGAUUUUAAUUUCUCAAAUUUCCUUCAAGUGCCUACUAUUGGGAAAUUGAGAGGAAUCGUUCUUCUAUGGCAUGACAAUCUUGUUACGAUUUCCAAAGUCUGUUACUUUCCUCAGGAGUUGCAUGUCAUGGUCAAGGUUCAUCUCUUUUCUAUCCUUUGGCUUUUUGUAUUAUACAUGCUAGUACAAUUUUUACUUAUAGAUUAUCUUUAUGGAAUAGCCUUCAUAAAAUUUCCAAUUCUUUCCCUNNNNNNNNNNNNNNNNNNNNNNNNNNNNNNNNNNNNNNNNNNNNNNNNNNNNNNNNNNNNNNNNNNNNNNNNNNNNNNNNNNNNNNNNNNNNNNNNNNNNNNNNNNNNNNNNNNNNNNNNNNNNNUUUAUAAUUGUGCAAUUGCAAAGGUGAGGUGUGCGUGUUUUUUUAAAAAGUUACGUUAAUGGUUAUGUAUCCCUGCAUGGUGGGGGUGAUUAUAACAAAAUUAUUUCUCAAGAUGACAAGUGGGGAAGGAGACCCGUACAUACUAAUAGAACUCAAGCUUUCCGAUCCUGCCUUAAUACCUGUGGUUUAGUUGAUUUAGGUUUCAAGGGGACUAAAUUUACUUGGUCAAAUUUUCAUUAUAAACAUGGUCUUGUUCUUGAGCGUUUGGAUCAUGUAGUUGCAAAUACUCACUGGAUCUCUCAAUUCCCAGAUGCUAAUGUAACCCACCUUCCCCGCCUAGUUUCUUACCACAACCCACUCUUAAUUUAACUUCAUGCUAAGUGGAUAACCCAAUCUGACCUUCCUCUUUUACUAAAAAAAUUUUGGUCUACCCAUGCUGAAUUUAGAAACAUCACUAACCAAUGUUGGAGUGAUAGAGAUUUUAUCCCGGCUAUUGUAGAAUUUGAAAAAACUCUAAGAAGUUGGAGUUACCAUACCCUUGGAAAUAUUCAUAAGAAAAAACGUAUUCUUCUUGCUCGCCUUACGGGUAUCCAUAACUCCUCUAAUUAUCCCCAUAGUGACUUCUUUCAUAACUUAGAAACUAAUCUUAUGUAUGAUUAUAAUUGCAUUCUCUGUAUAGAAGAGGAUUAUUGGAAACUCAGGAGCCGCAUAAACUAGCUAAAUGAUGGUGAUGCCAAUACUCGCUUCUUCCACCUCUCAGUCAUCCAUAGACGUCGUAAUAACAACAUUCAUUUUUCCAAAAUGAUGAUAAUUAGUGGAUUACUGAUCCUGAUAAACUUUGCCUUCAUACUCUUAACUACUACCAAGAAAUUUUUACCACUUCUCAUACUCACUCCAGUCUUCCUUCACCCUCUACUAAUAUUCUUUUUUGCUUCAACAUGGACAUAUCAUCCAUGGAUUAUCUAUUGAAUAAACUUGAAAUCACCUAAUCCAUUCACUCAUUUAAACCCUAUAAAGCACUGGGUCUUGAUGGAUUACACCCGUUCUUCUACCAAUAAUUUUGGGACAUUAUUGGUCUCUCAUUAACAAAUUUAUGUCACCAAGCUUUUUAUACCUUCUACUUCCCUCCUAUUAUUAAUCAAACUUAUCUAUGUCUUAUUCUAAAAUUUAAAAAUGCCAAUCAUCUAAAAAACUUCCAUCCUAUUGCUUUGUGCAACACUAGCUAUAAAAUUAUUUCUAAGAUUAUUGUCAGUCGUCUUUAAUCCUUCUUACCAAACCUUAUUGGUCCCUACCAAACGGCAUUUAUUAAAAGACGUAGGACUAUGGAUCACAACAUCACUAUCCAAUAAAUUGUUAACCUCUUUCACAAAUUCUCUACCAAAAAAGGUUAUCUCCUAGCCAAAAUAGAUCUUGAAAAAACGUACGAUAAACUUGAAUGGUCGUUUAUCCAUCGGACUCUAAUCUUCUUCAAGUUUCAUCCUAAAAUCACUAAACUCAUUAUGCAUUGUAUCUCUUCUUCCACUAUAGUUGUUCUCAUCAAGAGGCCAAAAACCCCAUUCUUUAGUCCCAAUCAAGGAAUUCUCCAAGCGGAUCCAAUGUCGCCAUAUAUUUUUAUCCUUUGCUUAGAAAUGCACUCUAAACUCAUUAACUAUCAUGUAUAUCUAGGACUCUAGGAUACCAUAAGAGUGGACACCCCUAGACCUCACCUCUCCCACCUUUUUUAUGCAGACGAUCUUACCUUCAUGUCCAAGGCCAACGCUAAAUCCAUUCACUCUUACAAUACUAUUUCGUUUACUUUCUGUGCACUGUCUGGACAAACUAUUAACUAGACAAAAUCAAAACUCUACUUCUCCAAGCAUUGCAAUACACCCUCCAAAAUCCUGGCUUACGCAACCCUUAACAUCUCGAAAACUUCAUCCUUUGGAAAUAUUUGGGAUUCCCAAUCCUUAAUCGUCGUCCCAAACAUAUUGACUUUCAAUACAUCAUAGACAACAUGUACUCAAGGCUUUAUUCUUGGAAAACCAAAUUUCUCACUUCUGCGGGUCGAAUUACUCUCAUAAAUGCGACCUUGAAUACCAUACCGGCAUAUUUCAUGCAAUAAUUCCAACUGUCCAAAUAAAAUACUAAGGCUAUAGACAAAGUACAAUAUGAUUUUUCUCUGGGUUUCCUCUCUGAACAAUAAGAAACUUUACCUUAUUAACUGGAGCAACGUCACUAGAUCUUACAACCAAGGUGGCCUAUCCAUCAAAAAGGCUUCGCAUAAGAAUUUAGUUCUUCUUAUGAGCCUUGCUUGGCGUCUCCUCAAUAAUACCAAUCUUAUAUGGGUUCAAUGUCUCAUCAAUAAGUAUUUCAAUCUUUGUUCCAUAGCUUCCCAGUCCUUCAUAUGGAAAAACGUUCUUGUGGGAUGGAAACAUUGCCAAAAAGAACUCCUUUGGAAGGUUGGGAAUAGCACAAGCAUUAACAUAUGGAACUUCCCUUCGAUAUCUCCUGGACUCACUCUUCGAUCCCUUAUUCAAGUUCCCUUACCUCAACAUGAAUCUAUUAAGAAUGUAGUUGAUUAUAGGGCUCAAAAUACUUGGUCUUGGGAGUCCCUUCCUUUUAUUCUUCUUGAUGAUAUCAAAGAUUUAAUUGAUCAAGUUCCCACUACUGAUCAUGCUGACUCAACUUGCUGGGGGAUCUAAUCUAAUGGAAUUUUCUCCACCACUUCCAUCUACAACCUGCUAACUUCCACUAAUGAGCAACCCAUUAUUCUGUAAUUGAUUUAGGAUUUAGCUACCUUAGGAAAUAUUAAUUUUUUAUAUGGUUUUGUGCUAUGAUCGAUUACCCAUAAGAAAAUAUAUUUGGCAUUUGGGAAUAGUCAGUAAUGAUCUUUGCACCCAAUGUCAUUAAAAGACUGAGGAUGUGUAUUGUGAAUGCCCCAUUGCUUGACUCUUUUAGGCUAAUUGGGACAUCCCACUAAAUUUAUGUCCUCAAACUCCCUCAACCCAAUGGCUUGCUUUCUUUCAUCACCGUAAUCACCCUAUUCCUGAUCCCUAUAUCACCUGGAACCUUUUUUUCUUGUUCUCUGUAGCACCUUUGAAAAAAUGCAACCAAUACUGCUUCAACAAUACCCUUUGUUACUGAUGUUUUGGCUAUAGACGAAAUAUUUUACAUCUUUUACAAGGGGUAAUUGUGCUUUUUCAAGAAACUAUUGUUUUAUUUAAUGCUGGAUUUUAGUGUUUUUAGGUCAAGGACUUAGUUGAGAAACAAGAGCAAAAACAGGAAUGACAACCAACUUGAUGGGCCAUCAACCAUCUAAUAGACCAUCACAGCAUUCGUCAAGGCUAAAAAUAAUAGACAGAGUAGAUGACCCAAGUGACGGUCCGAGUGACAGACCUUCAGACCUCAGACAGACCGUCAACCUAGCUGUCAGGUUGAGACAGUGAGUGGCUCCUCAAGUGAUCAAGCAACGAACCAUCAGGCUAAUGACGACCCAUCAACAUGACCGUCACACCUUAACCAGAAUAUAGUAGCUUGAUACCAUCAAUGACAGUCCAAGGGAUGGACCGUCAGUCCACUAACAGGCCGUCAACUUAACCAUAAACUGUGAUGCGGCAUUACUGAGUUCAAAUUUCAAAUCCCCAAUACCUAGGAACAUAUAAAUACCCAGUCUAGGUUUAGAUUAGGUAUCUUUUCAUUCAUCUAUUAUUCACUUUUCAACUUUUGAACAACUUAUAACUCAUUAGCCUCUAAGAAAUAGCUAAAAUAGUGGAUCUAAACAUUUUUCCACCUUUAUUCUUUAAGAUCAAGGAGACUUCUUUGGACCUUUUUGUAAGUAAUUUUCUAGAAUUGCUUAUGAGAAAUACAAUGAAAUCUUAUUCUCUUUCUGUGAUAAGUGGCUAAACCUCUCAUAACUAGGGUUAUGGGAGCCUUGAUGUGAUUAGUUGUUUAGGGUUGUGGGAUUGCAAUGAAUUCUGUAAUUAAUUAGAAUUGCAUAAACUUAUCUUUACUAUCAUGAUCCUUCUUGGUUGCAAACUUGAAGGGUGACCCCAAGAACACUACUUGUUUGAGUAGAAAUGUGUGUGUUGGGAAAAGAGAAGAUUUACAAGGAUCCCGAAGGCUUUAACUUUUGGGUUAAGGGUAGAUGCCUUAACGGGAUCAACCCACUUGAGAAAUAAAUUGAACACAUUAACAUAUUCUUUAAGUUCGAGAGAAUUAAAAGGGUAAUCAUCUAUUAAGAUUGAGAAACAAAUAGAUGAACUUUAGAGUUCAAUAAUUCUUGUAAUUGGAAUUUAUUACAUAUGAAUUUGGGAUAACCCACAACCCUAACUGCUACAACAUCUUAGUGAACAUAAUCCUAGUUUCGUUAUUCUCAUUGAAUUAAACUUUACAAGCACACUUAUUAGUUGAAACACGGUUUACUACAAUCCUACUUCACUGUUAACAAACAAACCCUUUUGUUACCUCGAAACCUUCGAUCAAUCAUCCAUUAAUAAUCAUAAUGCUUAAUUUAAAUAGUAUUCCCUGUGGGAUUCAACCCCAACCUAGUUGGGUUCUAUAUUUAACGACGAACGCUUACACUUUCUAACAAAAGUUUUAAUUUGGGCGUACCAAAUUUUGGCACCAUUGUUAGGGACCGAACCCGGGUCACCCGCGUGACAGGCGGGAAUACUCAUACGAUUGUCAAUUAAGUAUAUGAGUGUUAAUUGACAUUUGAUCAAGUUCUUAAUUUUACUUUUAUAUGUUGUUUUUGUUCAUUACAGGAUCUAUACUUUGCAUGCCAAGUACAAGGAGGUCAGGAGAAAUUUUAUUACCAUUUCAUUUGGAACGUUAAAUAAUUGGUCAAAUGGAAGGUCAACAAGAAGCAGAUAGACUAGCCGCUUUGGCUAGAGCUCAAUUAAAUCAAUAAAAUAAUGGUUAACCAGCUUGUCAUCCUAAUCCAGAGGAUGAGGAUUUGGGAGAUAACUUUUGAACCCUACUAACCAAAGACGUGUAGAGGAUGUGGUUGCACCUGUGAAUCGAAAUGUGAACAUAAAUCACCCUUUCAGAGCGAGACCAGAUCGCCAAGCUGUGAAUUUGAUCUUGAUGAAGAUAAGGAUGAUAUUGAUAGAUCAGGUACAACUGGAGCUAUUAUUACUCCACCGUUGGCACCCAAAGCUAAGUUCAACAUCAUGAGUACCAUGAUUCAACUAUUUUAUCUGAAAGGGUUGUUCGGUAUACUUCCUAGUGAUGAUUUGAAUAUGCACUUAGUGAACUUUGUCACUAUUUGUAAGUCUUUUGAUAACCCGGGAGUAGGCCAGAAUACUAUCCAUCUGCGCCUAUUCCCAUUGUCUCUGUCUAGGGAGGCGACACUAUGGCUUAAUGGGUUGACUUCUAAUUCUAUAAAAAACUGGAGGCAAUUGAAAAGAGCUUUUCUAGAAAGGUUCUUUCCACCGUCCAAGAUAUUACAAUUGAAAGAUGAGAUCAGUAACUUCAGGCAUCUUCUAACUGAGGCUCUUCAUGAGAUGUGGGACAGGUUCAAGAAGAAGUUAUACAGCGUCUCAACCACAAAAUAAUUGACAUAUAUUUGAUGGAGACUCUAUACAGAGCCUUGAAUUCUAUCACGAAGCCGAUUAUGGAUAAUGCUGUAGGUGGAGCAUUUAUGGAUCUUACUUUUCUGAAAGCUUCAGAAAUUCUUGAUAGGAUGAUUAAACAGAGUAGAGCUUGGCAUACCAGGGAUUCUGAGGUAGAAAGCUCUACUAUGUCUAGCGGUAUGUCUAAGAACAACGCUGAAAGAAGGAAGACUGCGACCAAGAUAUGGUGUACAUGAAGAGCCAGAUGGAUUUGCUUACUAAGAAUUUGCUAUAUAGGAAGACUGAGAAGGUAAAAGUUAUGGGAUUGCAAAAUAGAGUUGAAUCUGAUUCUGGGGAGAAGGCUAACUAUCUAAACAACCAAGAAGUUUCCGUGGCAAUAGCCAAGGGAAUCAAGGUCGAACGUACUAUGAUAAAGCUGGUUACAGAGAUGAUGACUAAGGGAACUGGAAAAAUAAAAAUGACAGAAGUGGAUUGUAUCUGCCUUUUGGAAAUCGUGAUAAUGUUGCUACUAGUUCAGGUAAAAUAUUCAUGGAGGACAUAAUGGAAAGGUUAUUAAAAGGAGUGGAGUCGACAAAUGCUGGUGUAAUAAUGAUGAAGAGUUACUUAUCCUCUAUUAGUUAGUUGGUCGACUCAUAUUCAACUUCAAUAAAAUAGUUGGAGAAACAGAUAAACCAACCUUUAGUGAUAUUUAACCAGAGAAAAAGUGGUACAUUGCCGAGUGACACGGUGAAAAACCCUUAAAAUGAUGGGUCUUGUAUGGAGAUUACUACCCGCAGUGAAAAAGUAUUAUCAUACCCUUAUAUGGAUAAUCCUGUGAUUGAUGAUAUGGUAGAGUUAGAUAAGGAAGCAGAAGAGGACCAUCCAGUAGAGUCUGAGAAGCUGGAUAUUAAUGACAUUCUAUCUAACCCUUAGAAGAUUGAUGAGUUAGAAAAAGAUAAGGGAAAGAAGGAAGAAGUAGUGGUUAAAUCUAUACCAAAAUGACUCCCUCCAUUUCCUCAUCGAUUGAAGAAAAAGGCUGAUGACAUAAAGGUUAGCAAGUUCAUGGCAAUGCUAAAAUAGUUGACUAUGAAUGUGUCGCUGGUGGAGGCACUAGAAUAAAUGUCUGGCUACGCUAAAUUCAUGAAGGACCUUAUCACAAAGAAGAGAACGAUGAGAUAUGAACCAGUGAACUAUCUCCACAUUAUAGUGUUAUCUCGAUAAGAUCCUUAGUGCAGAAGAAAGAAGAUCCAGGAGCAUUCACCAUCGCGUGUACUAUUGGAUCACUGGAUUUUGUGAAGGCCCUGUGUGGUCUUAGGGUGAGUAUUAAUCUGAUGCCACUAGAAUUUUAUAAGAAAUUGGGUUUGGGAGAUCCCACACCCACUAAUAUGAGACUUGUGAUGGCAGACAGAUCAGUGAAGCGGUCGAUUGGUAUAUUAUAUGAUAUGCUUGUGAAAGUGGCCAGUUUUAUUUUCCCUACUGAUUUUGUGAUCCUAGAUUGUGAGAUGGGCUUCAAGGUACCCAUAAUCUUAGGUAGACCUUUUCUCGCAAUUGGGAGUAUGUUGAUUGACUUGCGGGUAAAUAAGCUACAGUUUAGGCUCAAUGAUAAGGUAUUUUGAUUUGAUAUUUGUCAGUCAAUAAAGUAACACAAAGAGAUGAGUGUAUUACCCAUUGUUGAUAUUUAUUAUGAAGAUGAACGAGAGGUGUUGAUUAAGGAGAAAUUUGUUGUUGAAACUUCGGAUGCAGUGUUGAUGAACUUUGAUAAUGAAGGUAUCGAAGAAUAUGAGGAGACAUUAUGUGCUAAUGGGAAUGGGAUCAUAUUUACAUUCUCCCAAGAAGCUGGAUUUGGACCUCAAAAAUCAUCCAACACCACCAGCUAAGCCAUCUAUUAAAGAUCCACCGGUGUUGGAGCUGAAGGAGUUACCGAGCCAUCUACGGUAUGUGUUUCUAGGCAAUGAAAACACAUUACCUGUGAUUAUUCUAGAAAACUUAGGUGAGUAACAGGUUGAAGUCCUUAAAUUUGUGCUUAGGAGAUACAAAAGGGCCAUAGUAUGGAUUAUUACUGAUAUUAUUGGUAUUCUUCCGGGUAUAUGCACUUACAAAAUUUAACUUGAGGAAGAUUGCACACCAACUAUUGAGCAUUAACAUAAAUUGAACCCACCGAUGCAAUAAGUAGUUAAAAAAGAGAUCAUUAAAUGGCCUGACACAGAGGUAGUGUACCCUUAUCUCUUAUAGCAAGUAGGUGAGUCCUGUACAAUGUGUUCUUAAGAAAGGAGGCAUGAUUGUGGUCGCUAACGAGAAGAACAAGUUGAUUCCACUUAGGCCAGUCACUAGGUGGAGAGUUUGUAUGGAUUAUCUAAGUUAAACUCAUAAACUCUGAAGGAUCAUUUUGCAAUGCUCUUUAUGGAUCAAAUGCUUGAUCGCUUAGCAGGAAGGGGUUGGUACUACUUUCUAGACAUGUAUUCAGGAUACAACUAGAUUUUAAUUGCUCCUGAAUACCAAAAUAAGAUAACAUUCACCUGCUUGUAUGGUACAUUUACAUUUAAGUGGAUAUCGUUUAGUCUGUGUAAUGCACCCACAACUUUCCAACGGUGCAUAAUGUCUAUCUUUUUUGACAUGGCUAAGGACACCUUAGAGGUGUUCAUAGAUAAUUUCUCUGUGGUAGGUGAUUCUUUUGAGUUAUGUCUGGUAAACUUGAGUAGAGCACUGCAGAGAUGCAAGGAAUUCAAUCUAGUGCUGAACAGGGAGAAAUGCCACUUCAUGAUGAAGGAUGGCAUUAUUCUUGGACACUGAAUUUCAGCCAAGGGGAUUGAGGUCGACCAGGUGAAAAUAGAGGUGAUAGAUAAACUACCCCCUCCUAUCUCACUGAAGGGAGUUCGUAGUUUCUUGGGACAUGCUGGAUUCUACCGUCGAUUUAUUAAGGACUUCUCCAAAAUUGUAAAUCCACUGUGAAAAUUAUUAGAGAAGAAGUCUAAUUUUGUAUUUGAUGAUGAUUGCAAGAUGGCAUUUGAAUGCCUUAAGGGGAAGAUUGUGGUUGCCCCUGUUAUUGUUGCUCCAGAUUGGUCUAUGCCUUUCGAAAUCAUGUGCGAUGCUAGUGGAGUAGCACUUGAGGUUGUACUUGGCUAGAAGAAAGAAAAGUUGUUCCACCCCAUUUGCUAUGCAAGCAAGGCAUUGAAUGGGGUGUAGAAGAAUUACACUGUUACUAAGCAAAAACUUCUCAGAAUUGCCUAUGCUUUUGAGAAGUUUCGUGCUUAUUUGUUGGGAACCAAGGUGGUGGUUCAUACAAACCAAACCUCUUUAUGAUAUUUGAUGGAAAAGAAGGAUAUUAAACCAAGAUUAAUCAGAUGGGUGUUGCUUCUUCAAGAGUUUAACUUCGAGGUCAAAUACAGGAAAGGAUGUGAAAAUUAGGUAGCAGACCAUUUAUCCAGACUUAAGGGAGAUCAGGAAAUCACUGAAAAUUGCAAAAUUGAUGAUGCAUUCCUGAUGAGCAUAUCCUAAUUGUUGUGCUUGAAAAAGUACCUUGGUACACGGACUUUGCCAACUAUAUGGUAAGCAAUCUUAUUCGUGAAGAUUUUUUAUUUCAUCAGAAAAGAAAAUUCCUCCAUGAUGCCAAAAGUUACUUAUGGGAUGAGCCAUAUCUAUUCAGGCGGUGUGCUGAUAAUAUUAUUAGAAUAUGUAUCCCAGAAGUUGAUAUAUUGAAUAUUUUAGAAGUUUGUCAUGCUUUACCAGUCGAGGGUCACCAUGCAGGUGAUCACACCGCAAGGAAAGUGCUAUAGAGUGGCUAUUAUUGGCCAACCUUGUUCAAGGAUACAUACAAAUUUGUGAAGAGAUAUGACCAGUGUCAGAGGCAAGGCUCAAUUUUGAAGCACCAUAAGAUGCCCAAGACAAAAAUACUAGAGGUAGAAUUGUUCGACGUUUGGGUAUUGAUUUUAUAAGACCCUUCGUCAAUUCUUAUGAGUUGAAAUACAACUUGGUUGUUGUAGAUUAUGUAUCCAUUGGGUAGAAGGUGUGGCUCAAGCUGACAAUGAAGGUAAAAGAGUGGUUGCUUUUCUCAAAAAGAAUAUCUUCUCUCGUUUUGGAGUACCAUGUACUAUCAAAAGAGAUGGAGGGUCUCACUUUUUUAACAAAGUGCUCCAGGCAACCUUGGAAAAAUAUGGGGUGAAUAGCAUAAAGUAGCAACUCCAUACCACCCACAGACCAGAAGGUAAGUGGAGAUUUCGAAUCGGGAGAUUAAGGCUAUCCUGGCUAAAAUGGUGAACGCAAGUAAGCAAGAUUGGUCUCAAAAACUUAAUGACAUCGUGUGGUCGUAUUGGACUACUUUCAAGACACCCAUUGGAAUGUCACCAUACCAGUUAGUCUAUGGCAAGGCAUGCCAUUUGCCGAUUGAGUUGGAACACAAGGCAUUAUGGGAACUCAAGAGGCUGAAUCUAAAUUAGAAUGAGGCAACAGUGUUACGACUGGGGCAGCUGAAUGAGAUGGACGAGUUCUGUCUCGGGGAUUAUGAAAGAGCAGACCUAUACAAAGAAAAGAUAAAGAGAUACCGUGACCGGAGGAUCGAGAAGAGGGUCUUUCAGGAAGGUGAUUGGGUACUUCUUUUCAACUCCAGACUGAAACUCUUUCCAAGUAAACUUAAGUCAAAGUGGUCUGGCCCAUUCAAAGUUAACCAAGUCUACUUUUCUGGAGUAGUUAAACUUGAGAAUGAAGAUAGGAGCAUCUUCAAAGUCAACGGUAAAUGAGUCAAGUUGUAUAUCGGUACAAUGGACUCGUUUAAAUUCUUAGGUACUGUCUAUCUUGAUGAAUUCUGAGUAAUCAAGAUUUCUGAGUUGUACCACAAUAUUAAAUAGUGGGAGGCAACCCACAAUGUGUUGUUGUAAGUGUAGUUAGAGUACUUGUUUAUUUUGGUGUAAUUUGAUGUGUUUUUAAAGUGUGCAAGAUUGGAAUACAAAAAAGACAAGAUCGGAUCAAGUUGAGGAAGGUUGACAAACCGUCACUGAAUCCGUCAAAUCCAUUGCAGAAUGUUAGACAUUCUUGAUAAGGCUUGACAGCUAAGUUGAUAGACCGUCACAUGCCCGAUAGACUGUCAAAGUCACUGUCAACGUGACGCCGAAAAAUGAAAGUUCUAGAUAGGAUCUGACAGGCACGACGAUAGGCCAUCAACCAUUCGAUGGAUCAUCACAUUGACCAACGCAGGAAAGAAUGAAAACUUAAGUUCUAGUAAGGCUCAACGGUAGAACCGAUGGACCAUCAAAACACCUGAUAGAUUGUCAAGUUGCCCAUCAAUCAAACCCUAGUUUUAAAUAAGCGGGUCGGAUCACCAAAGGGCUAUUUAAUCAUUUUGAUCCAACCCAAGUGUUAUGUAAUAGAUAGUGGGAUUCAGUUACAUGCACGUCUCAUCUUUUUAACUCCCAUAACCAUUUAAAAUCCUUUACAUUCAUUGUACAAUUCAAAUUUAUCCCCUCUUAAGACUCUUCUUCUACCCCAUUAUCCCCUAUUUAAACCAUUUCUAUUCUGAGUAUUCUCAUCAAAAGCAAAGUUAAAUCACUCACUAAGAAAUUGAUUGGUCUAAUCUGUUCUAAAUUUUGUAAGUCACAGCAUUAAGGCAUACUUCAAGAUCUAUGUAUGACCAAAACUCUUCUUUACUUUUCAGAAUAAAGAACAUGCAUAAUGUAAGUGUGAUAAUGGAUGAAAGAACUAUUUAUUUUCUUGUUGUUGAUUUUGUGUUUCUAAACAAACUCUGGUAAAUAUUGUACUGGGUGAAGUCUAAGUAACCCAUGGCCAAAGAUUGGUGAAAUUAGUUGUCAAAGGUUGAAAUUAAUAUAGUGACUAUGUGAUUGAUGAUUGAAUGUAUACAAGAUGUUUGUAAAAUUAUCAAAGAGAAAGAGUAAACUAGAAAUUCCAGUUAACGGCCACACCAACGGACCAUCAGACCCCUAACAGACUGUCAAACUGCCCUUCAACUGGCUUCAGACUGAAUGUCUCACUACUUAAGCUGUGACGAACUUCUUGAUGGACCAUCAGACCCCUGACGGACCAUCAACAUGACCGUCAAAAGAUUCCUGAACAAAUGUUUCACUGGUUAAGCUGUGACGGAUACCUUGACGGACUGUCAGACCCCUGACGGAUUGUCAGACUGCCUGUUAACACAAAUCUAAAUCUGAUUUUUCCUAUUUCUAAUUCAACAUUGAUGGUUUAUUCCUUGUUUAGGCAAAUGGCACAUAAACUACCCAUAAGCAGAGGCGGUGGUAGGACUCAAAGGGGUAGAAAUGAGCCAGCACUAAGUGAGGAGGCUCUGACUUUCAACACUCGACAAAGGGAUAGGAUGAAUCAGGCAUUCUCCUAGUCUGAAAAGAAGAGUGAGAGCAGUUACAGCCCUAACGAGGAAGAGGUUAACAUAUCAAACCCCAACCAAGUUGAGGCAUCAGAAACUGAGGAUGCCAAUGUGGUUACAAGCAAAGACCCUCAAACACGAGAAGUAAUUAGGUGGCAGAUUGAAGGAGCCCGGGAUAAAUAUCUUGACGGGCUUGAACUGACAGCAACCAGGACAAUAAAGAGGCCAAUCUCCGAGGAGCAUCAAAUUAUGACGAUCGAGUUGCAUGAGUACCCAAAGCUAGAGAGGUGAUUUAAUGAAUAUGAGUUAGCUUGGAUGAAUAAGCCUCUCGGGGCAUACCAACCAAAUCUUGUGCGGGAAUUAUUUGCAAAUUAUUUGGCACUAGCAGAGAAAGACUAUCCCAAGGGCUCAAAAAUUUGAGACUUACCCAACAGGGAGUCAGUGUCGGUAAGAGAGGUCACCAUUGAUAUAUCUACCUGCACGCUAAACAGGAUGCUAUUUUGGCCUGACUAUGAAGCACCGGCUGCAGUACUAGAACUUAAGCAUUGUAUGACUAUGACCUUUACCCAAAGGCCUUGGUUAUCUAGGCUCCUCACGGAUAACGGUAACCCAUCAUGGGAACUCAAUCCAAAAAAGUGCAUUGCUAAGUCAUCCCUUAGUUUAUGAGCUAAAUUUUGGUGGGCUAUCGUUAGACUACGGUUGAUACUAAAAGAAAAAGAUGUUAAUUUAGACAGUCAUGGGGUAGUGUUGGUGGCUAGUCUGAUCAGGGAGCUGAAGAUUGUUUUUGGAUAAAUUAUUAUUGAUGAGUUAUUUGUUCGGGCACAUAAAGUGGCAAGUGUUUUACUAUUUUCGUGUUUGAUCACGAAAUUAUGCAAAUAAGCCAAUAUGUCUUUGAUUCGAGGGGUCGAUAAUGAGGUUCGACCAACUCACAGGUGCGAUAUUGAAAAAAUAAAGGAUAACUCAAAAUAUGAAAUACGAUUCAACAAGCCUCCUACUUAUCAGACGCAAUCAGCUUCAGCCUCAGGGACUUCUGAGAUUCCGAUAGGUAUGUCAUUGUCUAUUACUACGUAUGUGUCACCCGAUUAUGUGCGGCCUAGUACUUCUAAAGGAUCAACAUCUAUGCGACCAAUGGGUGGGACUUCAAACAUUGCAUCUGUCCUACCCCAAUAUUCAGCGUAAAGGCUGACACAAAAGAAUUUUGCAAAGUCUAUCAAAGCACAAAAAAAGUUUGAGAAACAGCUGAGCACCAAAGCAAAAUAGUUCAAGCCAUUUGUUGAUCACAUCGUUAAUAAAACCUUAAAGUUAUAUCAGUAUAUUCAGAUCAAAAUGGAUGACAUAGAAGAGCACAUAAACAAGCGGCUGGAUGAGCUAUCAUUGCCAGAUUUUGCAAAGUUUGUGGCAGAGUUCAAGCAGGUACAGGCUGAUAUAGUAGAGCUUAAGAGAUAACCACUGCAGCCCACUUUUGAUCCUGCUUUGGUCAUUAGUAACGAAGACGAGAGCCUUGUUGAUGUGAUGGGUAAACCGCUCAAAAAUAAAGGCAAGCAGGUAAACAAAAGUGCUGACAGGAAGGUCACGAGAAGAAGAAAGGGAGAAGAGAUAACACUUGAGGAAAGGUAUGAGAGAUAUUUGAGAAAAGUUGUGAAGAGGUCAAAGAAUGAUGAAGAGUUAAGAAAGAAGAAAGCUGUAGAUGAAGCUACAGGAGUAUCGACCAGUUCUUCCCCAGCUAGGGGGCCAAUUCGAGAUCCGGUUCCUAUUGAGAUACCUCCGAGCCAGGAGGAUGCUUAUUUGAGCAUCCCUACCACCAUAGGGGUCAACGUUACAACACCUGAGGCAUAAGAAGCCUCACUAUAUUUGACUGACUCAUCGGCCUGAGAGGCUUUACAAGUAUUCCACUCCUUUGUACUUUAUGUUAAUGUAUUUGAGGACAAAGCAUUUUGUUUAGUAGGGAUGGAGUGUUUGUUAUGUUUUGGUCACCACAGGGGUUUUUGUUGCCAAUGUUCUUUUCCUACCGUGUGAUGUCUAGUAGAACCGACAUGUUUAGGUUGCAUAUUUAUUUUUCUUGUGAUGUACAUAUAUGUUGACACCCAAUUUUGGUAGUCCGACACUCAUUUUAGGCUGUUAUUUUAGCAAAAUUACUAAUACUAAAGGUUAGUAUUUUUUACACAUUUUUCUUGCAUGAAACAGGUUUUUGACGUGUCACGUCCAUGAUUUUAUAAAAUAGGAAUUAUUUUUACCACCUUACAGUAUCAUUCUUACGAUUCAUUAAUUUAAAUAAAAUAUUUCUUGAUGAAAUUUUAUCAAUAUUUUGUUAAUUCUUUUCGUAAAUAUGCACACUCACAAUAUUCAAAUGCAUUGUCUAUUAUUAUAAUUAUUGUUGUUGCUGUUGUUGUUGUCGCUAUCGAUAAUUUUAUAUAAUAAUUUUACGUAACAUCAGUUUUUACGUGCGUAGCAUAUUUGAAUACCAACGUCUUGUUAUCUUUCUUAUCAUAUUUAUUAAAAUAACAGCUCUAAUUUAAUUCAAUUUCUCAGUUUAUUUAUUUUCUAGCCACUUUGAUUCAACUUUCUCCUUUUGUAUUUAAUUGCUAACCAAUUUUUGAUCAAUUAAUGUUAAUUUUAUCCAAAUUGGAUUAAAUUUUAACCCCAAAUUAAAAUUCAAUUGCUGACAUUCUUUUAAAGGAUUUUAAUCUCAACCGUUGAUCAAAACAGAUCCAACGGCUAAGAUCAUGUCAACCCAUUCUUUUCAUUUAACUUAAAAACCCUAGAUCCUCCUCAUUUUUCAUCAAAAGAGCCGCAACUUUCUCCUCACUUUUCCCUCUAUCUAAACUCACCAAUCGCCGCAGCUACUAACACAAGCAAAACCAACAUGGUCACCGGCCUUCUACCCCUCUCCCCUUGGUCUCUCCUCCGCUAGGCGUCACCAGUCGUCCCUCCUUCCUAUAUCAUCUUUUCACCACUGUUGACCAGUCCUCGAAGCCACCUUCAAAGCUGUCGAAGGGUUUCUCCCUCUCUCUUCCUCCAACGAGCUCUGUGGCUAUUGCCACUGUGCAAUAGCCAUACCAGUUUUGCCCUUCUUUCUCCACCAGCAAACCUCGUCGUACUGCCGCUACACAAUAGCCAAAGCAGCAGCCAACCAAUGCCGCCCUCACCAGCAUCACCCUUCACCGCCCUCUCCUCUCAUUCAUCACGCCCUUAUCGGAGUUAAUAACUGAUGAGGUUUUCAAGGAGCCUCACUAUGAUUACCGUUCAAGUUUAAUCUUUCUUUACCUUAAAUUACAUGAUUUUGUUUGCUUUUAUCUUCAAAUUAUUUGAAUUCUCAAAUUCAGAAUGCAUGGUGUUUGAGUUUGAGUGUUGAUUCAAUGUCUUUAAUUAUGUGUUUAUUGGCAUCUCUAGGCUAACAUAUAUGAAACCCCCCAAGUUUGUAUGAGUACUGAAACCUAGUUUAUGUGUUUGAUUAAUUAUUUAUCUCGGCAUCGAUAAGUUUGACACUUUAUUAUUAAGGUCAAAUUUAGAAUUCAUUUGCCUAAAAAGUCUCUUCUAUUUUGAUAUUGGUCCGGUUCUUCAUUUUUGAAUUAGCUCAAAUUAUGUGAUAACUUUACCUACUCUUUUCUUUCCUUGCUUACAAUAGCCUAGUCUGAUUAAAUAUGGUAACUUGAGAUGCACACCCUAUUAUAGCUUUGGUACUGCUCUUUUGGUAGACGUUGAUAGCUCUAUAUAAUUGUUUUUCUCUUAUGGUGAAAUUAGAAUUAUAAAACCCUCCAAAUCUAUUAUUUUUUGUGAAAACCUGGCUGAUUUCUCAAUAAAUUGAUUGACCUUACUUAACUGAGAGUUAUGGUUGAUUGAUUUAAUGUUUAUUUAUGAUAAAUAUGGCUAAAAGAUAUUUGAUUUACAUAUGUACGGUAAAUAUAAUGUCUUUUAUAUUUUAAAUUGAUCCAUCCUUAAUUUGAUUGGUUUAACUUGUCAUUUCUGAUUGUGUGACUGACAAUCUCCUUCCUUUCUUUAAUGUCAUGAUUGAUUUUGUGACAGUGGGUAUAUUUUUAUCUUAGUUGAUUGGUCUUAUGAUGGGGAUUAUAACUUUUUUCUUUGUUUAUCAUAGUCAUUUUUCUACUAUAAGAGUAAUCUUUUUCAGUGUUUAGAAGGAAAAACUGCUAAUCCUCUCUACUCUCUCGUACACAAAAGACAAACAUUGAUGUUCCUUUUAUCUUAAAGAACUUACAACUUAGAAUUUACUCUGUCACACAAAAAGCUUUAAGCAAACAAGAAAUAAUUUUUCUUUAUUACUCAUUUGUACUUAUAUUUCAGAGCAUUGAUCUUAACUGUUUUGCAGCAAUUCGUAUGUGGAUUCUGUGCUUCUUGGUUUUCUUAUUAUUAUUAUUAGUUGUUAUCGGCAAUCGGUAAGUCACUAUCGAUGUAAUUUUUUUACACUUUAUGUGAUGAUGCUAGUAAACAUGUUUAUAGAAAUCAUUCGGUGUUUGUUUGCUAUGUCUGUGUUAUGUUAUAUUUUCUUUUGUACUGUUAUUACACAUUCUCUCGCAGGUGUAAAUAGAUAGUUUCGGAAAUUUAAAGAAUCGUCGGGAUGUUGGGAAAGGGGUUGUCCAUUCUUUUUCCUUAAUUUAGUUAUUUAUUUUUAUUCAUUGUGUUGUAAUAACUUUUGUAAACCUUUUGAUGUAAUAAUAAAAUUGGGGACAGCUCAGAAGGAGGGGAUCUAUGUGCUCUAUGAAUCCCGCAGGCAACGUAACUUAGUUUUAUAUUUUUUUGUACUUUUAUGUGAUUACGUGAACCACUUAAGCAAAUUCUUAGUAUUAAUAAUAAAUUUAUUUUACCGCUUGGAAAUCACAUUUUUAAGACCGUCAAUAGAUUUUCGACAUGAAAAAUUAUUUUGGGCAUAUUAAUUUAACUCAUAAAAAUGUAAAAUCAAUUUUCAUCAUUUUUAUUUGCUUCUUUACUUGUUUUUCAGCAUUUACAUAUUAAUUUCUAGCAUGUCAAUAUCAUUUUUCAGCAUAUAGUAAUAAUUUUCAGCCUGUUAAAUUAAAUUUCAGCAUAUUAGAGUUAAUUUUUCAGCUUAUAAAUUUAUUUUUCAAGCAUAUUAAAAAUACAAAAAAUAAAUUUUCAGUAUAUUGAAAUGUAUUUUCAGCAAUGUUUUGUGCCUACUUGUUUAGUUUUCCCACGUGUUAUUUGUUUUUCGGCAAGUGAAUAUGUUUCUUAGCAUUUUAAAAUUAAUACCCAACACUUUACUAAUUUAUAACAUAUUUCGCAUUACAAAAUUAAUGGGUAUCCCUCCCCAACGUAAUUACUUUAUUUUGACAUACUUUGUUUUAACAACUUUACAACGCUAUUUUUUGAAUGACUUGACGGUUACUUUUCAUCAAUAAACAGUUAUUUUCAUUUGACUUGACGGUUACUUUUCAUCAAUAAACAGUUAUUUUCAUUUAGACAUCAUGCUCAAAUAUUUAUUACAUAAUAAAUUAUUGUUUUUAUUCUCUCACGUUUGUUUAACUUUGACAUGUCGUUUUCAUUGUUAACGAAUUUUAUUAUAUUAUUUUGACUUGAACAACAAUUACAUUUUGUCAUCCUAGUAAUUAUUAACAUCUAUAUACCAUGCUUAUAGGUUUUUACAUCAUAAAUUAACGUUUUAUCCUUUCACGUUUGCCUAACUUUGACAUGUUUUUUAUUCUCAAAAAUUUUUUACAACAUUGUGUUAAAUAUUUUGACAAUUACUUUUCAAUAUAUAAUUGUGUGAUCCCACAUAGAUAUCAUGCCUAUAGGUUAGCUAAAUAAAAUCACUAAUUAUUUGUCUUUGUAUGUUAAUCAUAUUAAUCAACUUUAAUUAACCAAGAGGCUAACUUGAGACAAUUAUGUGCUACGUGACGUCCUACUUGUUAUGUGUUUCAAGUCCUAGGCAACAUAGCUUUAUUUGUCUAGACCAUAAAAUCAAAAUAGCAAAGUUCAAUGCCUCUUGGACGAUCGGUGGGGCGAUAGAUAUUACUAAAGACAUUAGUUUUAUCCUUGUCUUAGAACGCCUUUAGAUUUAAUAACCAGUCUAGAUGGGGUGGGGCGGGUAGUCAUUCAGAAGUGAUGAUCUCCAACAAAUAUUAACGGUAAGACUAACGACAUUGUCACUUGUCUAAGAAUUCGGCCAGUGGGUCGGAUAAUGAUUAAACAAGUAGGGGUUCUGAUCCGAAUGAGACCAAAAAUAAUUCUUUGUUUGAUUUGAUGAAUUCUUUUUAUUCUUUUAUUUACUUUAUGUGCUUAUUUAUAUGGGGUAGUUAGUUUAUUACAUAAGCAGUCCCCUUUGUUACCGUUUAUGUUAUUUCUUUCUUCUCGCUCGUCUUGUUAUAUGUUUUAAUGAUUUUAUCACUUAGAUAAUCAACAAUUAGAAAUAAUAAAAUAACAUUUGUUCGUUUAUUAAUUACUUUGUCACUUAAUUAACAAUUAAGUUAAAAUAAAAGAUCUUUAUUUGACCACAUAGAAUCUCCACGUAAAGUACGAAUUUGGUUGGAAACCAUCUUUGUGGACCUCGAAAGGUGUCUAACACCUUUUUUUGAGGUAAUUUGAACCCUUACCCGAAUCUCUGGUCAACUAAGACAAAAUAACAAAAAAGGUUCAUAGUAGCCUAGACCGGUGCCCUAACGUACCUUAAUACGUUAGGUGCCGACUCUUCACACUUUCUCAAACAAUCUCAAAAAGAAUAGUCACGCCGAAUCCCGCUUUUCAUGAGAAAAAUGGGGCGUGACAGAAUGGCUACUCUGCUGGGGAUCUUAGGUUCUAACCAUUAUGAAUUUGUACUUUAUGUGGGAUUCUCUCCAUUUGUUUUGAUAAUGUUUGACAUCCUGAUUUAUUUUCUAUAUAUUCUUCUUUUAUCAUUUACUUACAUCAUGAUUUAUUAGUCCUUUCUCCUUUUUCCUUUUUAUGUGUUUUUUAUGUUUCUAUGUUUGUCCCUUUUUCUUUUUCCCUUUUUAUUAUUUAUGUGUUAUCGUGUUCAUCUAUAUGUAUACUGUUUAGCAUGUUAUAUUUUGCUAUGUGCUAUGUGUUAUUAUUUUUUAUAACUGGCAUUCCGUUCAUACUUUCCUCCACUUGGAAUCUCCUUUAUUUUUCUUUUACGGACGGUUGCAUGGGUACAUAGACAUUCUUUCCUAAAACACGCUUUGGGAAAUAUCUUGUGGAUCGGUCGAUCAGCGGUGCUCGACAAUCACAAGCUUUCCCAUUCUCUAGUUGCCCACUUGAGGGAACCAUGUCACAAAUCCACUCUUAUCCUUUAGAUCUUGGCUACAUAUUUCUUUUAUUAAGAAAUAUGUGUCCCAUUCAACAUAGGAUGCCUUGGCAUCCUUGACGCGUUGAAUGUUAGUCUCAUUCAAAGUUCAAAGAGGUUCACGGCCUCAAAAGGACUCACAAUUACUUGCUAUGUGUUGCAUUUCUAUGUAUGUCUUGAUAUGUGCCUAUCUUGUUUUUUAGUCACUCCUUACAUUUAGUGUUCCUCACUUUAAAGCUUGCUACUCUUAAAAUUCUUGUCAUGUUAGGUCCUUAGAAUACACUCUUAAGGCCUAUUUAAAAUUCUCCAAUUCAUCCCCACUUGCUAUUCAAUUUCUACAACUCUAUAAAUUUUGAACUACGUCUGACCUGAUUCUUGUUCUAAAAAGAUACGUAGGCAAUCCUUUAUAAGGAUGCGGUCUUCCUCUUCUUUUUUCCUUUGUUUCACGAAACAUCCUAAUAUUUAAAAGUGUGAGACAAUCGUUAUCAUACCAACAAUUUUUCUAUCACAUCAUAUUCUCCAUAUCUUUCACCUUUCCAUAAUGUCAUAAGGGUGCAACUUAGAAGCUUUUUAUUCAAAUGACUUUUCACUCACAAACAUUUCAAACUAAAUACUUCAAAAUGUUCAAAACUUUGUCAAUCUUCAAUUCUCUCAUUUAUUCAAAACAAUUUCUUUAAACAUUAUAUGCAUAUCUUUACAAUAUCUUAUCAUUAUUCACUCGUUCAAUCAAUCAGCAUCGAGUAUGAAUUUAGUAUCUAAGUCUUUGUUAGAAUCUAUCUUCCAUCUUGUGAUAUCAAUUCAUUUUUCAAGCUUAAAGUUCUAGCCCAGCCAUUCAUCCUAAAGUCCUUCUUGACAAAAUGACUCAUAUCGACAUACUAUCUCUUUUUGCAUUGAGCACGCUGAUACGCAUUUUGUUUAGUUUAUUAUUUAUUAUUUAAAGGUUGUCUAGCAUUUGAACAUCGACUCAAUUGAAAAUUUGCAAUGUGAGAAAUAUGCUUAAUAUACAGAAAGAUUACGUCCCUCUUUUCUCUCACCCAAGGCAAAACACUGUUUAGACCGAAUCUCCUUAUUCUCGUAAUAUUCACGUAACCUCUUAACAACGUCCUUCAACAUUCACCACUUUUGAAAAUGGGAGACAUCGUUAUUCUCCAUUUAUUUGCCUUAUGACUAAAUAACAUUUUCUAUCUUAUCUACCUUUCUUUUUACUCAUGAACUACGUUCGACUUGACUUCUAUUUAGACACGUAGGUAGCCACUCUGGGUCUGGUCUUAAUCUAAAUAUUUUUUCCCUCUCUUUCAAAUUCUUACACUUCCAAAGUACCAGGCUGAUAAGCCCUACUCUUGAGCAUAUAAAGGCAGAUUACAAUCGAGGUCACGAUGUUCAAGUAGAGAACAACCAUUUUCCUUGGACUAAAAUUUCCUUUGAGUGGCUCAGGAAUAUAAGACUCUAAAAGCCAAAGCUGGGGCAAAAUUUUUGAGGUUUCAAGAAAACCUAAAAAAUUUCACAAGUAAACAAUAUAUCAACGACAUGCAAAAAGUGUCUUUCAUUCUAAACUGGGGCAGAAAUUUUUGAGAAUUUCUCAAAAAUUUCACCAUGAUGAAGUACAAGUCCUAACGGUCUAUAAACCAGAAACAACGACCAAGGGGUCCAAUCGAGCAAGGUAUGAAUUAACAUUUCUUUUCGACUGAUUAUUUUUCUUUGAGUGGAGACAGUAGGUAUUAAAUGUACCAACGAUGCUAUGAUAUCAUCAAAGAGGCCAGGAUUGCAUCCCAAUAAGGGAAAAGAGCCAAGUUGUUCUAUCUUUUAACUUUGACGACAUUGAAAUUGAUACCAAAUUAUUCCACAAUAUUGGGUUCUUGUAAAACCUUAAUUGAAUAAUAUGAGGUUUCUGUAGAAUCUCCCAUAAUAUUGGGUUCUUGUAGAACCUUAUCCACAAUAUUGGAUUUCUGUAGAACCUUAUCCAUAAUAUUGGGUUUCUGUAAGACCUUAAUAAACAAUCUUGGAUUCUUGUAGAACCUUAAUUAAAUAAUAUAAGGUUUCUGUAGAACCUCCCACAAUAUUGAGUUUCUAUAAAACCUUAACCACAAUAUUGGAUUUUUGUAGAACUUUAUCCACAAUAUUGGGUUUCUGUAGAACCUUAAUAAAUAAUUUUGGGUUCCUGUAGAGCACUAUCCAUAAUAUUGGGUUCCUGUAGAACCUUAAUCAAUAGUAUUGGGUUCUUGUAGAACCUUAAUCAACUAUAUAGGGUUCCUGUAGAACCUUAUUCCAUAAUAUUGGGUUCUUGUAGGACCUUAUCAAACAAUAUUGGGUUCCUAUAGAACCUUAAUUGAACAAUCUUAGGUUUCUGUAUAAUCUUAUUCAAUAAUGUUAGGUUUCUGUCGAACCUUAUUCCACAAUAUUAAGUUUCUGUAAAAUCUUAUCAAAUAAUCAUGGGUUCCUGUAGAACCUUAAUUGAAUAAUCUUGGGUUUCUGUAGAACCUUAUUCAACAAUAUUGGGUUUCUAUAAAACCUUAUUCAACAAUAUUGGAUUUCUGUAGAACCUUAAUCAACAAUAUCAGGUUCCUAUAAAACCUUAAUCAACAAUCUUGGGUUCUUGUAGAACCUUAAUCAGUAAUAUUGGGUUCUUGGAGAAACUUAAUCAACAAUGUUGGGUUCUUGAAACCUUACAUUUUUCUAUGUCCUAACUCGUAUUCAACAAGAUAAUGAUAUCAUGAAAAAGACACUUCAAUCGAGGCAGAGUCAUAAAUCAAUCUCCCCUUUUACAAACUCAUAAUUUUUCUUUGAGUACAGGAUUAACAGGUACAUAUGAUAGGAAUCACUCUAUCAAGAGGGGCCCAACAGCUAGUCCAAAAACAUGACAAGAAACAGUUGGUCCAACAGCACAACAGAUACGCUUUCUUAUCUCAUUUUAUUGUUAUGGUUGUUUUCACUACGUUGUUCAAUCUUCUAUACAUACACAUAUAUCCAUGCUAACUAUUUUUAUCUAGUUGAGUUAAAAGUAACAGGUUUAACAGGAACAAAUUACUCUAUCAUGAGUAGCCCAACAGCUGAUCCCACGAUUCAACAAUGCAUAGAGAAGCUCAAAGUUGAUCCCACAACGAGCAGCCAAACAGUUGAUCCCAUGACCCUAUAAUGCAUCAAAAAGCUCAAAAGAUGAUCCAACGAUGAGAAGCCAGACAGUUGAUCCCACGAUUCCACUAUGCAUUGAGAAGCUAAAAACUGAUCCCAUGACGAGCAGCCAAAUAGCUGAUCCUAUGAUUCCACAAUGCAUCGAGAAGCUCAAAGUUGAUCCCACGACGAGCAGCCAAAUAGCUGAUCCCACGAUUCCACAGCGCAUCAAGAAGCCCAAAAGAUGAUCCUACAAUUUCACAGUACAUCGAGAAGCCAAAGAGCUGAUCCCACGAUGAGAAGCCAGACAGCUGAUCCCACGAUUCCACAAUGCAUCGAGAAGCCUAAAAGUUGAUCCCAUGAUGAGAAGCCAAAUAGCUGAUCACAUGAUUCCACGAUGCAUCGAGAAUCUCAAAGUUGAUCCCAUGAUUCUACAAUGUAUCGAGAAGCUCAAAGUUGAUCCCACGAUGAGAGGCCAAACAGCUGAUCUCACGAUUCCAUAAUGCAUUGAGAAGCUCAAAAGGUGAUCCCAUAAUACAACAGAUAGUUUUUCUAAUUUUCACACUGUAAUACCCCAGAAAUUUUCUUCGUAAAGAUUUCGUGAGAACGUAUCGAGUUCUACGCUUUAGAGCAAUCCAUAAAUUUUUUGUGUAGUAUUUUUAAAACGUUAACCUACCAUUGCGUAGAGUAUCGAAUAAGAUUUCCAAUGAUAUGUAGAUCAUCAAAAAUGGACACUCGAGCGAUGAGUUACGACCAUUCUGAUCGAACUACGACCAUUCCGAUUGAAUUGUGAACAGUAAAACGUGCAGGAAAUUAAAAAUUACUGCAGCCAGGCGAAUUUCAGGGUCAACUUUAAACGACCAUAACUCCUUGUACAUACUGAUCUGGGUGAGCUACUAUAUAUCAACGGAAAUAUCUAAGAGUUCUCUUUCUAAUGAAAUUGGUUUCAUCCAAUUUGGCAGUCAAAGUAAAAUGUUAUGGUCGAUCUACUUCAGCCUAUUAAAACAGUCCACCAAAGGACAGAUUUGACAUUAUUUACUUUUUUAAGGGCAAAUUGGUCAUUUCACACUCCCUCUUGGACGAAAAUUUAUCCAUUUAAUCCAUAAUUGAACCUUCAAAAUUUAUUUUCUCCAUAAAACAGUUGGGAUAAUAAAAUCCUAGCCAAAUUUCUCCUUCAAAUACCUUUCAAUUUCACAAUAGAAGUCCAAAAUUAAUCCGAUAAACGAACUCCUCAUUUCAAGACCUUUGAGGAGCACCCAUUAUUUGUCCGAACAAGAUUCCGUAAUCAAGAAGUCAAUUUCAAGGUAUGUGGGGUUUUGAACAAGAGCAAUCUUCCGUUCUUGUGCCAAAAGCUUUAAUUUUAUUAUGGUUUUACAUGAUUUUGCAAGUGAGAUUAUGUCUAAAUAAUUCGAUUAUGAGAUUAUGAUGGUUGAAUGGAUAAACUUUGAUUUAUAUGAUUAUCUCAAUGUUUUCAUGAUAUGAUUUAAUAAUUAUCAUUGCGAACUACACACUUUUACCACGAGGUGGUAUUUUGAAUGAUUUUGGGACGUAUGUCGAGAUGGUAUUUUGGAAUAAUAUUUUGAGAUAUGUGUCAAGNNNNNNNNNNNNNNNNNNNNNNNNNNNNNNNNNNNNNNNNNNNNNNNNNNNNNNNNNNNNNNNNNNNNNNNNNNNNNNNNNNNNNNNNNNNNNNNNNNNNNNNNNNNNNNNNNNNNNNNNNNNNNNNNNNNNNNNNNNNNNNNNNNNNNNNNNNNNNNNNNNNNNNNNNNNNNNNNNNNNNNNNNNNNNNNNNNNNNNNNNNNNNNNNNNNNNNNNNNNNNNNNNNNNNNNNNNNNNNNNNNNNNNNNNNNNNNNNNNNNNNNNNNNNNNNNNNNNNNNNNNNNNNNNNNNNNNNNNNNNNNNNNNNNNNNNNNNNNNNNNNNNNNNNNNNNNNNNNNNNNNNNNNNNNNNNNNNNNNNNNNNNNNNNNNNNNNNNNNNNNNNNNNNNNNNNNNNNNNNNNNNNNNNNNNNNNNNNNNNNNNNNNNNNNNNNNNNNNNNNNNNNNNNNNNNNNNNNNNNNNNNNNNNNNNNNNNNNNNNNNNNNNNNNNNNNNNNNNNNNNNNNNNNNNNNNNNNNNNNNNNNNNNNNNNNNNNNNNNNNNNNNNNNNNNNNNNNNNNNNNNNNNNNNNNNNNNNNNNNNNNNNNNNNNNNNNNNNNNNNNNNNNNNNNNNNNNNNNNNNNNNNNNNNNNNNNNNNNNNNNNNNNNNNNNNNNNNNNNNNNNNNNNNNNNNNNNNNNNNNNNNNNNNNNNNNNNNNNNNNNNNNNNNNNNNNNNNNNNNNNNNNNNNNNNNNNNNNNNNNNNNNNNNNNNNNNNNNNNNNNNNNNNNNNNNNNNNNNNNNNNNNNNNNNNNNNNNUCCUAACGUGUUCUGAGCUUGUCGGGGAGUAGUACUUAGCACCGAGAGGGAAAUUUGAUAUUUCCCCAACGCUAUGUGCCACCGUAGGGUUGUUUGAUGAUGAUAUUAUUGGCCAGAGAACCCGAUUGUGAUUACUGCAGUUUUAAGGUCGUACUCCCUGGCAAAGAGUAUGAUGCUCCCACCAAUGGGGUUUCAAACGUUGGUAUUCCACGUAGCUCACGUGGGGUUGUUGGUUAUAGGAAACUCCCCUGUCCAUAAAAGUCAUGUUUCUUGAAGUAUCGAGUCACUUCGAGAUUUGAGUCCAAGAGUUGAGAUAUUAUGAUGAAUUAUGAUUACCUAUGAUGAAUUUUGACGAUAUGAUAAUUUAUGAUGAUUUAUCAUAAUUUAUGAUUUUUGAUGAUUUACAUGGAUUAUGAGAUUUUACCAUUUGAACUAUUUAUUAUGAAAGUAUGAAGAGUAUGAUUUGAUAUAACUCAAGCCAAGUGAGUCAUCAUUGUCUGUAUGUAUGUUUUCAUGAAAUUGAUGAUGUUAUUUAAAGUGUUGUAUGCACCCCUACAUACUCAGUACAUUCUCUUUGUGCUGACCCCCAUCUACUAUUCUAUUCAGUUGAGCAUCUAGUCAGCAGGUAAAGGAGUCAUUAUAGUUCAAGGUCUUGUGUUGGUUGUUUCAGUUUAGAGACACUGUACCUUCUUCUGUCGGCCAUAUUUAGUGGGAUGGUUGGGAGUCAUGACUCGUUUAUGUACAGGUAAUAGUAGUAGAGGCCUCAUAGACAGUAGUAGCGGUUGAUGUAUUCAGUCUCUUUCUUGUAUAUGUAUAUGUAUCAGUAGAAUUGUCAUCUUGUAAUUCCAAUAUUGUAUUGAACAGAUUCUAUAUUGAGAUAUUUUCAGCUUCAUUCUCUCAGAAUUAUGUUUUAAAUCAGCUGCUUUUGAGUUAUACCUAUGAAAGGGUUAGUUUGGGGUCACUUGUGACCCUAAGCACUGUGUGGCGUCUCGGGACUCAAUUUUGGAGGCGUUACAAACUUGGUAUCAAAGCACAGAGUUAAGUGUCCUAGGGUGUCUAUGAAGCCGUGUCUAGUAUAGUUUUGCAGAACGGUACGAAGACGUCUAUACUUUUCUUCGAGAGGCUAUAAGGCAUUUAGAAAAGGUUGUUGUUCUUUCAAGUCUUGAAUCGUGCAAUAAUUUUAAACCAGAUAAGCUACCAAAUUUCUUUUCAGGAUCUAUAAGUGACAGUUUGUACUUUUCUAUCUAUGUGCUAUUCUUGAGAUAGUAUGAGCAGAAAGUCCCGGUUCUUUCCCUGAUAAUGUUUUCAGACUGAUUAGCAAAAUAUUUCAGAAGUCUUAUAAAAAUGGCUUCAGAAGAGCCUCCCAGUGUGUUAUAAGUUCCUGAAGUUUCAUGUUAUGUCCUCUUCUUUAUGACUUGUUCAGCUAAGACUGAGUGGAUGCGUACUCCUUGAUCAUUGAAUAUGGUAUGCCAAGUUCCUAUCUCCUGUAAUCUUGCUAUCAUCAUGCUGUUGAAAAAAAUGAAAGUCUAGUGAAGCCGUAUGGGGCUCUUUCGACUCACUAGCACAGCUGUUUUGUUAUUCACCUCAAACUUUUUUUCAAAACUUAUAUUCAAAGCGUAGUGGAGCCGUGUGCGGCCUAUUUCGAUCCACUAGCAACUUGUAGUUCAUCUUGUUCCUUGUGCUGGCUAAAAAUGUGGGAUUUGGAGGUGUAGUAGUAAGAAGGAUGGUAAGUGUGAUUUGUUGAGCAUAAGUAUAGCAGAAUCUAUUUUUGCAUACAUUUGGGGUUAAUAGGGAGUGAUAUAUCCUUGUGUGUCAAUUUUAUGAUGUAGUUUGUUCGAGGUAUGAAAUGGGUGUUGACGGUAUUUGUAUGCUAGAGAGUAUAGGUUAGUAAUGGAAGUACUCGGUGGGUGAGUGUUGUUAAAUUAUGCCAUUGCCGGGUUCCAAGAGAAAGUUAAGUUAAGGCGUAGAGAGCUAUGAACUAAGUUAAGUUGUGUAUGAAGGAUAGAUAGUAGUGACGGGUGAAAAAAGGAUGUGUUAAUAGAUUGUAAAUAAGAUAAGCUAUAUGAUUAUGACCAAUUGUUAUUGUUAUGAAGUUUAAAUGGGCUAGCAUUUGUUGAGGAUUGUUUCAUAGUUUCUAAGUAGAAAUUUUGUGUGAAAAGUUUUAAGUUAUAUUGUGUGCUAAAAGUUAAGUUUGAAUGAUUGGUGAUUGUGAAGGUGACUGUGACGAUUUCUUGAUUAAUGGUAUUAGUUGUUAGGAAGUGAUCUAGUAGGCUUGAAUAGUGGAUAUAAGAGCCUAAGUUUGGUUGAUUCGUGAUUAAGUUUGAUGUUGUGNNNNNNNNNNNNNNNNNNNNNNNNNNNNNNNNNNNNNNNNNNNNNNNNNNNNNNNNNNNNNNNNNNNNNNNNNNNNNNNNNNNNNNNNNNNNNNNNNNNNNNNNNNNNNNNNNNNNNNNNNNNNNNNNNNNNNNNNNNNNNNNNNNNNNNNNNNNNNNNNNNNNNNNNNNNNNNNNNNNNNNNNNNNNNNNNNNNNNNNNNNNNNNNNNNNNNNNNNNNNNNNNNNNNNNNNNNNNNNNNNNNNNNNNNNNNNNNNNNNNNNNNNNNNNNNNNNNNNNNNNNNNNNNNNNNNNNNNNNNNNNNNNNNNNNNNNNNNNNNNNNNNNNNNNNNNNNNNNNNNNNNNNNNNNNNNNNNNNNNNNNNNNNNNNNNNNNNNNNNNNNNNNNNNNNNNNNNNNNNNNNNNNNNNNNNNNNNNNNNNNNNNNNNNNNNNNNNNNNNNNNNNNNNNNNNNNNNNNNNNNNNNNNNNNNNNNNNNNNNNNNNNNNNNNNNNNNNNNNNNNNNNNNNNNNNNNNNNNNNNNNNNNNNNNNNNNNNNNNNNNNNNNNGAUCUUUGUUUUCCAAGUAUUCCAGCUCAGUCAAUCAGAAUCGUACAGUGUACCUUCUCAUUUAUCAUUUCAUCAUGUUAUCCAAGGAUCUUAGGAAUGAAAUCAUUUCCAUAUGGAGCAUCUCAGUAGUUAUGAGUAUACCUCUGUUCAUGUGUCAUGCAUAUGAGCUAAUUUAUAGGUGCCCCGUGCACAGUCUUAGUGACCCUGUGAAAUAAGUGUUGUAGAGGAACAUGGAGUCCCAAGGGGGAGAUAGCUCGUGACUUCUUAAAGCUUUCGUGUUUUAAACACAUCUAGUUCAUGCUCAAGUUCUCAUUACGAUCCUUGAAUUGGCUAUUGUUGCAUACACAUUCAUACAUUCCAGAGUCGGUUCAACUAGAUAUUUAUGCGUCAGAUAUGCAUGUUCAGUAUGAGGACUAGGAAACUGUAGUUCCAAUCGUGCCAAUAUGUCUCAGAUGUUCGCGUCCCUUAAGAAGGUCAGUUGAUCAGUGCUUUUAUCCUAUCAAGCGACAUUCGAGGACGAAUGUUUCCAAGGGGGAGAUAAAACUUGUAACGCCUCGAAAAUCGAGUCCCAAGACGCUACACGGUGCUUAGGGUCACAAGUGAGCCCAAGCUAACCCUUUCAUAGGUAUAACUCAAAAGCAGCUGAUUUAAAACAUAAUUCUAAGAGAAUGAAGCUGAAAAUAUCUCAAUACAGAAUCUGUUCAAUACAAUAUUGGAAUUACAAUAUGACAAUUCUACUGAUACAUAUACAUAUACAAGAAGGAGACUGAAUACAUCAACCACUACUACUGUCUAUGAAGCCUCUACUAGUAUUGCCUGUACAUAAACGAGUCAUGACUCCCAACCAUCCCACUCAAUAUGGCUGACAGAAGAAGGUACAGUGUCUCUGAACUGAAACAACCAACACAAGACCUUGAACUAUAAGGGCUCCUUUACCUGCUGACUAGAUGUUGUAACUGAAUAGAAUAGUAGAUGGGGGUCAGCGCAAAGAGAAUGUACUGAGUAUGUUGGGGUGCAUGCAACACUUUAAAUAACAUCAUCAAUUUCAUGAAAACAUGCAUACAGACAAUGAUGACUCACUUGGCUUGAGUUAUAUCACAUCAUACUCUUUAUACUUUCAUAAUAAAUAGUUCAAAUGGUAAAAUCUCAUAAUCCAUGUANNNNNNNNNNNNNNNNNNNNNNNNNNNNNNNNNNNNNNNNNNNNNNNNNNNNNNNNNNNNNNNNNNNNNNNNNNNNNNNNNNNNNNNNNNNNNNNNNNNNNNNNNNNNNNNNNNNNNNNNNNNNNNNNNNNNNNNNNNNNNNNNNNNNNNNNNNNNNNNNNNNNNNNNNNNNNNNNNNNNNNNNNNNNNNNNNNNNNNNNNNNNNNNNNNNNNNNNNNNNNNNNNNNNNNNNNNNNNNNNNNNNNNNNNNNNNNNNNNNNNNNNNNNNNNNNNNNNNNNNNNNNNNNNNNNNNNNNNNNNNNNNNNNNNNNNNNNNNNNNNNNNNNNNNNNNNNNNNNNNNNNNNNNNNNNNNNNNNNNNNNNNNNNNNNNNNNNNNNNNNNNNNNNNNNNNNNNNNNNNNNNNNNNNNNNNNNNNNNNNNNNNNNNNNNNNNNNNNNNNNNNNNNNNNNNNNNNNNNNNNNNNNNNNNNNNNNNNNNNNNNNNNNNNNNNNNNNNNNNNNNNNNNNNNNNNNNNNNNNNNNNNNNNNNNNNNNNNNNNNNNNNNNNNNNNNNNNNNNNNNNNNNNNNNNNNNNNNNNNNNNNNNNNNNNNNNNNNNNNNNNNNNNNNNNNNNNNNNNNNNNNNNNNNNNNNNNNNNNNNNNNNNNNNNNNNNNNNNNNNNNNNNNNNNNNNNNNNNNNNNNNNNNNNNNNNNNNNNNNNNNNNNNNNNNNNNNNNNNNNNNNNNNNNNNNNNNNNNNNNNNNNNNNNNNNNNNNNNNNNNNNNNNNNNNNNNNNNNNNNNNNNNNNNNNNNNNNNNNNNNNNNNNNNNNNNNNNNNNNNNNNNNNNNNNNNNNNNNNNNNNNNNNNNNNNNNNNNNNNNNNNNNNNNNNNNNNNNNNNNNNNNNNNNNNNNNNNNNNNNNNNNNNNNNNNNNNNNNNNNNNNNNNNNAAAAAAAUUCAAAGUCUUAUAAAUCCUUCAUAAAGUAAUUUGAGUGUAUACCCAUUUCCGAAUAUCAUGAAAUUUCAAUAAUAGAACUCAACCUUUUUAAAUGUCAAAAUAUAACAAUGUAUCAAGUCAUGACAACAUCAAUAAUUUUGAGAAAAUAUCAAGACUCAUGGUAACAUCUCAAAUGUUAUAUCUCAAUAUGCUCAAUGAUUCAAUUUCGUCAUAAAGAAGCUUUAAGCUUAUCAUAAAUCUCAAAAUCAUUCCAAAAUACCAUUUCAACAUAUAUCUCGAAAUCAUUCAAAAUAAAAAUAUGAAAUUUACAAUUAUAGAUAUCAAGACAUCUCAUGUCUCAAAUAUAUAUUCAAUAAUUCAAAUUGUCAUUGGGAAGUAUAAAGCUUGACAGAUAUCUCAAAAUAUAAUUUCAAAAUACCAUCUCGACUUACGUCCCAAAAUUAUUUACCUCGUGGUAAAAGAGUGUAAUUCGCAAUGAUAAUUAUUAAAUCAUAUCAUGAAAAUAUUGAGAUAAUCAUAUAAAUCAAAGUUUAUUCAUUCAACCAUCAUAAUCUCAUAAUCGAAUUAUUUAGNNNNNNNNNNNNNNNNNNNNNNNNNNNNNNNNNNNNNNNNNNNNNNNNNNNNNNNNNNNNNNNNNNNNNNNNNNNNNNNNNNNNNNNNNNNNNNNNNNNNNNNNNNNNNNNNNNNNNNNNNNNNNNNNNNNNNNNNNNNNNNNNNNNNNNNGAAGGUCUUGAAAUGAGGAGUUCGUUUAUCGGAUUAAUUUUGGAUUUCUACGGUGAAAUUGAAAGAUAUUUAAAAGUGAAAUUUGGCUAGGGUUUCAUUAUCCCAAAUAUUUCAUGGAGAAAAUAAAUUUUGAAGGUUCAAUUAUGGAUUAAAUGGAUAAAUUUUCGUCCAAGAGGAGGGGUGAAAUGACCAAAUUGUCCUUAAAAAAAUAAAUAAUGUCAAAUCUGUCCUUUGGUGGACUGUUUUGAUAGGCUGAAGUAGAUCGACCAUAACAUUUUACUUCGAUAGCCAAAUUGGAUGAAACCAAUUUCAUUAGAAAGAGGACUCUUAGAGCUUUCCGUUGAUAUAUAAUAGCUCACCCAGAUCAUUAUGUACAAGGAGUUAUAGUCAUUUGAAGUUGACCCUGAAAUUCGCCUGGCUGCAGCAAUUUUUAAUUUCCUGCACGUUUUACUGUUCACAGUUUGAUCGGAAUGGUCGUAACUCAUCGCUCGAGUGUCCGUUUUCGAUGAUCUACAUAUCGUUGGAAAGAUUAUUCGAUACUCUACGCAAUGGUAGAUCAACGUCUUAGAAAUACUACACAGAAAAUUUAUGGAUCGCUCUAAAGCGUAGAACUCGAUACCUUUCUCACGAAAUCUUUACGAAGAAAAUUUUCCGGGGUAUUACACACGCUCACUUUAUGUUUAUCAAUUGCUUAUUACAUGUCUAACCUUUGUUAUUUAGUAUGAUGUAAAGACGCAGGUAACAGAGAAGGAAUAGCAAACAGAGACAAUUUUCAUUCUUGUUUUUGAAAUAUCACCCUACUUACCUAUACACCGCAUAAGCUCGAACUCAAAACCCACACACCUUUCAUUUUCACAUCCCCCCCUCACGUCAUUAUUUCAAAUCAUAUUUAUCCCAUCUCAUCAACCCAUGAUAUUAUUUUUUGAUGCCCUAUCCUUUAUUAUUGACAAUCUUUAGGAAUAUUGUUUGUUCCUAAAUCUAGAACUAUAAAUGGAUUGGUUCUCGUAAAACCAGAGAUAUGUAGGCAACUUGAAACUAAAGUCUCGGCCACACUAUUUUUUAAAACCACAUCCUGUUGCCUUAAUUUCACUAAGCUACUCUCUCGGUCUGACAAAAUUGGCUACUAUGUCAACUUUCGUUGCUAGACAAUUCUUUCAUCAUACUCAAGCAACGAAGGAGCAACUGUUGACACUCAAUUUUGACAGUCUGACACUCAUUUUAGGCUAUUAUUUUAGCAAAAUUAUUAAUUUUAAAUGUUAGUAUUUUUUACACAUUUUUCUUGCAUCAAACAAAUUUUUGACGUGUCACAUCCAUGAUUUUAAAAUAUACAAAUUAUUUUUACCACCUUACAGUAUCAUUCUUAUGAUUCAUUAAUUUAAAUAUAAUAUUUAUCGACGUAAUUUUAUCAAUAUUUUGUUAAUUCUUUUUGUAAAUAUGCAUACUCACAAUUUUCAAAUGCAUUGUGUAUUAUUAUUAUUAUUAUUAUUGUUGUUAUUGUUGUUGUUGUUGUUGUUCUCGCUAUCAAUAAUUUUAUAUAAUAAUUUUACGUAACAUCAGUUUUUACACGCUUAGCUAAUUUUAAUACCGACGUCUUAUUAUCUUUCUUAUCGUAUUUAUUAAAACAACAGCCCUAAUUUAAUUCAAUUUCUCAAUUUAUUUAUUUUUUAGUCACUUUGAUUCAAUUUCCUCCUUUUGUAUUUAAUUGCUAACCAAUUUUUGAUCAAUUAAUGUUAAUUUUAGUCAAAGUUGAUUUAAUCUUAACCCCAAAUUAAAAUUUAAUUGUUGACCUUUUUUUAAAUAAUUUUAAUCCCAACCGUUGAUCAAAACUGAUCCAAUGGCUAAGAUCGUGUCAACCCAUUCUUUCCUUUUUUAACUUCAAAACCCUAACUCCUCCUCAUUUUUCAUCAAAAGAGCCGCAACUUUCUCCUCACUCUUCCCUCUCUCUAAACUCACCAGUCACCGCCGCCACUAACACCGGCGAAACCAGCCAUCGAUCUCUCCGACCCAUAUCGUCUUUUCACCGCUGCCGACCAGUCCUCGGAGCCACCUUCAAAGCUGCCGGCGGGUCUCUCCCUCUCUCUUCCUCUGACGAGCUCUGUCGUCGUCGCCGCUGUGCAAUAGCCAUACCAGCUUCGCCUUUCCUUCUCCUCCGUCUAGCCCCGUCGCACCGCCGCUGCACAACAGCCAAAGCAGCGGCCAACCAACGCCGCCCUCUCCUCUCAUUCAUUACGCCCUUACCGGAGUUGAUAACCAGCGAGGUUUUCGAGGAGCCUGACUGCAAUUACGGUCCGAGUUUAAUCUUUAUUUACCUUAAAUUGCAUAAUUUUUUAUUUGCUCUUAUCUUCAAAUUAUUCAAAUUUUCAGAUUUAGAAGGUAUGGUGUUUGAGUUUGACUGUUGAUUCAAUGUCUUUACUUAUGUGUUUAUUAGCGUCUCUAGGCUAACAUAUAUGAAACCCCCCGAGUUUGUAUGAGUACUGAAACCUAGUUUAUAUGCUUGAUUAAUUGUUUAUCCUGGCAUCGAUAAGGUUGACACUUUAUUGUUAAGGUCAAAUUUAAAAUUUAUUUGCCUAAAAAGUCUCUGCUAUUUUGAUAUUGGUACGGUUCUUCAUUUUUGAAUUAGCUCAAAUUAUGUGAUAACUUUACCUUCUCUUUUCUUGCCUUGCUUAAAAUAGCCUAGUAUGAUUAGAUAUGAUAACUUGAGAUGCAUACCCUAUUAUAGCUUUGGUACUGCUCUUUUGGUAGACGUUGAUAGCUCUAUAUAAUUAUUUUCCUCUUAUGGUGAAAUUAGAAUUAUAAAACCCUCCAAAUCUAUUAUUCUUUGGUGAAAACCCGCCUGAUUUCUCAAUAAAUUGAUUGGCCUUACUUAAUUGAGAGUUAUGGUUGAUUGAUUUAAUGUUUAUUUAUGGUAAAUAUGGCUAAAAAUAUUUGGUUUACAUAUUUACGGUAAAUAUAAUGUCUUUUAUAUUUUAAAUUGAUCCAUCCUUAAUCUGAUUGGUUUAACUUGCCAUAUUUGAUUUGAUUGUGUGAUUAACAAUCUCUUUCCUUUCUUUAAUAUCAUGAUUGAUUUUGUGACUCUGGGUAUAUUUUUAUCUUAGUUGAUUGAUCUUGUGAUGGGGAUUAUAACGUUUUUCCUUGUUUAUCAUAGUCAGUUUUCUACUAUAAGAGUAAUCUUUUUCGGUGUUUAGAAGGGACAACUGCUAAUGCUCUCUACUCUCUCAUAUACAAAAGACAAACAUUGAUAUUCCUUUUCUCUUACAAGUUACUCUAUCACAAAAAGCUUUAAGCAAACAAGAAACAAUUUUACUUUAUUACUCUUUUGUACUUAUUUUUCAGAGCAUUGAUCCUAACUGUUCUGCGGCAAUUCGUACAUGAAUCCUGUGCUUCUUGAUUUUCUUCUUCUUAUUAUUAUUUAUUAUCAGCAACCGUUAAGUCACUAUCGAUGUAAUUUUUUUACACUUUAUGUGAUGAUGCUAGUAAACAUGUUUAUAGAAAUCAUUCGGUGCUUGUUUGCUAUGUCUAUGUUAUGUUAUAUUUUCUUUUGUACUGCUAUUAUACAUUGUCUCGCAGGUGUAAAUAGACAGUUUCGGGAAUUUGAAGAAUCGUUUGAAUCGUUUGAAGAGUCGUCGGGAUAUUGGGAAAGGGGUUGUCCGUUCUUUUUCCUUUAUUUAGUCAUGUAUUUUUAUUCAUUGUGUUGUAAUAACUUUUGUAAACCUUUUGAUGUAUUAAUAAAAUUGAGGACUGCUCAGGGGAUGGGGAUCGAUAUGCUCUAUGAAUCCAGCAAGCUACGUAAUUUAGGUUUAUGUUUUUAUGUGCUUUUAUAUGAUUACGUGAACCACUUAAGCAAAUUCUUAUUAUUAAUAAUAAACUUGUUUUACCGCUUGAAAAUCACAUUUUUAAGACCGUCAAUAGACUUUCGACAUGAUAAAAUUGUUUUGGGCAUAUUAAUUUAAUUCAUAAAAUCAAUUUUCAGCAUUUUUAUUUGCUUCUUUACGUAUUUUUUAGCAUAUACAUAUUAAUUUCUAGCAUGUCAAUAUCAUUUUUCAGCAUAUAUUAAUAAAUUUCAGCAUGUUAUAAAUUAACUUUCAGCAUAUUAGAGUUAAUUUUCAGCUUGUAAAAUUGAUUUUUCAAGCAUAUUAAAAAUACAAAAUAUGAAUUUUCAAUAUAUUGAAAUGUAUUUUCGGCAAUGUUUUGUGCCUAUUUGUUUAGUUUUUCCACGUGUUAUUUAUUUUUCGGCAAGUGGAUAUGUUUCUUAGCAUUGUAAAAUUAAUGUCCAACAAUUUACUAAUUUAUAACAUAUUUCGCAUUACAAAAUUAAUGGGUAUCCCUCCCCAGUGUAAUUACUUUAUUUUGACAUACUUUGUUUUAAAAAACUUUACAACACUAUUUUUGAAUGACUUGAUGGUUACUUUUCAUCAAUAAAUAGUUAUUUUUCAUUUAGACAUCAUGCUCAAAUAUUUAUUACAUAAGAAAUUAAUGUUUCAAUUCUCUCAGGUUUGUUUAACUUUGACAUGUCGUUUUCUUUCUUAACGAAUUUUAUAAUAUUAUUUUGACUUGAACAACAAUUAUAUUUUGUCAUACUUGUAAUUAUUAACAUCUACAUACCAUGCUUAUAGGCUUAACUAUCUUUUACAUCAUAAAUUAAUGUUUUAUCCUUUCACGUUUACCUAACUUUGACAUGUCUUUUAUUCUCAACGAUUUUUUACAAUAUUUUUUUAAAUAAUUUGAUAAUUACUUUUCAAUUGUGUGACCCCACAUAGAUAUCAUGACUAUAGGUUAACUAAAUAAAAUCAGUAAUUAUUUGUCUUUGCAUGUUAAUCACAUUAAUCAAUUUUAAUUAAUCAAGAGGCUAAUUUGAGACAAUUAUGUGCAACGUGACGUCCUACUUGUUACAUGUUUCGAGUCCUAGGCCAUGUAGCUUUAUUUGUCUAAACCACAAAACUAAAAUAGCAAAGUCCAAUGCCUCUUGGACGAUAGGUGGGACGAUAGAUAUUACUAAACACGUUAGUUUUAUCCUUGUCUUAAAACGCCUUUAGAUUUAACAACCAACCUAGAUAGGGUGGGACGGGUAGUAAUUCAGAAGUGAUGGUCUCCAACAGAUAUUAACGGUAAGACUAACGACAUUGUCACUUGUCUUAGAAUUCGGCCAGUGGGUCGGAUAAUGAUUAAACAAGUUGGGGCUCUGAUCCGAAUGAGACCAAAAACAUUUCUUUGUUUAAUUUGACGAAUUCUUUUUAUUCUUUUAUUUACUUUAUGUGCUUAUUUGUUUGGGGUAGUUAGUUUAUUACAUAAGCAGUCUCCUUUGUUUCCGCUUAUGUCUUUUUUUUUUUUCUCGAUCGUCUUGUUAUAUGUUUUAAUGAUUUUAUCACUUAGAUAAUCAACAAUUAGAAAUAAUAAAAUAACAUGUGUUCAUUUAUUAAUUACUUUGUCACUUAGUUAACAAUUAAGUUAAAAUAAAAGACCUUUAUUUGAUCACAUAGAAUCCCUACGUAAAGUACGAUUUCGGUUAGAAACCACCUCUGUGGACCUCGAAAGAUGCCUAACACCUUUCUUUUGCGGUAAUUUGAACCCUUAUCCGAAUCUCUGGUCAACUACAACAAAACAAUAAAAUAGGUUUGUAGUAGCCUAGACCGUUGCCCUAACGCACCUUAAUACGUUCGGUGGCGACUCUUCACACUUUCUCAUACAAUCUCAAAAAGAGUGGUCACGUCGAAUUCCAUUUUUCGCGAGAAAAUGAGGCGCGACAAUAUCGUUCCGUGUUUAUAAAUGUUAUUUUCUUUCCUUUUGGCACCCUUUUGUAUGUUUGGAGGACAAAUGAAUGUGGCAAAGUACCUUGAACAUGUUUGUAUGACUAUUUCUUCUUGUCACUUAGUAUAUUAUGGACAAGCAUUUGUUAUUUUGUGAUUGGCAUUGGGAUGAAAAAAUAAAGUGAGCAUAAUCAUGUGAUGUAAAUCCCAAAGAGUAGGUAGAAUAAGUGUUAACUCAUUGCCUGUGUGUGCGAGUGUUUGUUACAGUUCCUGCAUAGUGUGUACAACUAGAACUUGCCCGGUUAAUUUAUAUUGUUUUGUGAUUGAUUCAAUAAGAUAGGAUAUCAGGCCCCCUUCAAUUAUUAGUCCACUUAGCCGUAAAGAAUGACCCACCAAAAAGAUUUUUCCCUUUUUACACCCUUUUUGAGAUUGUGGUAGUGUUUAUUCAUUCCCAAUAACUCUGAUUCACUCUCUUUAGGAUGUUAGCACCUAAUUUUGGCCCUGGUCCAAUUUUGGAUAUCGUGCACCUUAACUUAGGCAAAAUGCCUAAGUUGAUGGUGGCUACUGUCAGGAAGUUACAGUUUGAUGUAGGCGGGUUGGAGUUGAAAUAAAAUGUCCUAUCUGGCCUUGAUCUAGUUAGAUAUUGUGCACCUAAAUUGACUGCAUCUGCAUAAGUUGAGGGUGGCUGAUGCAGACUCUGUAAAAAAAACUGGGUUUAUGGUGAAUUCGUGGAUGAAUAGUAUGAAUUGUAAGUGAACUAGAAAAGGAUUAGUUUUGAUGAGUAGCAAUCAAGGGCAAAUAGAGUGAAGUUCGAAAUUGAAGCCAUUUUUCCAAAUAUUAGUCCUCACCUAACACCAAAACCUCAUUACAAGCCAUAGAAAGACCUGCUUGAUCUUUGCGAAUCAAUCAUAGGGGAACAUUAGAUGAUAAAGGCAAGUUUAUGGGUGUGUAUGCUGUGUUUGCAACUUUGUUUGUAAGAGAGAAAGUCUUAGUUUUUUCCGCAGGUUAAAUGAAUCAAGUGUGGUGGACUUCUUUAACUGUGAGGGCAAUUUGAAUUAUACUUAGUUUUGUUGACUUUUGUGGGAUGUUGUGUCUAUGGUUGUGUAUGUGCUGAAUUAGAAAUAAUGUCAGUUAUAGAUCCUGUUGUGUUGAAACUACAUGAGUGAGAUGACAGUUAAGUGGUUGUAUGAAAUCUAGUUUGAUAGUUGAAUGCCCAUCAUUGUAUUUGUUCAUUCAUACGAUUUGGUGUUGAGUUUCUUGAGGACAAGCAAUCGUCUUAAGUUGACUGAACAUUUUACAUCUUUUACAAGGGAUAAUUGUGCGUUUUCAAGCAACUGUUGUUGUGUUUAAUGCUGAAUUUUAGUGUUUUCAGGUCAAGGACUUAGCUGAUGAUAUAACUUGGAAAAAUAGAAGAAACAUGAACAAAAAGGGGAAUGACGGCUAACCUGACGGGGCCGUCAACCAUCUGACAGACCGUUAGAGUGUUCGUCAAAGCUAAACAGAAUAGACAGAGUAGAUAACCCAAAUGACGGUCCAAGUGACGGACCGUCAGACCUCUGACGGGCCGUCAACCUGGACGUCAGGCUGAGAUAUUGAGUGGCUUCUCAAGUGAUCAAGCGACGGUCCAAGCAACGGACCGUCAGGCCAGUGAUGGCCCGUCAAUAUAACUGUCACUCCUUAACCAG